RNAcentral lists this long non-coding RNA (116125 nucleotides) under Setaria italica (foxtail millet). Its description in RNAcentral is "long non-coding RNA (SITA_LNC006832)". The record is from RNAcentral. Lineage: Eukaryota; Viridiplantae; Streptophyta; Magnoliopsida; Poales; Poaceae.
UCAAUUAACUAUCAGGCAAUGAGAUUAAGUGAGAAGAUCACCGGGCUGUACCAACCACGCACAAACCGCGGAACAGAUACGAAAUAAACGGGAGCAGUACAUUUGGAUUGCAAUUUCAACACUCUUUCUAAUGAGUAGGCAAUAAGAAAAUAGAGUUCAUUUGGAGAAAAUAUAAAACAAGAGUGCAUCGUCCAUUGGCAAGUACAGAAAUCGACUAGCAACACACAAAGUUGGGUCCUCUACACCUUACAUGGUUCAGUAGUUGACACUGAGCUUCAGAUGGCACUUGUUCGCACCUGCUACUCUACAGACACAUUCUCGAUACACGAACGUCAUUGCAUAUGCAACUCCACUGCCAAGCUGAUGCUGCUUUGCCCUUUGUUCUAAAAGACACAUUCAUGACAAAGUACUGAGUAAAACCGGAAACUGGGUGUUCAGGUGCUAUAACAACUCCAACUCCAGCCUUAAAAGUCCAUUUGUAUGUAGACUCAUUCAUUUUCAAAACAACGUGCAAUUCCUCUUGCUUCUUCACAGCCACUAUAUGCUUGAACAUUGACCCACUUCCACAAAAUUUGCCAUCAUAUAGUGAAAUCUCCUCAUCAAACCCACUAGUUGAGGCACUAAUUCUCACGUCUGAUGGUUGUUCUGCUUCUGCCUUUACCUCUAUAACAGUCUCAAUGCUGUCACCUAGCAAAGCAAAUAUCAUGUCCACGCCAUAAACUUCGCCCUGAAACCGUCCUAUCAGGACGGAUCCAAAUCCAGCAAAAGAAGUGUCGAUUUCAACAUACCCACUAAACAACGGUGUGUCAGGAGAUCCUUCUUCCUCUUUUAUCCAAAGAUUAACAUCCAUUAAAAAAUAUGGACACACAUAUAUUCCACGACAUGGGCUACAAAGUGGCAGGAAAGAGCAACCCUGUAGGUAUACAAUGUUAGAACUUCUUAUAAUAUAAAAAGUAUAAGCGCUAUUAAAAAUAAGACCAGCAGAACAGUUCGGUAUAAUGCUGUACAACGCAUAAAAGCGAGUUCAACUGGUAGGUUAAUAGAAUGAAUCUGACAUCAUUUUUUUGUAAAGAAAUAUCACAAUUAAUGGUUUACUCAUGUUGGAAAGAACAUGACAUUUCUCCAACUAUGACCAUAGUUACAAGUGAAUUAGUCAAUAGUAAAGGAUCUGUUUUCCAAUGAGUAAGCUAACAGCGGCUUUUAAAUUUUAUAGUACACCCAUCAAUCCAAAUGGCAUUUAUCUACCAUGAUAAAAGAAUAGAAGUUUUACGGCAUAGUUUUUUAAAGGUCACACAUUCCUGAAAAGAGAGAACUGUGUGCUACAAAAAAUGAAUGGUGGUUUGAAGUAAAUUAAAGAUCCAUAUCACACGUGCAACCAGUAAGGUGAAAAACAGGAUCUAGAUGUAACCUCAAAAUUGGGUAGGAGCUUUUCCAUAAAUCUAUUAUUUCUCACACCCAUGAUAUUCAACCUCAUCCAAUGCAUUAUUUUCAUUUAUGUGACAAUAGAACAUUGUUAGCUGCUCUGCUACAGGAUUGUGUUUGGUUCAACAAGCUACCAAAAUUACAGGAUUUGGGCAAUCAGGAACAAUACAAAUGAUUCUAUAAUUUGAAACAUAUUUAAUGUCACCAAAUAACCAAAUCCUAUUCCAAUAUGCAAUGGUACCAUACCCUAGAAGCCAACUUCACAAAGUAAUAAAAUACAGUUCUGUGCAGAAGCAUACCCUUCCCCUUUCUUUUCAGACAACCCAAAAUAUAAAUUCAUAACUCUCAUAUUUGCGAGUAUAAAAAAUAAGAGUUGACACCGACUACACUUUACAUACGACCUGGCAACCCAAAUAAUAGUUAUAUAUGCAUUGGCAUGGCAAGAAUUGGGACUAGCACGUCCAAGAUCAAGUCCAAACAAGUUGAAGCAUAAUAAAAAGCACUAAGCUCUAAGCAGACUGGUCAGAAAGGAGGCAAGCAAGAUUGGAGGUAGCACCUAGGAGCACCUAAGUGCCACAUAAUCAUCCCGCUUAAAAUAGUUGAAAACACAGGGUGCCACCGCCGCCGCAUUUCUUCUCCUCAUCCCCUUCUUCGACGGGGCGCUCAAUUAUCUUCAACUUUGGAUCAGGCUCACCCUGUUCUUCCUGCACAACACACCAGAUUGCCUCCAUGAAUCGCCGCGAGGGAAUCGAUGGACCGAGAGGGCGAAAAUCAUAUUAGGGUUUGGGUCGGAGGAUUUCGGUGGUGUGAUGGGGAUCGGCCGCCGGCUGGGGGUGAAUAUCGCUGGGGGUGGUCUCCGCUUUUAAUUGACGUCUCGUAAGGCCGGGCGGAUUCGUGGCCCUUUACCACACAAACACAGCAGUAGCGCUUGUGGCCCAAUACGGCCCAACAGCGCGAAAGAACGGCGGAAAUCUUAUGGCAAUCGAGAAAACCUCCUCCCUCGAGCGUCUUGCUUCUUCAGCAAGUGGUCCAGCCAGCGGAUUUUCCUGACAACUAUUUCCUUACAAAAUAGAUUCACAGGAAAGCUAAAAUAAAUAGGACCUAUCGUAUCUUUAAGAAGGCGGGAAACACAUUGAUCUAGGGUAUGUUUAAUUGCAUGCACCACAUGAUGCAUGUAUGGACGAUCCUGAAUGAUGGGGUUCAACCAAUUUUCUUGUACCAUAUAUUUCACUCCUACUAGUAGAAAAAUAAAUUAAGUUGGAUGGCUUCAUCAUGGAUGAGUUGGUACAAUUUACCCAAUCAAAUAAAAAAAUUAUUAUUAUUUUGAACCAUUUUAUACGUGAAUCAAAUGAUACAAGUAACCAAACACACCCAUAGUGACGGGUCCAUAGACCCAAGGUUCCCAAAGGGACAGACUUCCCGCAACACUUGGCCCCACAAAGGGCUCGACAAUACUGCGCAUCUGGGCCAGCCCAGCUGCGCAGUGCCGGGCCAAAAACACGACCCGCCCACCGACCGAGUCCUGUGACUGAGAGGCCCGGUCGGAGCCCCGACGCAAGGGGUCCAGCCAGGGGUGGGACCGUAGUCCGACCCCGAUCGAGUUCUCCCGAUCGAGUACUCCCGACCGGGGAUAUACCGUACCUCCCGUACUGCUCCCCCGACAGGCAUGAUCGGGGCCGACUGGGACUACCGAUAGGGGGCACACGCUUGGUGUGGGUCUAGGGAGCAGGUGGGACGGAUAACGAGGCGGCGCCCGAGUCAGCCGAUCGUAUGCAGAACCGUACCAUGCCACGUCCUGUGCACGCCUACACAGUGCCGCCGUAAACCUACCCGUUGCGGCCUAGUGGCCUAACGAGGAGAACAGGGACCGAGGACGGAGGCCAUACCGUACCCGAUGACGUGGGCCGCAAGACUAGAUAGCACCCGUACACUCACUCUCUCUGUCUCUCCCGACUGUAAGGCCGUUCCCUUGAACUAUAAAAGGGGACGGACCCCUGUUUCUACAACACGUUCACAACAUUUGAUAGACGUUUUUUCACACACUCCCCCACACUCUAGCGCACGCCAGAGCUCGUGCCACUCUCUUCCACUGAUAGGAGAACAAGGCCACGACUCAGGCACCCCCUCUCAUACUCCUCUCGUUUUUACCCCCCACUACGAACUUUGAGCAUAUGAGCUCAGGAAUAAAGUUGACCGACCAACCCUGACUAGACGUAGGGCACGUUGCCCGAACCAAUAUACAUCCUGUAUCAUUGCGUGAUAGGCCACAUCCGAUCUAACGCAACAGCAAAACUACAAAUAUUUACUUGUCGGCCAGAUUUCACACCGACAGCUGGCGCCGUCCGUGGGGAAGACAUCGUUGCAUUCGUGUUUUAGGUCAUCGGAUGGCCAACCUUCCUGCCGUCUUCGGCAUGACGAGCUCGAGCGACACGAUUCGCUUCGGUUUGCUGGACUUUCCCAGCCCCGCACUCGGUGGAGCGUGGGUUCCUCCCAUCUUCACGCCGCUCCAGGCCUUCCGUUUUGGGAGCCUGGACUUCAUCACUGAUCAGCUCGGCAUCCUCUGCCUUUGUGAGGAGGUGGCUCCCCCGGCAUCCCUAGGAGGAAUGUCUCGCAUCAUCGUCUGCGAGCCGCUCGACGACCUAGAUGUCAAGGCGCCCGCGCUUCGUAUCGAGUCCGUGCUGGGCACGAACCCCACGGUAAGUGACGUGGAUACUAUCAUGUAUUCACUUGUUAACACCUUCCGCCAGCUCUCCGGAGGAGCUCCGUUGUCACCACCACGCUCACCACACGGUUGGUUCCCUUACGGCCUCAUCUCCCCCGCGGACGCGUACACCCGGGACUCUAGAGGGUGAUGGCGCAGCUCCCUCUCGAGUUCGUGGGAAUGGUGGACUACGCCCUCACCUUCUUCCACAACCUUUGUGAUGAGGAGCUCGAGAGCGAUGGCUCCAGCAUCGGCGACACGUUGUCGCUCGACCAUCCCUUGUCCCAGGAGUGCGCCAUGGCGGAUGCCCCGGGAUAGCUCCCGGAGGCAGUGGAGUCCGCUGAGACACACCCCGCCAGACCACCAUGCGGAGGUCCUGACGCAGGUGCAAGUGCAUGGUGAUGAGCUGCAACAGCAGCAGUAGGACCAGCAGCCACUAGCACCGGCAUGCCCACUGCGUCACCCAGAGCCGCACGCCUGCAACGCGGGAAGUGACACACGAAGCCGCGCCCACCAGGUUCAGUGCAACAUCAUGGCUGGGGAGGAUGACCUCCCAUAAUUUGCUCGGACCGACCAGAACAUUGCCACCAUGGCAAUGCUUUUGCGCAGUCUUCCUGAACCUGCUGAUCCCCCGGAGCAGGUAAUCCACCGGAACCUCCGGGCACUGGUCGAAACCGUUGCGGCGCGGCAGGCGGAGAGCUCCGCGUUGUGUCAGUGACAUGCAACAUCUUGCCCAAUUGGAGUCCUGGACCCGCACUAGCCGAACCGCUACGUCCAUUCGCCUCAACAGUCCUGUUGUGUAGGUCAGAGCGCCGCGGCCGCACCGUAGCUCGACCCAGCACCAGCUCCGCAUCCCCAGCACGUGCAUGAAUGCAUAGGGCCGAACCAUGACGCGCGUAUUGUCAUCCACGCACAGCGUGUGGCACGACACAACGCCGACGUCGACCACAUGGCGGUGAGAGCGGAGGACAUUGGCUGCAACCAGCCUGACGAGGAGCACGAGGAGGUGCACCCUAGGCGUGGCAGCCGACCCAACGAUCGGAAUUGUGGCGGAACCGCCCAACUUAAACUGGUUUAAAUGCGCCUAAUCGCCGUCGGAUCAACAAUUAUCCGAAAUGCACUUUAAAUAGUAUAAGUCCGGUAGUCCGUCGAGUGUCCCUAGGACUCCUCGAAAGAUCCACGUCACGUCUCAUAGCCAUACACCAGGAUCGUUUCCAUGAUGGGAAAGCAUCAACAAAUAUUACAUUUUUACAUACAUACAAAGGGUGCGAAUUAUUACCGAACAUAGUUUGAAAUAAACUUAACAGUGCAGGUCAGGGGAUUCUAGGAGUUUAAAACAUAAACUGGUCCAGGUGGGAGAUGAACAUUAAAGAUCUUCUUCUUAGGGUAUUGUGAGACUCGUAACAAUACUCUAAUUUUUCGGGGCUUCCUCCUCUGCGGACUCUUGCUGUGCUUCUGAAACAGCCACAAGGGAUAACCCUGAGUACGGGGUACUCAACAAGGCUUACCCGACUAACCAAUAUAAUAGUUUUUCUGGAACUACAUGAUAGUUGUUUAGUGUACUGGCUGACUCACCUUUUGCCAAAAGAGCUUGCUAAAAAGUGAGACCUUUUCUUUAUCUUUUAACUCAAUUAAGUUAUUACCCUAUCAAUCUAAAUGAUGACCAAAAAAGAUACUUUUGCAAGCAGUAAGAAAUUAAGUCAUACAACAAACUAUUAUUGGAAAGAUAUUGCAUUCAUGAGGUUGUAAUACGAUGCUCAACAGUGACCAAGUGCAUUCGUAACUAAGAAUUGCGGUGAUCCGGAUCAGUUUACAUCCUGCAGGAGAGCACCCUAAUCACCAGCUAUGUACGACUGUCCGGGUCGUACAUAACGACCUUUCGAUUAGCAAACCCAAGGAUUGGGAAUAAGACUACCCGAACCCAGGGAUGCACCCCCACAUGGGACCCCACAUCUGGCCUGAUCUCCAUAUGAGUUUCAGGCUACGCCGCUGCCAAUCUCCAGCACGUCAAGCACGGGUACGAAACAUUCCCGAUCAGAGAGUCUACUAACCUACCGGGUUUUACUGGUCCCAUACCCAGUAAGCAAUCAGGUGACAAUCACUUGAUCAAAGGUUAAGACAAUGAUCGGGCCUUAACCAGAUUAAUCUAGCAGACAAAACUAACAUCUCUAGCUUUUGCUUGCCUUUCAAACUUCCAAGCUACCUUUCCAUAAUUAGCAUGUAUGACCGAACAUUUCACCUUAAGGUUCGGUAACCAAGUUACUUUAAGCAUCUAAGCAUUUCUAAACUUGGGUUACUUACUAAUUGUUUGAACAAGUGGCAAAGAUGUCCUUAAACAAGGUCAGAUCAUGCACAAGAAUGGGUUUCAAUCAACUCCUAGACUUAAUGCAUUCAUACAGAAAUUAACCAAUAAUUGGACACAUGAAAUAAUACUUCCAAAGUAGAUAGGUUUAAUGCACCGGGGUUUGCCUUGUUCUAUAAAAAUGUUAGCACUGUCCGACGGAUUGGCUUCGCAGGGGAUCAAUUCAACGAUCUCCUCAAACUCUGAAGAUCCUUCUGAUAAUUCCAAGAAUUCCUCUUCAGGUGCUUUGGUGUCUACGAUAUAGCAUAUGCAUGGGUUAGUGAUGCAACAUUUUGAAUACAAGACUAUACAACUUUCCUUCAUGAUAAAGUUGCAAGCCAACAAGUGACUGCACAAUUUAUCAUGAUAAAGUUGCAAGCCAACACACAAAAGCCCGAAAAGAUUAACCCACCAUUUUUAUUUCUUUUACUAAUCUUACCUUAGGCUUUUUCUUUUAUUUUUAGAAAAUAUUAUAAUUAUUUUCUAGUCUCAAAGCCUAAUUUCCUAUGGAUUAAUAAUAAUUUGUGAAUAUGAAAACAUUAUUCCAUAUUUUAUGCAUUUAACAAAGGUUAAGUAUAUAUACCUUAAUGAAAAGGCAUUAAACAAAUACCUAAGUUUUUAUUAUUUUUCCUAAGGUAUAAGAAUUUUAAUGCAUAAAGGAAAAUAAAACAAUCCUAACAAAAUUGAUUUCACAAAUUUUGGACACUCCUAGAAAUUUCUGUGAUUUAAAAGGUGAUACACGAAUUUAAUCUAUUAUUCUAACAAAAGAAAAUCUAAUUUUUAUCCCAAAACCCCCGGCCCAACCCUUCUCACUCGCCCCCUCUCUACCCUCUCUCACUCGUGCUGGGCCCAUGGCUCGGGUCCACUUUCUCCUCCUAUUCUUUUCACCCGCCGGCCACUCCUCUUCUGCCGGGCCCACUGGGCUGAUUUUCUCCCCUCUCCUCCUUUCCUAUUCUUGUUCCGGCCCAACUUCCUUUUUCUUUCUUUUUCGUGGCACUCGGCCUGCCUCACCAGCCCAUCGCCCUGCUGGACCCCGGCCCACCACGCUUCUGCUGCGCUCGGCUGGUCUCUCCUCUUCCCCUUCUGACGCGCGGGCCCCCCGACGCCAGCGCCUUCUUCCUCCUCGCACCAAAACCGAGCGCGGCAGGGGGCGGCGCGGCUCGCCGGCUAACGCCCCACCGGCGACGGGGCCGGGCUGGGGAAGCAUCCCCAAGCCACGGUGCACCCGUGCGCGGCGGCGGCUCCCCGGGAGAUGGCCGGAGCUACCCUCUCCACGGCGGCGGGCGGCAUGACCGAGGCCGACCGUGACCAAGCAUGACGACGGUGUAACUCACCCCUCCAACUACCCCUAUAGCUUCCUAGUACCCCAAGAGCUUACCUACAGCUGACCACAAGGAAGGAAAACAACGGCAAGGUGAAGCUCACCAUGAGCAGGAGGUCUGGCGGCGGCGGAUGGAAACGGCGGUGGUUAAAGGCUUGCCUGUGGAGAAGCUGGAAAACAAGUUGACACGGUUGUAGGCGAGGUAUUAGCGGAGGUGUGGGCGAGAGGAAUCGACGGGGGAGGCGUUGUGGUGGUGGAAUUUGAUCGGUGGCGGCGGCUGUGCAGAGGACUUACGGGCGGCGGUAAAAACAGUGCGGUAAGAAGCGGCGGCGGGAGUGGUAGUUAUUCGAAGAUCUUACCGCGUGCAUGGGCGACACUAUGGCCUAGUGCUAGGCUUGCGUGGUGAAGAGGUGGCUUUAGGCGUUGAGCUGGCGGACGAUCGAAGGCACCGGCGGUGACACGUCCCUGCUCUGCUUCUGUCGCCCCCCUUUGCUUUUCUGUCACCCAAAAGUUCAAGCCUUAACCAUGGUCGAUUUCGAAUCCGACGGUCCCAAAGUCCCUUAGGCAAACUUGGAGAUAAACUUGAACCCUUCAAUUUAUAUUUUGUCUCAUACUCGAGAUAAUCAUCCUAAGACUGACAUUUUUGAGCUUCUAGCUCGGGCAAACUGGAAAGUUGUGAAUUUCUGAUUCAGUUCGACAGUCGCUCGAGCAUGGUCAUUUACCCUUCUUUUGAUUCAUUUUUACUGGCCCAAACUCAUUCUUCUUAGUCCAACUGCUAACCAUUCAUGCUCUACAACUAUCAGAGAUCCCAUUUUGCUCAUAAACACCUAUACCUUUUGCACUCCAUUCUUCUGAAUUUUGCUCCAAACAUAGGCACUUGCUGCUGUUUCAGACUUAGAGAAAAAGACAGUUUCAGCAGCUAGGCCGAAAAAUGGCAAGGUGCUGACUUUGAGCCUUCAUUUGAAUUUGAUCCCUUUACUAUUCUUGACCAACAACACCCUAUUAUUCUUUUCCAAAAAUCAUACUUCAUUGUUGUGUAGUUGUUUUUGUCCACUUACUUGGAAAAUUUGGCAGAAAUUGAUUUCCAAGUUGGAUACUUGCACUGCUUUUCUGAAGUUGCUAUUUUCGGACAAUGAAUAGUAUCUCCAUGUUUUUAUUUUUCAAUUGCAUUUCUUGAGAGGUUUAAAACUAGGAUUAGUCUCCAAUCUUAAUCCCGGAAGUUUUAAACACUCUCAAGCCUUCAUUUCAUAUUUUUGCCAAUUUUUUCUGAAUUUAGAUUAAAAAAUUCAAAUUUUGGUCAAAUUUGACUUGAAUUUGACUUUUAGUCAAUUUCUUCCCUUUUUCUCCACAAUGCAUCUUUAACUUUUCUUAGUCACCUUUGGUUAUUGAAACACCAGGUGUUACAGGAAUGGAGACCGAAGCCCUAGCCCGGACGGACCGAGGCCCCAGACCUUCGGCCGCCGCAUCCAGAAAUCGUCGUUCCCUCGGUGCUUCCGACCGCUCACCAACAUCGCCAAGUACACUGGGGAGAUGAACCCCGAUGUGUGGCUCGAGGACUUGCGGCUCACCUGCCGAUUCGGAGGAGUAGAUGAUGAUAACUUCAUCAUCCAAUACCUCCCAAUCUGCGUAAGGGAGUUCGUUCGAGCAUGGCUCGAGUUCCUCUGCCCAAUAGCAUCCGCGACUGGGUGGAACUCAAGAUGGUCUUCGUAGGGAACUUCCAGGGGACUUAUGUCCACCUUGGGAAUUCCUGGGACCUCAAGAGUUGUAAACAGAAGCCCAACGAGCCCCUGCGGGAUUACAUCCACAAGUUCUCGAGGCAAUGCAACUCCCUCCUAGAUGUUGUGAACGCGGACGUCAUCAGCGCGUUCCUCUCUAGGACGACCUGCAAGUCCUUGGUCCAGAAGCUCAACUGCUAGAAGCCCCGCACCACCCGCGAGCUACUCGACCUCGCCAUGAACCACGCCUUAGGUGAGGAGGUGGACGGGGUGAUCUUCAACAUCGGUUGGGACAAGGUCAAGGCCAAGCGCAAAGACCGAGAUGAGGGCCCCUCCAUGAAGCAGGGCAAGAAGAACAAGAAGGAGCAGCACCGACCGACUCACCCGAUCAUAGUAGCGGUGGCCGACCGAUUGGGCAAGCAACCCCAGCAUGGAGAGCCCCUACACCAACCACGCCUUCCCCGUCAACCACCUCUACAUGGAUUGCGAACUCCUCAAGCGCUUCCUGCAGCAAGCCGGCAAGCUGAAGGAGUGGACAAGCAAGGAAGACACGGCCGACAAGGAGGACGCGGCAAGCAAAGAUGAAGACGGCUUCCCUGAGCCUGAAACUUGCCUCAUGAUUUUUGGGGGACCCGACGCUGACCACUCCAAGCGCCAGCGCAAGGAGCGCCACCGAGAGGUAUGCACCAUUGAUUCAGCUAUCCCUACUUACCUAAGCUGGUCGAAUCAUCCGAUCACUUUCGACCAGAAGGACCAUCCCACCUGCGUUCCCCAACCGGGUUGGUACCCACUCGUCAUCAACCCCAUCGUCGACAAAAAGCACCUCAGUCGGGUACUCAUGGACGGGGGCAAUGGCCUCAAAUUCAUGAGUACCUCUUAGCAAUGGCCUCAACAUCCUCAACAUAUUGCCAAGAGGUGCGCAAGCUCGAGGGCAAAUUCCGGGGGAUCGAACUGCAUCACAUCCUACGAAAGGACAACAACGCCGCUGACUCCCUGCUGAAAAUGGUGGCCAAACGGGAACCAACACUAGAUGGAGUCUUCGUUAAUGACCUCCGCGAGCCAUCCACCUGCAUCCGGGAGGACCCGACGCAGACGCCGCCUAGCCCCGACCAAGCGCUCGGGGGCUCCGCCGCGCCGACGCGGCUUGAUCCCGACCAAGGGCUCGAGGGCUGUGAUUCGGAUAACGCGGUGAUGACGCUUCAUCCAGCUAACUGGAGGGCGCCACUGCUCACUUACAUCCUUGAAGAAGUCCUCCCACCAGAGAGGAUGGAAGCACGACAAAUCUCUCAUCGUGCUAAAAUGUUCAUUGACAUCGGCAACGAACUCUACAAACAAAGUCUGCUGGUCAGGAAAGCUUUCUGCCAAGGCUUCUACUGGCCACAGCAAUGUGCGACGCAGAGGAGGUGGUCUGCAAGUGCGAGGGAUGCCAGUUCUAUGCUCAGCAGACUCACCUACCAAUGUAGGAACUACAGACCAUUCCCAUCACCUGGCCAUUUGCGGUCUAGGGACUCGACAUGGUUAGGCCCCUCAAGAAGGCCCCAGGUGGGCGCACACACAUGCUCGUGGUGGUGGACAAGUUCACUAAGUGAAUCGAGGUGAAGCCCAUCACCAACAUCCGCUCCCAAGAGGUGGUCGAGUUCUUCCUCAACAUUGUCUACCGGUUUGGAAUUUCCAAUUGUAUCAUCAUAGAUAAGGGAACAAACUUCACUAGCAAGAAGUUCCUAGAUUUUUGUGAUGGCUACGGUAUCAAGGUUGGCCUCGGUCAGACACCCGUGGACCAACGGUCAGGUCGAGCGGGCCAACGGCAUGGUCUUCCAAGGACUCAGACACGUAUCUUCGACCGGCUUAAGAAGCACACCGGCUGAUGGGUCACGAAGCUUCUAGCAGUCCUCUGGAGCGUGAGGACGACCCCAAACCGAUCGAUGGGGUUCACCCCCUUCUUUGUGGUAUACGGUGCUGAGGCGGUGUUGCCAUCCGACCUUGACUACGAUGCUCCAAGGGUAAAGGCGUUCGACCCCGACUGAGCUAUGGAGGCUCAACAGGACACGGUCGACCUACUUGAGGAAGCGUGCAAAACGACGCUCAUCCGCUUCGCCUGCUGCCAACAAACCCUUCGCAGGUACCACGAGAGGAAGAUACGGGGAAGAACCCUCGAGGCUGGCAACCUCGUACUUUAGAGGACCCAAACAACCAAGGACAUGCACAAGCUCUCUCCACCAUGGGAAGGACCAUACACGGUGGCCGAGGUGAUCUGCCCAGGCACCUACUGACUGAAGGACGAUGACAGCAACAUCCUUGCCAACACUUGGAACAUUGAGUAGUUACGUCGUUUCUUUCCUUGACUCAGUUCAUUACCAGUCCUUUUCCAUUCAACACUUGCUCCUACAACACCCCAGCCCGAACACAUCCGGCCUGGGUCGCUCAGGGGCUCCAUGGGGCUGUGGCACCCACCCCCUCUUUAAAUUUUUUUCGUAUCACGCACUUUGCCCAAACAAAAGGGCGCGCCCAAACGAAAGGGCAUCCCGUCCUCUAACUCACCCUAAAAAUAACUUAUGCUCUAGCUUGUGGACUGAUCGGACCCCGCCACGACUAUGGUUCCGAGCAGCUAAGCCUCGCGGGCCACGCUCGGGUUCUUAAGGUUGCAGCCUGUUGUAACAACUCUACCUAAAUUAAGUGCUUUUAAGUAUAAACUAGUGGUUAAUCCCUAAUUAAAGAGGUGAAAUGACCAUUAUAACCCUAAGAAGCUCUUUUUGGAGUUUGAAAUAAAACUUGGAAUUUUAUAUGCAAACUUAAAUUUCUGCCCAAAUAAGAGUUGUAAAACUUUUUAAUUCAAACAACUUUUUUUAAAAUCACUUUGACUAAUUAGGAGUGGAAGGAAGUCAGAAACAACAAUCAAAAUCGGAGUACUAAAGAACCCUAAAAACCUCUUAAGUCCUAGAAUUCGAGUUUUCCUCCAACUUUGCAAGCUUUUAUCUCACGAAUUCCUAUCUAAACUCAAGUCAGGCCCUUAAUGAAAGUUGUAGUCCCUCGCGUAUGUUCUAACUUUGUUACACUGACCCAGGUCCAAAUCGGGCCAGAACCUUUUCAAAACCUCGGUCAAAGUGAGGUAAAACAGUCAACUCACCCCUCAUGCCCUAAAAUGCUAAGUCUGGAAAACUGCGCAGAGUACACCUCUUGGCGAGGGCGUUCCUCCAAUUUUUGGAACUAAGCUCAAGAAAUACCCUAAAUAAAGUUGAAGUCCUCAGCUUGGAGAGCAACUCCUUCAAUAACACCUUGGUCUAAUUCAACUUGGAAGCUGCCCAACAAUCGACUCAAACAUAGCUAAGUUCCUGAAAUUCUACCUCUCCAGCCAAUUUGGCUAAGUCUGGAUUUCCAGAUUUUCACAAACUUUGGCACGGGAUUUCUCCAAAUCCUUUCAAUUUUUAAACCGACACCUUAAACCAAGUUUGAAGUGCGUCCAGAGUUGACCAAGUUUGUUUAAGAGAGUUUUGGAAGUUGUGUUGCGAAAUCUGGAGUAGGAUCUCCCCAAAGUUGGUCGGGCUUGCUGCCCGAAGGGAGCCUUGACGCCCGCGCGCCACGGCACGUCCGCCCGCGCGCCGCGCGCCGCGUGGCUGCCGGCCACCGGCAGCUCGCCGGUGCCCUAUCACCGGCGCGACAGCGACAGGGCGAGGGCCACGUCGCCCAACCCGCGCCUACGAUAGGACGGGGCGAAUGCCGGGCUGGCCAACCGCCGGCCGCGUGCGUGUCCUCUUCCUCUUGCCGCGGCUCUACUCUGCCCACCGUGCUCCGCCCGUCCGCCGGAGAAGCCGCCACGCCAACGACGUCCCGCGCCUCCGCCCGCUCGCCCAACCCCCACGGUAGCCCUCCGCCUCGCCCACCUGACAGACCGGAAGCCCUAGACGCGCGUCGCCCAAGGCCAAUCGCCGCCGGAGACCACCUGGAGCUCCGCCUCCUCUGCCCAAUGGUGCCGCUGGCCAAUGACCGCCUUGCCCGCGCACCCGCCGCUCCCGGCCUUAUCCCUCCCCCACCGGAGCCCCACCUCGACCCUCCGCUCCACCGCGGCCCUAUAAAAAGGUCCCCCUCACCGGCAACGCCACCCCUUUGCCACCACUUCCUCCUCUGCGCCGCCGCUAAGCUCCCAUGGAGAUCACCCCUCCGCGCCACCCCACACUCCGGCGACUUCGUCACCCGCUUCGCCACCCCUCCACGCACGUCUCCGAGCAGUCCGUGGCCUCCCCAACGCUGCCGGUGCGCCGGAACGCCACCUGCACCGCCGCCAGCCAAGCUCCACCGCCGCCGCCUCAUUUCGAUCCCCGCCGGCCGUCUCCGUUGCCCCAACCCCACCAAACCAAGCUCAGGUGAGCCCCCGCGCCCUCCCGGCCACUUGUUGCCCUAUCCUCGCCAGCGAACCGCCGGGAAUUUUCCCGCCGCCGCCGCGCAUGCCCCGGGGGACUACAUUGCGUCAUCCUCAUUGUUUCCAGGGGCUUGGGCACAAAACUCAGGGACCCCUGCAUAGUUUAACCUUAAACCCAGGGGCUAGCUUGCAAGUCUGCCACGGCUUUUCUUUUAAUAAUAAUAUUCAGAAAAAUGUUUGAACUUUGGAAAUGCCCAGUAAAUCGUAGAAAAAUCAAAAAAAUGCCAAACCAUCUUUGUUGGAAUCCUUGCUCAUUCUAGUUCCUAAGAAAAAUAAGUUUGCUCAUGUUACUGUGGUAAAUAAUAUCCUAUGCUUUUAAUCAUGGUUUAGGCCUUUUAAAUCCUAAUAAAUAGAAGAAAAGUGGAAAAAUAUGCAACCACCUCUGUGAUGCUUGUUUCUAUGUGUAGAAGCUCAGAAAAAUGGUUAGGGCUCUGGUCUAACACUUUAAGUCACUAUUUUAGCUUUAAUUUGGUAAUCUAAGUAUAAAUAUAUCCCUUUUUGCAUAAGAAUUGUUCUAGAGCUCAGAAAAAUGUGAAACUAGUUGGGUUAAUUUUGUUUUGCUAUGAAGUUUGCAGGAAAAAUGUAAAUUUUUGUGAAAAUCAGAAAGAAAAGCACCUUCCUUAUUAAGCAUGUGUAAUUACAAAGGAAAUAGAAUAAAUAGUUAAUCUUCUCCAAAAAUUGUGAAAAUUUCACCAAAGCUCCUGUAACCUACCCUUAAUAACACUGGUUAAGUUUCACCCCCUGUUGCACAGUAACUUUAAAGAUAGAAAAAGUUAAGUUCAUUUUACCUUUAAUAAUAAAAUGCAUAUAACUUCUUUUUAAGUCAUCCGUUGGCCCCCAAACUUUUACAGUGACCUAGUGAUGGCUUAAUUGAGAUGUUGAAAUUUUUUAUCAAUGCCUUUAACUACUGUUUGAGUAUGAAGUCAUUUUGGUUAAUUAAUCAACCUAAAAAAAAUAAAAGGAAAGCACAACUCUAAUACGAUAAAUGAGUGGAAAUUGAGAGAGGUACAUAAAAACAUUUAGAAGUAAGUAAUUACGCUAAUGCACCCAAACCACCCAAACGCGACCUUUCACUCUCUAUGCAACUCUAAAAUGUGAGAAACUAUAUAUGUACACAAUCGCCAUUCAACGCGAACUCAAGUUUAAAGCGACCACUUCUGUUAAAGUUAAAAGAAAGUAAACCCCGCCUUGUUAUGGCUGUUGUGACUCUUGUUUUCAGCCAUGCCUUAUGUCGUUGAAUAAACGCGCGAGUCCAACUAAACGUUUGCAUGUGCAUGUCGUAUAGAAGCAAAUCUUGCCGACGGAACCUACGAGCUCCACCCGGCACCGGAAGAAGACCCCGCUGCGGAGCUUCACCCCUCGAAAGGCGAGCCCAAACCAAAGCAAGACCCCGAGGACCCGCUAACUUUUCCUGAAGGCAAGCCCCAGAGCAUCAAUUCCUAUCUUGAUUACAUGCAAUAUUAUUGAUUACUUGAUUGCGCAUUUAUGUUUCUAGGAGUUGUAAUGAAACCUUAGAUGCAUAAACUUAGUACCUUGUUUGAAUGCUAGUUGCUAAGGUCGAGUAGUUGCAAUGCUUAAUAGGUUCCGGUAAAAGUCGAGUGAUUUCCUGUCACUCGCGAGUUAUAGGAGUUGAAUGUUUUAAUUAUGUUGCAACUAUAAGGACGACGGACGGGGUCGGGCUUAUGUUCGAUACUUGGUGGUUUUCCCUGUCUGUCUAAAUGAAAUUGAUCUAAGGUCAAAACGUCUCGGCGUUCAUGAUCAAGUGUUUGAAAGUACUAAUCUCAUACCUAGUAUGGGAUGGGGAAGCCUAGUACCUGAUUGAACUGGGGCGUGGCAUACCUUCCGGCUGUUCUUGGAACGUCGUUCCCAUGGUGCAUCAUGUGGGUGCAAGUACGGCCAUAGUACGACAGCUGCCGAGAUUAUGGAGCAUUGCAUGCCAAAGGCAGUUGGCCCUAACAUGUGCCUAAGGGAUUGAUGGGGACGGCUGACAAAUGAAGCGACCCUUCGUGGCGCGCGGAUGUCGUGAGAUUAGGUUCGCCAUGCAUGGUUAAUAAACUCGAAUUGAUUCGUUUGCCUCUCACAGUUUGGGACUACUUGAUCGCUAUUCUACACUGAGUAAUGAUGAAACAUGAUUACGAGAUUAAGUUGAUGGUUAUCAUAAAUUGCUUGGAAACUACGCUUGCUUAGAAUAGUUGCUAAUCUAGACUGGAUAGAGAACGUAGAACAUGAGCUAAAAUAUUGAAAGUAAGGACCGACUAUAGACGCUUUUGGUAAGCAAACCCAAAGCCAGAAAGCCUUUCAUGUCUAAGUUUUGGUGGAAAUAGCUAUCACCCGACGGGUCAGUCUUGCUGAGUAUUAGUUGCUCAGCCUUGUUGUGGCUUAAUCUUUUCAGGUGGUGUCAAUAGUUUGGUUGCUGGUACCACUUGGCCUACCCAGCUCCCUCCAGGCUAGACAGUCGAGUGGGAUCCCUCCUCGGACGGCGAUGGAAGGGAUUUUUGAUGUCAUGAUCGGCUCCGUCGUGAUGUCAUGUAUCGACGUUUAGCUUCCGCUCAUUUUAUUUGACUUUUUGAACCUUGCAACUUCUUUGAAUUUCAGAACUCUAAUGUAAUAAUUCGUGAGACUAAGUUAUGUGAUGGAAUGUUGUAACCUUUGUGCUACUCACCUUCGCAUGAGUGAUGCUUCUCGAUCCUGUUCAUGUGGUUAAUCGGAUGAAAUCUGACGGUCGACCAGGUUGACUUACUUAAAGUGCAUAAUCGCGUGUUAGGCGACUUCAAUGCAAUUUAGUCAAGUUAAUUUGGGCAGUUCCGCCACACCUACGUCAACGGGCAGGUCAGAAAGUGAAAGGGUGAAAAUCAGAAUUUGCUUAAGGGUGAAAACAAGAAUGGGUAGGACUAGUUCCUAUCAUAAUCACAACCAAACUAAAAAUUGUUCACACGGGGGCUGACGGCCCCCACAAUUUUAUUUCAUACAUAAAGAAACUAACUACUCCUAUUCUGUUGCUCCCCAUUAGCCAGGUCAGUCGGCGGCGUAGGUGGCUAGGCCAAGGGCUCUCCGAUCGCAGUCAAGUCGGUGCUCGAGUCAGUCGCAGUUGGGACUGCGCCCAGCUCCACCAUGGUGUGCACCACUGCAUCAGGAUCGACGACGCCCUCCUGGCUCACGCGUGUGGCUAUCAAUGAGCGGCGAGCAUCCAUGACCCACGUUGCUGUGACAUGCUCGGCAAUCUUCUACGCACCCGGGGCCAAGCUCUGGCCCAGUGCCCGGAUCUCCUCGAAGCUCAAGCCAUCAGUGUACCCACUACAGAUCACCUUGAAGUCCAGCUCGGGGUAGUGGGUCACCAUCGACGUCAGCACCGUGAUGCCCCGUGGAACACUCCAUCGGUGAUGAGCGUUUGGACCAUGUCCGAAACCAUCACAAAUUGGAUGGCGGGUACACUGGUACUCAGGCCCGACCCCAGUAGCUCAGUGACCACCACCUGCACCACGUUGCGGAGUUGGUCGAGCUCAUCCGCAAUGGUGGACCGCUCCAUCAGGGACUGGGCUAACGCCCCUGCAUUAUGACUGCACAAGAGACCAAGUCAGCAGAAGGCAAAAAAAUGGCACGACCCGAGCCUAAACUCCCGAGAUGAUGGGACUUACUCUCAUUCACAGUGACGGCCGCGACGUGGCCAUCCUCCGACCGCUGCAGCUCCUGAUGCAGAAGGGUAUUCAUCUCACCCAGCUCUUGGCUGGCGCUCACAAGGAUAGCUUGGCCCUCUUCCAGCUAGUUUACCCUCUCCUAUAGCCGAGAGGAUUCCUGCUUUGAUGACAAAGCCCUCUGCUCGGCAUGCACUCGGGCCCUCUGCGCAUCAGUAAGCCUUCACUCGGCAUCGGUCUCCUGCUCGACCGCCCUGUGCUCUGCAUCCUAGUGUUCCCCGACCGCCAACUUUAUCUCCACCAGACAAGCCCUUGCCGCGUUAAGUGCUUGCUCGGCAGCAGUCACCCAAUGAAGCGCGCUGCAUUUCACCUCCUGGCGCUCCCUGUCCAUCCUUAAGGCCUUCGCCAGGUAGGAUUCUGUCGAAGCAAGUUCCCACUCGGCAGUGGCCGCAUGCGCCACCCAUUCCUGGGACUCAUGACGGGUAGCCUCCAGCUCACGGGCAAGUUCCCCGACUCACCGCGAUGCCGCUGCGUCCUGCUCCUGCUGACCAUGACCCUCUCGGAGGAACUGGGAUUUGCGAGCCGACAGCAUUGCCAAGCUCUUUGAGACAAGCGUGCGCGAUUAAGCAACCAUGCAACGCCAAGAGACAAUAAAUGGGAUUAGGAUCAUGGAAGAGCCUACCUUGGCAGCGCGGGGCAAGUCGAUGGACGCAACCUCGCGGGCAGCCUUGGCCCUCGUUAGGAGAUCCUCCAUCUUCUCCAUGAUAUGAGCGAGGUCGGACUGCACUAACAAACUGCUCCGCCUGACAAGGUCCCAGAGCCCGUCCUCCUCCUGAUCAUGGAGCACGAAACGCGCCUUUCUAGGCUCAUCCACCUUGGGCCACACCAGGUUACCAGCCACUUCUAACUGGAUGGAAGCCCCGACCGCCACCAUCUCGAAUGACGCAGGGAUUGUAGCUUGAUCCCCGGGCAGUGGGACGCUCGAGUCAGCUACUCCGGUGUUCUCCUCAACGUCGGAUGAAAUGGUCAUCACCAGGACAUCGCAGCCCACCAACAGCUCCUCUUCCUCUCUCCCGGUCACCUCCUGCGCACCAUCCUUAGGCGGGCUCGGUAGACCACUCACGAAGGUGUUGGCCUAAGCCAACUUGAGGGACAUCCGAACCUCCGCCGCUCCAUCGAUGGCCUCGACCCCGGUUCCUCCACCCCCUCCAGCUCCGACCAGAAGGGUGAGCCGAGGGUAUAUAGCCCUCCUCCGGGUGAGACAGAAAGCUCUCCUUCCUCCCUCACCUCCUCUACGACCGGUAGUGGAGGGAGUGCCACGGUUCCCGCCGCCGUAGGACCCAUCGCCACCGUAGGCAUCGUCAUCAUUGCAACUGCAGCCGUAGUAGCCACCGACGGGGAAGAAACAAGCCCCAUCAAGGUGGGACAGGCCAACCUCAACCUGCUCGCCCUAUCGCCUGUCGCGACCAGCCAUAGGCUGGGCGUCCAAUCCAUGUGCGUGGGAGGCAGCGCGAUGGUCAUCGGAGCUAGCGACGGUUUGCUACAAAAGGAAUGUAAGGCAAAAGAUUAGCCAUGCUAAAGGACUCGAUCGCAUGAGCAAGGGAAGCUAUGAUUAUGUACGUGAUCAGGGGAACCAUGAAUAUCACCGGGCCGGAGCCACCCGGGGGCUGCCACCCACACUCCUUCAGGAUGACCGAAGGCGGGGGAACCCCGACCGAGCCACGGUCGGCCUGUAGACGGCUGUGGCCACCAGUUCACGGCAGAUCCACCACAGCGGCUGACAAAGCAUCCCUCCGGCAAGUACAAGGUGUGUCCGCUGACUCUGUAAUACCUGCCAUUUUAGUCAUCAAAGUGACUCUGAAGAAAUGGAAGAAAUUUGUGAAGAAAAGAAGAAGAAAUGGGCUAAAAAUCAAAUUCGCGCCAAAUUUGACCGAAAUUUGAAUUUUGAAUUUGAAAUUUAGAAAAAUUCGGCAAAAAUAUGGAAUGAAGGUGUAAGGGUGAUUAGAACUUAAAGAUCAAGAAUUGGGACAAGAUUUGAUCCGAAAUACCUCAAAAGAAUCAAAGAAAGAAAAUGGAAACUCAUAGUUACUGUUCACCAUCCGACAAUAGGGAGUUCAGAAAAACAGCAGCAGAGUCCAUUUUCAAAAUUGAUUUCUGUUGAAUUUUUCAAAUAAGUGGAUCGAAACAACUACACCAUAUUGAAGUGUGGACUUUGGACAAGAAUCUUCAAGUGUUGUUGAUCAGGAAUAGUAGAGGGAACCAUUUCAAAUGAAGGCCUAAAGUCAGCAUCUUGUCACUAUAAACUGCAUCAUUGAAUUUAACUAAGUCUGAAACAGCACUAAAUGGCCAAGUUUGGAGCCGAUUUCAGAAAAUGUAGAACAAAAGGUGCAAGUGUUUAUGGGCAAAAUGGAAACUUUGAAGGUUGUAGAACACAAUUGGGAAGUAGUUGGACAGAGAGGAAGGGAUUUAGAUCACUAAAACCAUUUCUAAAGUCGGGUAAGUGACUCUGUUUAAGACUGACGAACUGAAUGUCGAGUUUCAUAGAAGUUCAGACAAAUGCAAGAAAGAAUUCAAAAUUUGACUAUAUUAGGAUGUUUAUGUCGGGUCAGAGCCAAAAUAAAAGUCGAAGGAUUCAAGUUUAUCUACAACUUUGUUUAAGCGACUUGUGAACCGUCGGAUUCAAAAUCAAUCGUGGUGGAGCUCUGAAUUUCGGGCGUCAGAAGAAAAGGGGGAAGGAUGACAGAGUCGCGCUCAACGUGUCGCCGCCGCCGUCUUCGGUCGCUUGCCAGCACGGCAGCUACGCCACCUUCUCACCACGCAAGCCUACGAGUAGACCACGGUGGCAACCAUGCGCGCGGUGAAAGCUUGAAUAACUACCGCUCCCGCGCCGCCCGUUUUUACCGUCACUCUUUUCACCGCCGCCGCUUCUCUGUCCAAGCCGCCGCCGCCAGGUAAAAUUCCCCCACCACACCACCGCUCUCAUCGAUUCCCUCCGUCUACAUCACCACACAUACCCCACCAACACCCCUAGCCACUUGUUGCCCAGCUUUCCCGCGGGCGUGCCAGAACCCGCCGCAGUUUCUGUCCGCCGUCGCCGCACCUCCUGCUCACGGUGAGCACCUCCUUGCGCUUGCUCUCUUCCUUCUUGGGUAGUCGUAGGCAGUUCCUUGGGAUGCUAGGAUGGUGUAGUAGUAGUCGUCGGGGUAGGUUGCGCCACCGUCGAGCGUGGCCGCGACCAGCCGUAGGUGCCGCCGCCCGCCGCCGUGGAGGGAGUGGCUCCGGCCAUCUCCCGAGGAGCUAUCGCCGCGCACGGGUGCGCUAGGGCAUGGGGAUGCUUCCCCGGCCUAGCCCCAUUGCUGGUAGGGCGCCGGCCGGUGAGCCGCGCCGCCCCCUGUCGCGUCGGUUUUGGCGGGAGGAAGAAAAAGGCGCUGGAGCCUCGGGCCCGUGCGUCAGAGGGGAGAAGGAGGAAAGGAAGAGGCCGGCCGAGCGCGGGCGUCGGAUGGGCCGCGGUUUUGACGGCCCAAGUGUUGAUGCGGUGAACCGGUGGAAGAAAAAGGCCGAGGGCCUAGGAAUCCAGCAGGGCGAGGCUGCGGAGGAAGGAGAAAAAGAAAGGUGGGCUGUUGAGCCGUCACCGGUGAAAAGAAAAGAAGAGAGGAGAAGAAUCGGCCCAGUAGAGCCCGGCCAAGGAGAAAGGGGCCGGCGGGUAGAAUGAAUAGGAGAAGGGGUGGGUCCGCGCCGCGGGCCCAGUGUAAGAAAGAGGGGGUAGAAGAAGGUCGCGUGAGAAAAGUUUCCUGGGGAGUUUUUCGGGAAAAUUUAGAUUUCCUUUAUAGAAUAAUUAGUUUAAAUCCGAAUCUUACCAUUUAAAUCACAGAAAUUUCUAGGAAUGUCCAAAAUUAGUGAAACCAAUUUUGUUAGGCUUGUUUUAUUUUCCUUUAUGCAUUAAAAUUUUUAUACCCUAGAAAAAUAAUAAAAACUUGGGUAUUUAUUUAAUGCCUUUCUUUAAAGGUAAUUAAAUAAAUACUUAAUCUUUAUUAAAUGCAUAAAAUAUGGAAUAACAUUUUCGUAAUCACAAAUUAUUAUUAACUCAUAGGAAAUUAGGUUUUCAAGUUAGGAAAUAAUUGUAACAUUUUCUAAAAAUAAAAUAAAAGGCCGUAAGUAAGGAUAAUUAAGGAAAUAAAAUUGUGGGCUAAUAUUUUCGGGUUUUUGUGUGUUGGCUUGCAACUUUAUCAUGAUAAAUUGUAUAGUCCUUGUUGGCUUGCAACUCUAUCAUGAAGGAAAGUUGUAUAGUCUUAUAUUCAAAAAUUUGCAUUCCUAACCCCUGCAUAUGUUGUGCUAUAGACCCCGAAGCACCAGAAGGAGAUUACUCGGAAUUUUCAGAAGGAUCUUCGGAGUUUGAGGAAAUCUUUGAAUUGGUCCCCUGCGAGGCCAACCCUUCGGACAAUACUAACUUUUUUAUCGAAUAAGGCAAGCCCCGGUGCAUUACCCCUAUUAUUUGAAGUCAAUAUUUCAUGUGUCCUGUAUUUAGCUAUUUGCUAUAUGUAUGCACUAAGUCUAGGAGUUGCUUGAAACCCAAUCUUGUGCAUUAUCAUACCUUGUUUUAAGGACAUCUUUGCCACUUGUUCAAACCUUUAGUAGAUAACCCAAGUCUAGAAUUGCUUAGUUGCUUAAAUGCUUGGUUUACCAACCUUAAGGAAAAAUUUUGAGUCAUACAUGUUAAUUCUGAAAAGAUGACUUGGAAUUUGAGAAGCGGGCAGAAGCUAGGAAUAUAGUUCUGUCUGCUAAAUUAAUUUGGUUAAGGCCCGAUUCGUUGUCUUAACCUUUGAUCAAGUGAUAAUCAUCUGAUCACUUAUUGGGUAUGGGACUAGUAAAGCCCAGUAGGUUAGCAAACUCUCUGAUCGGGAAUACUUCGUACCCGCGCUUGACGUGCUGGAGAUUGGCAGGGGCGUGGCCUGAAACUCACAUGGUGAUCGAGCCAGACGUGGGGUCCCAUGUGGGGGUGCGUCCCUAGGUCCGGGUAGUCUUAUUCCCAAUCAUUGGAUUUGCUAAUCGAAAAGUCGUUACGUAUGACCUGGACAGUCGUAUAUAACUGGUGAUCAGGGUACUCUCCUGCAGGAUGUAAUAUGAUCCGGAUCGCCGCAAUUCUCGGUUAUGAAUGCACUUGAUCACUGUUGAGCAUCGUAGCAUAAAUUCAUGAAUGUCAUAUCUUUUGAUAAUGAUUGGUGUAUGACUUAAUACCUUGUUGUUCGCAAUUAAUCUUUUCUCAUCAUCUAGAAUGGUUAGGCAACAACUUAACGCAAAUAAAAGAUAAAACUAAGGCGUCACUUGUAGUAAGCUUUUCGUCAAAAAUGUAUCAGCCAAGUACACCAAAAAGCUAUCAUGUACUUCCAAGAAAAACUAUUAUAUUGGUUAGUUGGGUAAGACUUGCUGAGUACCCCGUACUCAGGGUUAUCCCUUGUGGCUAUCUUUUCAGAAGCACCGCAGGAGUCCAUUGAGGAGGAAGCCCCAAAACCCUAGGGUAUUGUUAUGAGUCUCACAAUACCCUUAGAAGAAAUUUUAUAAUGGUCAUCUCCACCCGAACCAUUUAUGUUUUAAGUCCUAGAACUCUGUCUAACACUGCACUGUUAAGUUUGCUUCAAACUAUAUCUUGUGUUAACUCGUACCUCUUGUAUGUAUGUAAAAAUGUAAUAUUUGUAGAUGCUAUCCCAUCGUGAAUACAAUCCUGAUAUAUGGCUAUGAGACGUGACGUGGAUCUUUCGAGGAGUCCUAGGGACACUCGACGGACGACCGGACUUAUACUGUUUUAAGUGCAUUUCGGAUAAUUGCUGCGUCGGCAGCAAUUAGGCGCAUUUAAACCAGUUUAAGUUGGACGGUUCCGCCACAGCUGGUAUCAGAGCCGUAGGUUGGGAUAAUCAACAGAUAUUACCAUUUAAAAUACUGAGGCUCUUUUUUAAAAUAAAGAAAACAUGAGUCACAGGUGGCAGUAGUGUUAACUGGUUGUUUGUUUUGUAGAUGCUAACUUUUUGCUAUGUGUUGCUAGUAUUCGGUAGUAUGUUAUUAGGGAGAGAUUACAAUGCCACCAAUUUCUCUACGAGUGUGCAUAUGAGUCUGUGAGUCUGUAGGAGUCGUUGCAUCAUAUUGCAUAAGCAUGUUUUAAAAACUUUUGGGUUUGGUGAGUGCCGUUAGACCUAACCUCGUUUCUUUUAUAGGAUGUUCCAAGAAGGCUACACCGAUCAAGAUGGAUGGACCCGCAGGCAUUACCUGGAUAAGCCAGGGUUUGUGCAGCUGCUAUGGAAAACGCUGCAGGAGUUAGGCUUCCAUAACCCUCCAGAGUACUAUUGGAGAAAGGAGGACACGGGUCACAAGCAGUGUUGCACUGUUUAUGUGCACAUUCUAGAUGAAGACACCAACCCUAACUGGCGUCUAGAAGAAGUGAUGGAAUCAGGCUUCGAGUUCAACGACACAAUUGAAAGGGCGGCUAUGACUGCUCUCACCGAUCUAUGUGAAAAGCACAAGGUAGAGAUAGGGUCGAGCUCUGCUCGAUUCUAUCCUAUAAAGCAUCAAGAUGACGGAAUCUGGAAGAGAAGAUUUAAAGCUCUGAAGAACUCUUCUCGUGUAGAGCAUGACAUCUUGGUUGCUGCUGCUUCCGACUACAUGACGGCCAUGUACAACUUACACUAGUCUUGCAUCAGAGAGUAUUACAAUCAGAGGAAGAGAAAUGAAGAUGCCAAGAUGGAGUUAAUGGGCGCUAGACACGAUAAGGAGUUGUACAAAAAGGCGGCAUUAGCAAGGGAACACGACAUGGAGAAAAUAAUGAGGUAGCAGUCCAGAAGAAUAGAUGAAUAUGAAGAGAAACUCAGGGUAAUGCAAGGGUUCAUAGAGGCCAGUAGGAGCAUGGCAGAUAGGGCAAGAGAAGAAGCCGAAUCCAAUGUUAAUAGGCUCAAGGCAGAAAGAUUCCAGCAGCUGGACGAGAUCUUAUCACUUCGUCUAGCUUUGGAGGAAAUGCAGGCCCAGGUACCUGCGUAGAACAUAGUCAAUGUUCCACCGCCUCCACCACCAGAAGAACCCCAACCACCGAACCCAGAAGAAGCAGACCAGUUGGUGGAUGUUGUAGGAGUGGAGGGUGAUAUUGCUCCACCUGCAGCUCCCGAGAUUGACUUGUACGCUCACGAAAACUUAGAAGGGUUUGAUGUUGACAUGGAAGAUGAUCAGGGUGAAGCUCCCGUGGGAAACCAACAGUUUGCCUAGGCCAAUGCAAACGCCGAUGGGUUAGAUCCAUAAGGUUACAGGCCAAUGCAGCAGUGGGGUGAAGCGGAGCAAGAAGACGGGGAAGAAGAAGAAGACCCCGAAAAAAUGGAGGGAAAUUCCAGAGUUAGUACCUCUGCAUCCUACACUUCCUACACUUCGAGUGACCCCGAGCCGAAGUCAGAAAGUGAGAACUCAAUGAAUCAGGCCCCACCUGUCGCUCCUCUGGGACAGGCGCUGAUGACAGUGGACCAAGAUAUUCUGCAGGCAGCAAUGGCCCGGCUAGGACUGAAUGCCGAAGAGCUAGGCAUCUACCCUUAUGAUGGUUGAAGCAAGACCGUAACUGAGAGAUGUUGUAAUGUAUUUAUGUAAGAUAAAUGUGAUGGACGGAGUAGCAUGAUGAUUUUGUAAAAAGUAACUUCAAGUCAUGUAAUAUAAAUAAAUAUGUGUAUAAGUGUGGUUUGUGAAUGGUCAUGCUGUGAUAUGUGAAAUAUUAGUGUGUAGGGAACUGUUGGUAAAAUGCACCUUAGAUAUUAAUAUUCUGUUUCCUUUUGACAGCAUGAAGGAUCCAAGAGGUCCACGAGCUUCAGGGUCAGAGGGCCAUGAGGAUAAUUUACCGAGAACUCCAACGCUGGCAGAUGCUAUAGCCAGCCUUAUGAAUUCAGGAGCUGAACAGGUUCGAUUGCUUCAAAUGAUCGUGCAAAACACCGGUAACGGUGGAAAUUGAUGGGAUCCAGAGCGGGGUGUAUCCUACACCUAGUUCCUGGAGACUCGUCCUCCCAUAUUCUUGAAGGCUGAGCAUCCACUUGAAGCUAAUGAAUGGCUUCAGACAAUGGAGCAGAAGUUUCGAGUAAUUCCCCAGUGCACCACCACCCAAAAGGCGGAGUUUGCAUGACUCCAGCUCCAAGGUCCCGCUAGGACCUGGUGGACCAGCUAUCUGGCUAGGCAACCAGUUGGAAGGGAGGUUACAUGGGAGAACUUUAAGGAAGCCUUCCAGACACAGUUUGUGCCAGAAGGUAUCAUGCGAAUGAAGCUGGAGCAAUUUUUAGGGCUACAGCAAGGGAACCGCAGCAUUCUUGAAUACACUAUUGAGUUUGACCACUUAGGCCAGUAUGCACCGGAACAUGUCAAUACAGAGUCCAGAAAAAGAGAUUGUUAUCUUCGUGGGCUUAAUGCACGAAUGCAGGAGAAGUUGUCCACCUGCACUUUCGCUGACUAUAGCUCUACGGUAAGCAUAGCCAUUACUGCAGAAGAAAAGAUGAGAAUCUUAGAUGAAACCUUAAGGAAAGAAGAAUCCUUAAAAAGGAAGAAUGUUCCUUUUGGAACCUUCGGGAGUGCCCCACAAAGAAUGAAGGUGGUAUAUCGAGGUCCUCCUCGACCCAUGUAUCGACCUUCGUUUCAGCAGAGGCCCUUCCAGCCCUGGAAUGUUAGAGCUCCUAUUAAUGCUCCUCGUCCUGGAAAUGCACCACCUCUUGGGUUUCGUAACCCUAGUCCUCCAGGGAAUCCACAGGUUUGUUUUAACUAUGGGAAGCUGUGGUGGAACCGCCCAAAUUAACCUGACUAAAAUGCAAUUAAGUCGCCUGACAUGCGAUUAUGCACUUUAAGCAAGUCAACUUGGUCGACCGUCGGAUUUCCUCCGAUAAACCACGUAAACAGGAUCGAGAAGCAUCGCUCACGCGAAGGUGAGUAGCACAGAGAUUACAACAUUCCAUCAUGACAACUUAGUUCAACAAUUUAUUACAUCAGAGUUUUUGGAAAUUCAAAUCAAAAUUUUGCAUGGUUUGGGGUCAAAUUAAAACUAGCGGAAGCUAAACAUCGAUACAAGACAUCAUGACGGAGCCAAUCAUGACAUCAAAAACUCCUUCCUUCACCAUUCGAGGAAGGAUCCCACUCGACGGUCCAGCCUGGAGGAAGCUGGGUCGGCCAAGUGGUGCCAACACCCAUGCUACUGACAUUACCAGAAAAAGAUUAGCCACAACAAGGCUGAGCAACUAGUACUCAGCAAGACUGACCCGUCGGAAGGACACGACCGAGACUUAAACAUGCAAGGCUUUCUGGCUCUGGGGUUUUUCUUGCCAAAAGCGUCUACAGUUAGUCCUUACUUUCAACCUUUUAGCUCAUGUUCUAUGUUCUUUAUCCAUUCUAAAUUUGCAACUUAUACUAAACAAACAUGGUUUCCAGGCAAUUACUUAUCAAACAUCAAGAUUAAAAUCAUCAUCAUGUUCCAUCUUUACUCAGUGCAGAAUAGCGAUCAAGUAGUCCCAAUCUGUGAGAGGCAGACGAAUCGAUUCAAAUUUAUUAACCAUGCAUGGCGAACCUAAUCUCACAACAUCCGCGCACCACGAAGGGUUGCUUCAUUUGUCAGCUGUCCCCAUCGAUCCCUUAGGCACGUGUCAGGGCCAACUUCCUUUGGCAUGCAAUGCUCCACAAUCCCGGCCUAUUGCUGCACUGUGACCGUACUUGCACCCACAUGAUGCACCAUGGGAACGACAUUCCAAGGACAGCUGGAAGGUAUGCCACGCCCCAGUUCAAUCAGGUACUAGGCUUCCCCAUCCCAUACUAGGUAUGAGAUUAGUACUUUCAAUCACUUGAUCACGAACGCCGACACUUUUCGACCUUAGUUCAUUUUCAUUUAGACAGACGGGGAAAUCCACCAAGCAUCGAACACAAGCCUGACCCCGUCCGUCGUCCUUAUAGUUGCGACAAAUCUGAAACAUUCAACUCCUAUAACUCGCGAGUGACGGGAGAUCACUCAACUUUUACCGAAACCUAUUAAGCAAUGCAACUACUCGACCUUAGAAACUAGUAUUCAAAAACAAGGUACUAAGUUAUGCAUCUAAGGUUCCAUUACAACUCCUCAAAAUGUAAAUGCGCAAUCAAGUAAUCAAUAAGUGGCAUGAAAGCAAAACAGGGAGUUCAUGCACCGGGGCUUGCCUUCAGAAAAAGCUUGGGGGUCCUCGGGGUCUUGCGCUGGUUCAGGCUCUCCUUCGAAGGGGUGCAGCUGUUCCUCGGCGGGGUCUUCUUCCGGGGCUGGAUGAAGCUCGUACGUCCCGUCGGCGAGAUUCAACUCUACACGGAAAUGCAAUGCAGGGGUUAAACAUUUUAGAUGGUUAUUUCAACACUCUCACGUUUUAACACGGACACUUGUAGCAAAGCUACAGGAAAGGUGGGGGAGUUCAACUUCUGUUGGUGGAGAGCAGGAUGAGAGGGUUGGAUUGAGGAAAACUUAGGGUCUGACCCUCAGGUUUAAGGAAAACCGUACCGAGGUCCUCAGACUCAACACAGAGGAAUCCCCGAAAACAUUUCACCGAUACCCUCGGGUCAAAGAAAAAGAAUUACAAUCGAGCCCUCGGGCGAGGUGGAGAAAGGGUCGGUGCAAAGGAUAGGGGUCGGGCGAGGCGAAAAGGACAGGGGUCGGACGAACCGAACAAGGAUAGGGUCGGGCGAGACGGAAAGACAGGGGUCGGGCGAGACGGAAAGACAGGGGUCGGGAGACAGGGGUCGGGCGAGACGGAAAGACAGGGGUCGGGAGACAAGGGUUGGGCGAGACGGAAAGACAGGGGUCGGGAGAUAGGGGUCGGGCGAGACGGAAAGAUAGGGAGGUUAAGUAGCUUACCUCCAGGUCUACCGGUGAAGCCUUGGGGUCGAGCAGGAGCAGGCUGGGCGGAAGGGUUGUACGCACGAAGGCUUGGGCGGCGGCGAGACUUCGACGGUGGUCCGGCGGUGGCGGUGCUUCUAGUGGACACCAGCAAGCUCUAGCACCGCGCGGAGGAGCGGGUGGCUGGCGUGUUUUAAGAAGCGGCUUGAGGGUGGCGGCGAAGUCGCCGGAGUGUGGGGGUGGCGCAAGGGGGUGAACUCCACGGAAGCUCAGCGGCGGCGCGGGAAGAAAGCGGUGGCUCAGAGGAGAAGGCAGGGUGCAGAGGAGAAAGUGGCGGCGCGGUGCGGGCGGUGGCAAAGGGGUGGCAUUGCCGGUGAGGGGGUCCCCUUUUAUAGGCCCGGGGUGGCGCGGAGGGUCGAGGCGGGGCUCCGGUGGGGAAAGGAUAAGGCCGGGAGCGGCGAGUGCUCGAGCGAGGCGGCCAUUGGCCGACGACGCCAUUGGGCAGAGGGGGCGGAGCUCCAGGUGGUCUUCGGCGGCGAUUGGCCUUGGGCGGCGCGCGUCUGGAGCUUCCGGGUUGUCGGGCGGGCGAGGCGGAAAGGCUACCGUGGGGGUUGGGCGAGCGGGCGGAGGCACAGGACGUCGGGGGCAUCUCAGCUUUCUCGGCGAACGGGCAGAACCGGGUUGGCGGAGCAGAGCCGUGGCAGCAGAAGGCGACCUGCGCGCGGCCGGCGAUUGGCUCGCCCUGCGCUCGCUCCGUCCUGUCGCGGGUGCGGGCUGGGCGCCGUGGCUCUCGUCCGGUCGCUGUCGCGCUGGGGAUAGGACGCCGGCGAGCUGCCGGUGGCCGGCGGCCACGCGGCGCGCGAGCGAACAUGCUCGGGCGCGUGGGCGUCGAGGCUCCUUUCGGCAGCAAGCCAGACCAGCUUUGGAGCGAUCCUUCUCCGAAUCUUUCAACACAACUCCCGAAACUCCCUUAAACAAACUUGUUAAACUCUGAUCGUUCUUCAAAUUUUGUUUAAGGUGUCGGUUUAGAUUGUGAAGGGAUUCAAAGAUAUUUCCGGCCAAAGUUAGCCAAAAAUCUGGGAUUCCAGACUUAGGAUUUUUAAGCAUCCGGGGGGGGGAGAGUUGACUGGUUUACCUCACUUUGACUGGGAUUUUGAACAAGUUCGGGCCCGAUUUGGAUCUGGGUCAGUGUAACAAAGUUCGAACACUCUUGAGGUACUACAACUUCUAUUAAGGGUCUGACUCGAGUUUAGAUAGGAAAAUGGGAGAUCAAAGCUUGCAAAGAUGGAGGAAAACUCGAAUUCCAGGACUUAAGAGAUUUUCAAGGUCCUGUAGGAGAAAACCAGCUUUGGUUGCUUUUUUUUACUCCUUUCCACUCCGAAUUAGACAAGGUGCCUUUAACAAAAGUUGUUGGAAUUUAAAAGUUUUACAACUCUUAUUUGGGCAGAAACUUAAGUUUGUAUAUAGAAUUUCAAGCUUUAAAACAAACUCCAAAAGAGAGCUUCUUAGGUUUAUAAAGGUCAUUUCACUUCUUAGCUUAGGGAUUUACUUUGACACUGGUUUAGAAUUAAAGCACUUAAUUUAGGUAGAGUUGUUACAGAAGCCGGGACACUUUGCCCGGGACUGUCGUUUUCCCAAGGUUGGGGGAAACGCAAAUUUAAGGGCUCAAACCUCUGGUCAAGGCACUGGGCAAAAGUUUGUUCGUCGCAAGUUUGUGAACACCAAGAUAGGACAGGCUCAUUAUAUGAACGUGGAGGAAAUUCCGAAAGGAGAGCCUAUUAUGGCAGGUAUGUACCUUGUUAACGAUUAUCCUGCCAUGGUUUUAUUUGAUUCGGGUGCAUCACAUACCUUUAUGAGUAGAAAGUUUGUUAUGCAACACCAACUAGAAGUACACACCUUAAAUGUCAAAUAUGCUAUUCAAGCUACUGGGGCUACUCAGAAUACAAAUCAAGUAGCUCGCAAUGUGAUUUUGAACUUAGAAGGAAAUAAGGUGGGUGCUUAUCCUUUAAUUUUGGAAGAUCAAGGAAUAGAUAUUAUUUUGGGGUGAAUUGGAUGAAAGAACAUAAAGUUCAAAUCGAUAUGGAUAAUCGGGUCGUUAGUAUGAAAGAUGACCAAGGCCACCCUUUUGAGCUCCAAUUACCCGCUCAUCCUUGUUUGGACCAGAUGGUCAAAAAGACUAGAGCAGUGACUCUAGAAUCUAUUCCUGUGGUUAAUGAGUUUAUAGAUGUGUUCCCAGAAGAUCUGCCUGGACUACCGCCUGAUAGAGCGGUAGAGUUUACCAUUGAGUUAGAACCGGGCACUGCUCCUAUCUCGAGAAGACCAUAUCGAAUGCCACCUAAGGAGUUAGCAGAAUUAAAAAUACAACUCCAAGAAUUGUUGGAUAAAGGUUUUGUCCGACCUAGCACUUCACCAUGGGGUUGCCCUGCUCUAUUUGUUAAAAAGAAAGAUGGCACCUUAAGGUUAUGUGUGGAUUACCGUCCCUUCAAUGCGGUAACCAUUAAAAACAAGUAUCCGUUACCACGGAUUGACUUGUUAUUUGAUCAACUAGCUAGAGCCAAAGUGUUUUCAAAGAUCGACCUUCGGUCAGGAUAUCAUCAGAUUAAGAUAAAACCCGAAGACAUACCUAAAACCGCCUUCUCAACCCGAUAUGGACUGUAUGAGUACUUGGUUAUGUCUUUCGGACUGACAAAUGCCCGAGCACAUUUUAUGUACCUCAUGAAUUCAGUAUUCAUGCCAGAAUUAGAUAAAUUUGUGGUUGUCUUUAUAGAUGAUAUCCUUGUCUUUUCUAAAAACGAAGAGGAACAUGCGCAACACUUGCGUAUUGUUCUAAAUAGACUCCGGGAACAUCAGUUGUAUGCCAAGUUCAGUAAAUGUGAAUUCUGGUUAAAGAAAGUUCCAUUCCUUAGGCACAUAUUGUCCGAAAAAGGAAUUGAAGUAGAUCCCGGAAAGGUCAAGGACAUAUUGGAUUGGAAAUCACCGACCUCUGUUCAUGAAGUAAGAAGUUUCUUGGGAAUGGCCGGGUAUUACCGUAGGUUCAUCCCCAAUUUCUCAAAAAUUUCCAAACCAAUCACAGAGUUAUUAAAGAAAGAAGUGAAAUUUGAGUGGAAACCUGAAUGUGAAGAAUCGUUUCAAACCUUAAAGAAGUUGUUGACUACAGCUCCAGUGCUAGCUCAACCUGAUAUAGAGAAGCCCUUUGAUGUGUACUGCGAUGCCUCAGGGACAGGAAUAGGGUGUGUUCUUAUGCAAGAAGGCAGAGUCAUUGCUUAUGCUUCUCGUCAACUGAAGCGUCAUUAAGAGCAUUACCCUACCCAUGAUUUAGAGCUUGCUGCCGUAGUGCAUGCAUUAAAGAUAUGGCGACACUAUCUUUUGGGUAGUGAAUGUCGUAUCUUUACUGACCACAAAAGCUUGAAGUACAUCUUUACUCAAAUGGACUUGAACAUGAGGCAAAGACGGUGGCUGGAACUGAUUAAAGACUAUAAAUUAGAAAUCCACUAUCAUCCUGGUAAGGCUAAUGUGGUGGCCGACGCUUUGAGCAGAAAGGCCCAAUGCCACUGCACUACCAUUCAAUCUAAUCUUAAGACCUUAUGCGAGGAAAUGGAAGAUUUAAGCUUCGAAAUAGUAAAACAAGGCGCCCUUCAGAAUAUUAUUGUACAAGAUACCCUAAAGGAAAGAAUUACAACAGCCCAAAAAGAAGAUCCAUGGAUUAAGAUACUCUAUCAACAAAAAGCAGAAGGGAAGAUCCCCGAAUUCAAUCAAGAAGAAGAUGGAGGGCUGUACUUCAAGAAAAGGAUAAUAGUUCCUAAGGAUGAGAGCCUAAGAAAGUUGAUCUUAGAAGAAGCACAUCUGUCUAAGUUCGCUAUUCAUCCCGGAAGCAAUAAAAUGUACCAAGAUUUAAAGCAAAGGUUUUGGUGGGCCAAGAUGAAACCUGAAAUUGCAAGAUAUGUAGCCGAGUGUGAUACUUGCCGGAGAGUUAAGCCCAUACUAAAAAAGUUGGCAUGUUUACUUCAACCUUCAGAAAUCCCUGUCUGGAAGUGGGAGGAUAUUUCCAUGGACUUUAUAGUUGGAUUGCCUACCACUUCAAAAGGAUAUGAUUCCAUAUGGGUUAUUGUCGACCGACUUACUAAAUCAGCCCACUUUAUCCCAGUCAAGACUACCUAUCCAGUGUCGACAUAUGCUAAACUCUAUAUAGCCCGGAUCAUAUCCUUGCACGGAAUACCAAAGACAAUUAUCUCCGAUCGAGGCUCCCAGUUUGUUUCCAGAUUUUGGGAACAAUUACAAAAGGACAUGGGCACUACUCUAAUUAGAAGUUCUGCCUAUCAUCCCCAAACUGGAGGACAGAUAGAAAGGGUCAACCAAAUCUUGGAAGACAUGUUAAGAGCAUGUGUCCUUACCUUCUCUAAGCUAUGGGACGAAUGUUGGCCCCUAGCCGAGUUCUCCUAUAAUAAUAGCUAUCAAGCUAGCAUUAAAAUGGCACCUUUCGAAGCCUUGUAUGGUCGAAGAUGCCGAACCCCCUUGAAUUGGUCAGAGGUAGGAGAAAGGACACAUUUGGGAUCAGAUCUGGUCAUGGAAAUGGAGGAGAAGGUCCGGAAAAUUCGUAAACAAUUGGAAAUAGCCCAGUCUCGACAAAAGAGUUAUUCGGAUAAAAGGAGACGGUCCUUGGAAUUUCAUACCGGAGAUUUUGUAUACUUGAAAGUAUCCUCGAUGAAAGGAGUACAACGAUUUGGAAUAAAGGGUAAGUUAGCCCCAAGGUAUAUUGGUCCUUAUGAAAUUCUGGAACAAAAGGGACCGGUGGCAUACAAGCUGUCGUUGCUAGACCAACUUACUUCUAUACAUGACGUAUUUCAUGUAUCCCAGCUUAAGAAAUGCUUAAGAAUUCCAGAAGAGAUUCUAGAAGAUCCAGAAAUUGAGCUCGAACCAGAUCUAACCUAUGAAGAAAGACCUAUUAAAAUUCUGGAUCAAAAGACAAGAGAUACCCGAACUCGGAGUAUUACGUUUUACAAGGUACAAUGGAAAAAUCAUACUCCAGAUGAAGCUACUUGGGAGCAGGCUGAAGAUCUAGAGUCUAAAUAUCCUGAGUUAUUUGAAACCAUCAGGAUCAGAUGAAUAGAAGCCACCACCCCACUUUCCUUAUACAGAAAAGAGAAAAUUAGUUAGCCUAACGUAGUUUCCUUUCCAUUCUCAAAGCUGAAGAUUUAAACCCGGGAAUCUCAGGAUGAGAUUCUGUUAAGGGGGAGAGGCUGUAAUACCUACCAUUUUAGUCAUCAAAGUGACUCUGAAGAAAUGGAAGAAAUUCGUGAAGAAAAGAAGAAGAAAUGGGCUAAAAAUCAAAUUCACGCCAAAUUUGACCGAAAUUUGAAUUUUGAAUUUGAAAUUCAGAAAAAUUCGGCAAAAAUAUGGAAUGAAGGUGUAAGGGUGAUUAGAACUUAAAGAUCAAGAAUUGGGACAAGAUUUGAUCCAAAAUACCUCAAAAGAAUCAAAGAAAGAAAAUGGAAACUCAUAGUUACUGUUCACCGUCCGACAAUAGGGAGUUCAGAAAAACAGCAGCAGAGUCCAUUUUCAAAAUUGAUUUCUGUUGAAUUUUUCAAAUAAGUGGAUCGAAACAACUACACCAUAUUGAAGUGUGGACUUUGGAAAAGAAUCUUCAAGUGUUGUUGAUCAGGAAUAGUAGAGGGAACCAUUUCAAAUGAAGGCCUAAAGUCAGCAUCUUGUCACUAUAAACUGCAUCACUGAAUUUAACUAAGUCUGAAACAGCACUAAAUGGCCAAGUUUGGAGCCGAUUUCAGAAAAUGUAGAACAAAAGCUGCAAGUGUUUAUGGGAAAAAUGGAAACUUUGAAGGUUGUAGAACACAAUUGGGAAGUAGUUGGACAGAGAGGAAGGGAUUUAGAUCACUAAAACCAUUUCUAAAGUCGGGUAAGUGACUCUGUUCAAGACUGACGAACUGAAUGUCGAGUUUCAGAGAAGUUUAGACAAAUGCAAGAAAGAAUUCAAAAUUUGACUAUAUUAGGAUGUUUAUCUUGGGUCAGAGCCAAAAUAAAAGUUGAAGGAUUCAAGUUUAUCUACAACUUUGUUUAAGCGACUUGUGAACCGUCGGAUUCAAAAUCAACCGUGGUGGAGCUCUGAAUUUCGGGCGUCAGAAGAAAGAGGGGGAAGGAUGACAGAGUCGCGCUCAACGUGUCGCCGCCGCCAUCUUCGGUCGCUCGCCAGCACGGCAGCUACGCCACCUCCUUACCACGCAAGCCUACGAGUAGACCACGGUGGCAACCAUGCGCGCGGUGAAAGCUUGAAUAACUACCGCUCCCGCGCCGCCCGUUUUUACCGUCACUCUUUUGACCACCGCCGGUUCUCUGUCCAAGCCGCCGCCGCCGAGUGAAAUUCCCCCACCACACCGCCGCUCUCGUCGAUUCCCUCCGUCUACAUCUCCACACAUACCCCACCAACACCCCUAGCCACUUGUUGCCCAGCUUUCCCGCCGGCGUGCCAGAACCCGCCGCAGUUUCUAUCCGCCGUCGCCGCACCUCCUGCUCACGGUGAGCACCUCCUUGCGCUUGCUCUCUUCCUUCUUGGGUAGUCGUAGGUAGGUCCUUGGGAUGCUAGGAUGGUGUAGUAGUAGUCGUCGGGGUAGGUUGCGCCGUCGUCGAGCGUGGCCGCGACCGGCCGUAGGUGCCGCCGCCCGCCGCCGUCGAGGGAGUGGCUCCGGCCAUCUCCCGAGGAGCUGUCGCCGCGCACGGGUGCGCUAGGGCAUGGGGAUGCUUCCCCAGCCUAGCCCCGUCGCCGGUAGGGCGCCGGCCGAUGAGCCGCGCCGCCCCCUGUCGUGUUGGUUUUGGUGGGAGGAAGAAGAAGGUGCUGGAGCCUCGGGCCCGCGCGUCAGAGGGGAGAAGGAGGAAAGAAAGAGGCCGGCCGAGCGCGGGCGUCGGAUGGGCCGCGGUUUUGACGGCCCAAGUCUUGAUGCGGUGGACCGGUGGAAGAAAACGGCUGAGGGCCUAGGAAUCCAGUAGGCCGGUGCUGCGGAGGAAGGAGAAAAAGAAAGGUGGGCCGUUGGGCCGUGACCAGUGAAAAUAAAAGAAGAGAGGACAAGAAUCGGCCUAGUAGAGCCCGGCCAAGGAGAAAGGGGCCGGUGGGUAGAAUGAAUAGUAGAAGGGGUGGGUCCGCACCGCGGGCCCAGCGUAAGAGAGAGGGGGUAGAAGAAGGUCGCGUGAGAAAAGUUGCCGGGGGAGUUUAUCGAGAAAAUUUAGAUUUCCUUUAUAGAAUAAUUAGUUUAAAUCCGAAUCUCACCAUUUAAAUCACAGAAAUUUCUAGGAAUGUCCAAAAUUAGUGAAACCAAUUUUGUUAGGCUUGUUUUAUUUUCCUUUUUGCAUUAAAAUUUUUAUACCCUAGAAAAAUAAUAAAAACUUGGGUAUUUAUUUAAUGCCUUUCUUUUAAGGUAAUUAAAUAAAUACUUAAUCUUUAUUAAAUGCAUGAAAUAUGGAAUAAUAUUUUCGUAAUCACAAAUUAUUACUAUUAACUCAUAGGAAAUUAGGUUUUCAAGUUAGGAAAUAAUUGUAACAUUUUCUAAAAAUAAAAGAAAAGGCCGUAAGUAAGGAUAAUUAAGGAAAUAAAAUUGUGGGCUAAUCUUUUCGGGUUUUUGUGUGUUGGCUUGCAACUUUAUCAUGAUAAAUUGUAUAGUCCUUAUUGGCUUGCAACUCUAUCAUGAAGGAAAGUUGUAUAGUCUUAUAUUCAAAAAUUUGCAUUCCUAACCCCUGCAUAUGUUGUGCUAUAGACCCCGAAGCACCAGAAGGAGAUUACUCGGAAUUUUCAGAAGGAUCUUCGGAGUUUGAGGAAAUCUUUGAAUUGGUCCCCUGCGAGGCCAACCCUUCGGACAAUACUAACUUUUUUAUCGAAUAAGGCAAGCCCCGGUGCAUUACCCCUAUUAUUUGAAGUCAAUAUUUCAUGUGUCCUGUAUUUAGCUAUUUGCUAUAUGUAUGCACUAAGUCUAGGAGUUGCUUGAAACCCAAUCUUGUGCAUUAUCAUACCUUGUUUUAAGGACAUCUUUGCCACUUGUUCAAACCUUUAGUAGAUAACCCAAGUCUAGAAUUGCUUAGUUGCUUAAAUGCUUGGUUUACCAACCUUAAGGAAAAAUUUUGAGUCAUACAUGUUAAUUCUGAAAAGAUGACUUGGAAUUUGAGAAGCGGGCAGAAGCUAGGAAUAUAGUUCUGUCUGCUAAAUUAAUUUGGUUAAGGCCCGAUUCGUUGUCUUAACCUUUGAUCAAGUGAUAAUCAUCUGAUCACUUACUGGGUAUGGGACCAGUAAAGCCCAGUAGGUUAGCAAACUCUCUGAUCGGGAAUACUUUGUACCCGCGCUUGACGUGCUGGAGAUUGGCAGGGGCGUGGCCUGAAACUCACAUGGUGAUCGAGCCAGACGUGGGGUCCCAUGUGGGGGUGCGUCCCUAGGUCCGGGUAGUCUUAUUCCCAAUCAUUGGAUUUGCUAAUCGAAAAGUCGUUAUGUACGACCUAGACAGUCGUAUAUAACUGGUGAUCAGGGUACUCUCAUGCAGGAUGUAAUAUGAUCCGGAUCGCCGCAAUUCUCGGUUAUGAAUGCACUUGAUCACUGUUGAGCAUCGUAGCAUAAGUUCAUUAAUGUCAUAUCUUUGGAUAAUGAUUGGUGUAUGACUUAAUACCUUGUUGUUCGCAAUUAAUCUUUUCUCAUCAUCUAGAAUGGUUAGGUAACAACUUAACUCAAAUAAAAGAUAAAACUAAGGCGUCACUUGUAGUAAGCUUUUCGGCAAAAAUGUAUCAGCCAAGUACACCAAAAAGCUAUCAUGUACUUCCAAGAAAAACUAUUAUAUUGGUUAGUCGGGUAAGACUUGUUGAGUACCCCGUACUCAGGGUUAUCCCUUGUGGCUAUCUUUUCAGAAGCACCGCAGGAGUCCACUGAGGAGGAAGCCCCGAAACCCUAGGGUAUUGUUAUGAGUCUCACAAUACCCUUAGAAGAAAUUUUAUAAUGCUCAUCUCUACCCGAACCGUUUAUGUUUUAAGUCCUAGAACUCUGUCUAACACUGCACUGUUAAGUUUGCUUCAAACUAUAUCUUGUAUUAACUCGUACCUCUUGUAUGUAUGUAAAAAUGUAAUAUUUGUUGAUGCUAUCCCAUCGCGGAUACAAUCCUGAUGUAUGGCUAUGAGACGCGACGUGGAUCUUUCGAGGAGUCCUAGGGACACUCGACGGACGACCGGACUUAUACUGUUUUAAGUGCGUUUCGGAUAGUUGCCGCGUCGGCAGCAAUUAGGCGCAUUUAAACCAGUUUAAGUUGGACGGUUCCGCCACAGACUCCCCAGUUGCGGGCGUAUGACCGCGUCCCUCCAACUGGCUGCUGCACACCAUAACGAUCGAAGCUGGGGGCUGCGACGCCAACAAUACCUCCGGACGGUGCGGCAAUGAACGUGCCCGCUUCUCCUCCUGCUCGCAGGCGAUGUCCCUACUUGCAACAUGCUUCCUCGACUCAGGGGCACUGGAAGGUUCCCCCACACCACGCACUCCACCAGAGGGUGUGACCAUGGGCUUGCGGCGCCCAGUCGCAAUUGUGACGGCAUUCCCGCAAGUCUCGCUCCCUGCAGAGUCUGAGUCAUCUCGCAACCCCGGCCCCAAGGGGUCCGAAGGCCUAAGCUCCGCCUCCACUGCCGUCAGGCUAUCACCGCGAUGAACCCGCCAGCUGAUUUCUCAUGCCUCUAGGCCUUCUCAGCCCUCUUCUUCUUCUGCUCGUCCGCCACCUUCUUCUCGAUAGCCUGCCGAGCCGCACCCACUGGUCCCUACGGGAGGCUCGGUCAGGACUUGUAGCACUCAAGUCCCUGCAAGACAAAUUGACUCGAUGUUAGCUGGAAAAUUUGGAUAAAGAAGAAAGAGGACACAAGGGGAGAAACAUAACAAGUCGGGCCACCUCCCAGCUUGGAAAGGCUCGGGUGUCCCCUGAGGGUCUCAUCGCUCUCCAAUUGCAGCACUUGGCCGAGGCACCCCCAAAUCUUGCUCUCUGGCAACUCCGUUGAUGAUGCGCGUUCUGGAUCCGAUGGGCCGAAAUACUACCACAUCGUCUGAGUCCUCAGCCCUAGCUAAGUGAGUCGCCAGUGGACAAAAGUGUCGAAGACCCGCAGUCCAUUGAGGCCCUCAUCCACACACUAUUGCAGUGCUGGUUCGAGGACCUCUAUGUGACUCUCAUGCUUCCAAGUAGGUCCCCAUGCCCAGCUCUCCAGCCUCAUCAACAUUCCUCCGGUGAACUUCGGCAACGACGCCUCCACCGGGUUCCAAAUAUAGAACCAAUCACCAUGCCAUCCCCGAUUGGAAUCACUAGGGGAGUACAACGGGUAGAUGACCUUAGGCUUCCGCUGCAGUGCGAAUCCACCGAUUGGGGCUAGAAGGCCCGCUUUCCCCUUUUCCUCCAACCAGGGAUGCCCGAUGAAGAACUUCGCGAAGAAGUCCACAUGCGGCUCCAUCCCGAGGAAGGCCUCACAGACGGUGAUGAAGUCGGCGAUGUGUAGCACUCCAUUGGGGUUGAGAUGCUACAACUCAAGUCCCCAGCGGUGAAGAAGCCCGCGCAAGAACUAGUGCACAGGGUAUCUGAGCCCGCGCUCGUGGAAGGCCAGGAGAUGACCUUAUCAGGGUGAGGUGCUGGGACGACAGUCUCUAGCUUUGGUGCUCUCCUUCCUGCGACCACCUUCGGUGGCAGUAAGCCCCUCCGCGCGAAAUCCUCCAACAAAUCCUCCCGCAUGGUGGACUCCCUCUAGAGCGACAUCACGCGGCGAAAGGCGGCGAACGGUUCUGUAAGGCUCCCUUCUUCUCUCUCUCUCUCUCUAUCUCUCUCUUUCUCUCUCUCUCUCUCUCUCUCUCUCUCUCUCUCUCUCUUUGCCCUCUUCUUUCUCGGAACUCACUACAGCGCGUGAGAACAUUUGGGUGAAAAGGCAGACGAGAAAGCAACGACGAAUAGAGGGCGACGAAAGGACCAGCCUAAAGACCUCCGCCCCUCCCCUAUUAAAUAGGUAAGGGGGUAUGGAGCCUAGGCGUACAUGAUGCAAGUGGAGGGACGCGCCCCCACGUGAUGGGACGUGACCCAUGUGGGGCCCACCAACUGCCACGGUAGAGUCACAAAUAGGGGGCAUAACCGCACGCAAGCGCCCCUUCACCUUUCGAGGCAAGGGAGUGAAGGGUCCCAUCAUGAGAACCUCCACUAAAUCGAGGCCGGUAGGCACUCAGGCUGGUCAGACAGUUGAAGGGACCCAACACUAGAGCCUUUCCCGAACCAAGGCUAAUAGGCCACAUAGGUCGGCCGGACAAAUCGGGCAUCCGAUGGGAGUCGGUUAGAAAAUAGUGGAAUACUAACAUGCAGGUCAUGUCAACCCCGUCACGAAUGAUGGAUACGGAUUCCACUCGAGCGUACCCACUAAGGGUGCCCUGAGCUGGCCACUCAAACCGUUGAGAUAAGCAACGCUCGCUUAGCCUCCUCGGGUCGUGGAAACCGCAGGGUGGGGUGAUGCCUAAAAGUCCAACCAAUAUUGCCGACCCCCCAUUUACUUUACCUGCGAACAAGCACUCAUCCAUGUCAUGCAUGCAUGCAUUUAUGCAUCAUACAUUCAUCUCAUUUGUGUUGUCAUUGCAUCUGAAUUGCUUUGUGUUGGGGGGAAUAUUAACAAUCUUCUAAUGCCCCUUAAAAAAACAAUCAUGAAGGCCCAGGCCCACCUGCAAUAAUGAUGAUUACCGCUGACCCAGCAUGGGCAAGGAAUAUCCCACUCCAUCAUGCCCGACCCAGGGCCCCGGGGUUGGACACUCCCGACCCCUCGAUGGCGAAACUCCACCUCGCCCGACCCAAGGUCCCAGGCUCGGGUGCGCCCGACCCCUCGCCGCAAGGCUCCGCCUUGCCCGACCCUAGGCGUAGGGGGUCGGACUCAUCUGGGCCCACAAGACAAGGUUCCACCUUAGGCGCAGGCCGGCUGAUGAGGGCGCGGAUCUCGUGGGCCCCCCACUGAUCUUGCCAUAAAUGCACCACGGCUCUAGCGUGCAGAAAGGCGCCCAUGCCUCUCGACGUAGCCACGACCGCACAGGCUACACUGGCUGCACUCAUAGCAUGCGCCGCUUGGCACAGGGAUGAGCGCCGCCCGUUCUUGCACCCAGCGUAUCCGACGACAGGGAUGCGACGUCCGUGUUCCACGGGACGUAAGCAGGACAACAGGGGUCAGCCGUCUCCCCCAACGUGCACGAUUGCCAUGACCGGACACCAUCAUCAUACCCGGCGGCGACGGUCGCCCAGAGGAUCAGCGACAAGAUCCGGUGGCAGCCGCCCUCCUCCGGUGGCGGCUCUGACAGGAGUCGAAGGCCGGAGAAGGAGGCGGCGAUCCGGGGACUUGGUCCUCCUUCUUGUACUUUGCUUAGCUUAUCUCUUUUACUUCUCCAAGACACCCGGUCUCACCUGUAACCCUGAACUCUCCUUGCGCUAUAAAAGGAGAACCAGGAGCCCCGAGAUAGGGGACUCGAAGGCCAACAGAACACACACAGUCACCUCUAGAGCAUCAGUGCACACCCAAGAGACUCAGGACCAGCUCCCUCUCUCGCCUGUUUGUAACCCCUACUAUAGACCACGCGUGAAGAACACGCUCAGCUCCUCAUACUGGACGUAGGGCUUUCCUUGCCCGAACCAGUCUAACCCCGUGUCUCCUCACACCACCAUCCGAAGCCUUACGCGCAUAAAAGAAAUUUACUAGUCGUAGUCUUGAUCUGUUAACCUUCACAACGACAGUUGGCGCGCCAGGUAGGGGACCUUUGCGCGUACAUCACCGGCUUCAGAUGGCCAGCCACGAUGCCAGCUUCGCUCCGGGCUCCCUCGUCCGCUUCGGGAGCUUGGACUUCCUCACCAUGGGGGAGGGGAUCAAGCUGAUCCCUCUCCUCCAACCGCCAGCAAAAGAAGAAGAACAAGCAGUGGCGCGAGGCUCCCCUGAAAGCUGUUGCUGAGCGCAAGCGGGGACAGCCGCCCCCUAAGGGCACCCCCGGCUUGUUCGACAAGCUGCUCGAGGGACCGUGCCUGAACCACGAGUUCCCCGCUAAGCACGCCUACAAAGACUGUAACCUCAUGAAGAGGUAUUUUGUAGGCAAACCAGUGAAGGGCGAUCGGAGACGGAAGCUCGAGGAGGAGAAGAAGGACAGCGAGGAGAAGGAAGACAGCUUUCCCAAGGUGGACGGCUGCUUCAUGAUCUUCGGCGGGCUGGCGGCUUACGACUCAUCGUCGACCCCAUCGUCGGCACAACGCGCCUCACCAAGGUGCUCAUGGACGGAGGCAGCGGCCUCAACAUCCUCUACGCUGAGACUCUCGACGCCAUGAGGAUCGACCACUCCCGCCUCCGCCCCAGCAAGGCGACAUUCCACAGCAUUGUGCUGGGGAAACAGGCGAUGCCUCUUGGGCAUAUCGACCUGCCCGUCACUUUUGGGACUCCUUCCAACUAUAGGAAGGAGAUCCUCACCUUCGAAGUGGUGGGUUUUCAUGGAACCUACCAUGCCGUCCUAGGGCGGCCAUGCUACACCAAGUUCAUGGCCAUCCCCAACUACACCUACCUCAAGCUCAAGCUAACGGGGCCCAAUGGGGUCAUCACCAUCGGCACGUCUUUCCAGAAGGCGUACGAGUGCGACAUAGAGUGCUGCGAGUACGCCGCAGCCAUCACCUGCACGGAGGACCCCGCGGUCCAGCUUGCGGAGAGCGCCGAGGACCCACCCGACUCCAAGCAAUCCACCACCUCCUUCGAGGCCACCGAAGGUGUCAAGGAGGUCCCCUUCGACCCAAGCAGCACCGACGGCAGGACGGUGCAGAUAGGCGCUACCCUAUCUCCCAAAUAGGAAAGCGCGUUCGUCGACUUCCUCCACGCGAACAGUGAUGUUUUCGCGUGGAAACCCUCGAACAUACCAGGCAUCCCGAGGGAAGUCACCAAGCACUCCUUGAACAUCAAGGCCAGCUCCAAACCGGUGAAACAAGGCUUGCGCCACUUCAACGAGGAGAGGCGCAAGGCCAUCGGCGGGGAGCUCCAGAAGCUUUUGGCGGCCGGAUUCAUCAAGGAAGUGUACCACCCUGAGUGGUUAGCCAAUCCUGUUCUUGUACGAAAAAAGAAUGGGAAAUAGAGGAUGUGUGUUGAUUAUACUGGUCUCAACAAGGCGUGUCCAAAGGAUCCAUUUCCUUUGCCACGCAUAGAUCAGAUAGUCGACUCAACUGCAGGGUGCGAAACCCUUAGCUUCCUUGAUGCAUAUUCCGGCUACCAUCAAAUUGCGAUGAAAGAGUCUGACCAGCUCACGACCUCUUUCAUCACCCCUUUCGACCCCUAUUGCUACGUUAAGAUGCCGUUCGGCCUCAAAAACGCGGGGGCUACAUUCCAGCGAUGCAUGCUUAAGUGUUUCGGGGACCUCAUCGGGCGGACCAUUGAGGCUUACGUAGAUGACAUCAUAGUCAAGUCCAAAAAGGGCGACCAACUCAUCCUCGACCUUGAACUAGCCUUCGAAAGGCUGAGAGACAAGCGCAUCAAACUCAACCCCAAAAGUGCGUUUUUGGGGUUCCGAGGGGCAUGUUGCUGGGCUUCAUCGUCUCCGUGCACGGCAUCGAAGCCAACCCGGAGAAAAUAGCAGCUAUCAGUGACAUGGGGCCGAUCCAAAACAUAAAGGGAGUUCAGCGCGUCACGCGAUGCUUGGUGGCCCUGAGCCGCUUCAUCUCGCGCCUCGACAAACAGGGGAUCCCCUCUACGGACUCAUGAAGAAGACCGACCGCUUUGUGUGGGCUGCCGAGGCCCAGGAGGUGCUUGACCGGCUCAAGAACCUCGUCGACGGCCCCGGCACAUGCGCCAUCGUCUCUGUCGCAGCUGUCGGAGCGGGCAUUCCCGUUCCUGCCGCCGUCGCGGCCCCCGUCGCGGCCGCUGGGGCACAUCCCUGCCUCCGUUGCGGCCGCCAGCGUAGGCAUCCCCACCCCUGCCACCGCCGGUGUCUCCAUCGCGGCCACUGGAGCAGGUGUCCCCACCUCCACUGCCGCCGCUGUCCCCAUCACGACCGCGGGGGCAGACGUUCCCUCCUCUGUCGUCGCCGCCGUCUCCAUCGCGGUCACUGGGGCAACUACCCCCAUCUCCGCUGCCGCCAUUUCCACCGUCGCCAUUCGAGCCGCGGGCUCCUCCUCCGCCUUGUCGUCAAGGUCUAUCACCUUACCGGUCGGAGGGACCCCAGGGGCAGCGCCUUGUCCCGCAGGGUCAGCCGCGGAGGCAGAAGGCGGAGCAGAGGUCGGACCCUGCCCCGAGCGUGGUUGCAGCACCCUUCCUUCGGUUGCCGCCGCAGACACUGCAGAGGCCGCCUCGCGGUCUCCCCGGUGACACCGUCGCUCACCGCUGGCGGGGUCACAGCUCGCCCCGCGGAGGUGGACGACACCCGCAGUGCCUUCUUCAGCGCCAGUGGCGGGACGAAGUCCCGAGGGGCGACGCUGUGAAACAACAAACAACAUCAUCAAAAAUGGCUCAAUGCUAGGCAAGGAAUAAGAUGCGCGAGGAAUUUCCACUUACACUCCCUCAGCACGAGGACGGCGGGUGCAUUUCGCCUCCGAGCUCGACGCCGACCCCGGGGCAUCUGGCAGCGGCCGCUUGCCGCUACUCCUCUGCUCGCGUGACGCAAGCAGAGGGUCGGGGGACGGCUCCGUCGACUCCUGAGGCGCGCCCCGCGCUGACCCCUGGGGUGCGGCCCCAGAGCCCUGCGGUGUCGGGUCCUGGGCAAGCGGCCCGCUCGGCUUGCCCCCCGCGGCCGGUUGGGGGUGCUUCUCCCAGAUAACGAGCGCGCCCGGCCAAGGGGCCAGAAUGUACUCCUCCUCGUUCACCUCCUCCUCGUCCUCCUCCUCCUCAUCCUCAUCGUCGUUGUCGUCCGACACGACCUUGCCCCGCCGCCGCCGUUGGAGCUCCUUGGCGGCCUUCUUCUUCUUCUUCGCUAUCUCCUUGUCCUUACGCCUCUUCUGCUUCUCAGCGAGGAGGCGGUUCUGCUGACACCGCUCUGCGUCCUCUGGCACUAGCGGGCGCGAGUCCAUGACCCGGAUCAUGUGGCCCAACGGAUACGAAAACUCCGCGUCAGAGCAACGAACCAAGAAAUGCAAGAGAGGGAGACGGGAGCGCGAAGUCCUCACCAGCUUGACAAAAUUCUCAUCCGGACGCAUCGGGUGGUGACCGGGCACCGGGUAAUCAGCGUCCUUGUCGUCCAGCGCCUCCCGAACUCGCUGCUGGAUCUCGGUGUCAGUGAGCACGCCUGUCACAAGGAUGGUGCCCUCGGUUGCGCACUCGGAACCAGGUCGGCGAGUGAGUGAACCCAAAGCAUCAGCGGCGCCACCCACCAAGCAUGGUACGCCCCGAUGACUCCGGCCCCGGUCAGGCCUUUUCCCUUCAAGUGCUCGAUGGCCUGAAGCAGACCGGUGAUCUGCUUCUUCUCCUUCUCAACCGGCCUGUACAACCACAACUCCGGUGUUGCUUCGAUGACGCAGCCGGUGAACGCCGACAAGGGGGAAUUGGAGUAGUUCUUCACGUAGAACCACUGCUGAUGCCACCCCUUGUGGGACAUCGCGGUCUUCAUCGUCAUAUACUCCUUGGCGCGGUUUUGGCGGAGGUGGAUGGCAGCGCACCCUAUCGGCACCGGAGUCGCCCGCUGCUACCUCCCCUUCUUCUCGGCCCUCUGGUACAGGCUGAAUGCCAAGAAGUACUUCCUGAGCGAGAAGUUGGGCUCGAUGCCUAGGAACCCCUCGCACAACGCGACGAAGGUCGCGAUGUGCUAGAUCCCAUUGGGAUUGAGAUGCUGCAGCUCGAGCCCGUAGUAGUGCAGCAGCCUGCGGAAGAAGCGGCUCGGCGGGGUCACGAACUCCCUCUCGUGGAAGUGGGUGAACGAAACGACGUAGCCGGCGAGCGGAUUCGGCACAUCUUCCCUCUCAAGGAACCGCCAUUCGUCCCUCUCGAUCCUCUCGCAGAGGAGGCCUUUCCUCAUGAGGCCGUCGGCGCGCGAGGUACCGAAGCUUGAGCGCGUCCAGGACUCCAUCAUGAAGGGGAGAAAGGUUCGACAGCGGAGGGCGAGGGAAGAUGCUGCGCUAGACGGAGGAAGGCGAACGGCACGCAAGGAGGCAAAGGGCGCGUGAGAAGGUGAAAAGGUUUGAGAACAGGUGUGGGCGGAACCGGCGAGGCAGACCCCCUGUCUUAUAGGAAGGCGCGUGGGAAGCGGAACAGGCAACCCCGUCGCAGUUAAUGCAGCGCCAGGUAUGCCCCGUCAUGCCCGCCUUUUCAGAAUCCGUGCGCACGAUCUGCUACAGGAAAACAUCCCCAUCUCCCUCGUUUCGCGGGCCGGCACCUUCCACCACUUUGUCCGGCCCAAGGCCCGCCAGUAGGUAAAAAAGGGAUACGGGGCUGAAAAUGCCCCUACGGCCUAUUAUGGUCCAGGGGUUCGAAGGCUGGCCCACUACGGGUUUGACAGCCGCCCCAGGACACCCCCGAGUGAGGGGUGAGAAGGGACGGGUCCAAGAGCGGCCAUUACCCGGGCAAGCGACAGCCUAGGGUGUCCCAACCUCACAUUCGAGUCCGGACCAGCACCAAAGUUCAUGAUUUUUCCCCGAAGAAAGGUAACGAGCCCCCGUAUCCGAUCGAAUGGACUCGGUAACUAUGUGAACUGGCCGGCCGGCUGGGGUACGCCACCAGCUUGGCCCGAGUUGGACCCCCCCGAAUGGGGACCGUGACCCCACUCGAAUCGACCCGUUUGCAGCUCAACGAGCACCACGGUUCAUCCAGUGAGGAUAGCGUGGAACGGCUCACCCCCUCCGUCUCAGCGAACAGACGCUUGAGGGGUAACGAUCAAAAGUCGAUCUAGCCUCCUGACCAGUCUCCUGCAACGCGCGGGGCCUUGGGGGCUAGCAUCGCAAACAAUGACCACGCGAAUGGUCGCGAUUAGAAGUCUCCAGGUGGGAAGUGGCCUACGGAACAAUAAGAAACCCUCCCGCACCAAGCCAUCCACAAGACACCUCGCCUGAUCGAUCUCCCCGGCCGAGCCAAGCAAACAACACUCCCUAUCCCUGAUUAACUGCAGCUUGCAUGGCGAGCAGGGAUCCUCGACGAAUGACAAAAGCAGCCUCUGGAGGAGCAUCCAUGCUCCCCCACAGGCUCGGGGGCUACUGUUGGGGGGAAAUAUUAAUGAUCUCCUAAUGCCCCUUAAAACAACAAUCAUGAAGGCCCAGGCCCACCUGCGAUAAUGUUGAUUACCACCGACCCAGCAUGGGUAAGGAACAUCCCGCUCUGUCUCACCCGACCCAGGGCCCCGGGCUCGGACACUCCCGACCCCUCGAUGGCGAAACUCCGCCUCGCCCGACCCACGGUCCCAGGGUCCGGUGCGCUCGACCCCUCGCUGCAAGGCUCCGCCUCGCCUGACCCUGGGCGUAGGGGGUCGGACUCAUCCGGGACCACAAGACAAGGGUCCGCCUCGGGUGCAGGCCGGCAGACAAGGGCGCGGAUCUCGUGGGUCCCCUACCGAUCUUGCCAUAAAUGCGCCGCGGCUCUAGCGCGCAGAAAGGCACCUGCGCCCCUUGACGUGACCCGCCACAAGUACCCGGGUGGAACACUGUACCAACGACCGCACAGGCUACAGUGGCCGCGGCUCCCCCUGAUUCUCGAUUGGGCACUCAUAGCAUGCGCCGCCCGGCACACGGGGGAGCGCCGCCCGUUCUCGCGCUCAGCGUAUCCGGCGACAGGGAUGCGACAUCCGUGUUCCACGGGACGUAAGCAGGACAACAGGGGUCAGUCGUCUUCCCCAACGUGCACAGUUGCCACGACCGGACACCAUCAUCAUGCUCGGCGGCGAUGGUCGCCCGAAGGACCAGCGACAGGAUCCGGCGGCAGCCGCCCUCCUCCGGUGGCGGCGCUGACAGGAGCUGAAGGCCGGAGCAGGAGGUGGCGAUCCGGGGACUUGGUCCUCCUCCUUGUACUUUACUUUACUUAGCUUAUCUCUUUUACUUCUCCAAGACACCCGGUCUCACCUGUAACCCUGAACCCUCCUUGCGCUAUAAAAGGAGAACUAGGGCCCCGAGACAGGGAACUCAAAGGCCAACAGAACAUAUACACUCACCUCUAGAGCAUCAGUGCACACCCAAGAGACUCGGGACCAGCUCCCUCUCUCACCCGUUUGUAACCCCUACUACAGACCACGCGUGAAGAACACGAGCAGCUCCUCAUACUGGAUGUAGGGCUUUCCUUGCCCGAACCAGUCUAAUCCCGUGUCUCCUCAUGCCACCAUCCGAAGCCUUACAUGCAUAAAAGAAAUUUACUAGCCAUAGUCUUGAUCCGUUAAUCUUGACAACGACACUUUGUGUCACGUCACAAAGCAAUAGUCGGCUCAUCCAGAAUGACCGGCGACUGACCGAGGUUCGAAGGCCGGCCCGCGAAGGGCUUGAGGCCGCCUCGCGUCAAACAGAGCCAAGGGAGAAAAUGCAGAUGGAGCCCCAAUGGCCUUCGCUCGACCUGCUCAGAAGCAGUCCGGACCAUCUCGACCUUUUCGUUCGAUGCUAACCUCGAGACAUGUCCACAUAAUGUCCAUUGAGGGGAGACCAGCAGGCCACCUGAGUCAGUCUCCAGAACGACUCGGGCAUCUGCCGAGAGGCGGGUUAAGGAGCAGUGGAAGGCCCAAAGCGGGCUAUACCGACCCUGUUAUGAAUGAUGGACCCGGAUUCCGCUCGAACAUGCCCGUUAGCAAGCUCACCGAGCGCGUCACUCGAGCCAUUGAGGCAAGUGGUGUUAGCUCAGCCCCUCCGAUCACAGAGACCGAGGAUGGGGUGACACACGAAACUCGACUGAUGGUGACCAAGUCCAAUGGGGCUCGGGGGCUCAGGCCGCCGUGUCCCGACUCAAGGAUACGACCAAGGACUUAAGUCAUGGUCAAAACAAACACGGGCAAGCACCCCGAUCUUAAGAACCACAUCCUCCCGAGGGAUGGGGACACUGAGGUUCACGGCCCCAGAAGUGAAUACCUAAGUGUUCAGCCUCCGACCGACUCUCCGGUCAGCUGCAUGCUUGGGGCAACACCCACCGGGUGCGCUCGCGUGCACCCGGCGGAAGCUGGACCAAUAGUGGAUCCCCUCCAAGGGAGGAAAGUGCCAGCAUCCACUCGACCCACCUCUGGUCAAAAAAACGCCCAAGUGUUCAGCCACGCCCAAGUGUUCAGCCUCCGACCGACUCCUUCAUCAGCCGCAGGCUCGGGGGCUAGACCCACCAGGUCCGCUCGCACGAACCCAGCGGAAUACAGACUAUGAGCAAGUCCUUCCCUCGUAAGCUGGCCACCCUGUACAACUCGACGUGUCCCUACGACCUUUGCUAGUCAUCUCAUCGAGAGCUGGGCGCCAGUAUUUACUCGGCUACCAUACGCAAUGCGGCAGACAAAGGGAAACAACGCUGGAAGUCUCAACGACAAUCCGCCUUAAUGGUGCGAUGGGCACAGAACUCACAUGCCAAAGAUAAGCUUUUCAUUGAGAUGAAAACACAAGCCAAAGGCUUUACAAUAUCACGCAAAGCGUGUGAACACAGGAGCCCUAAGGCUUUACAAUAUCACGCAAAGCGUGUGAGUUCAACCUAGGGGCCACCCUACAACUCGAGAACGAAACAAACAAGAAGAGCGCAAUAAAUAGGAAGCUGCACUCAAAACCUCGCUCGUUGACCCAUCCUCGCCAAUCCUUCCUCCUCCGAGCACGAGGCACCAGAGGCCGAAGAAGAUAAACAAACUCAGGGAGCACAGGAGUGCUACCCCCAAAGUUCUCUCUUCCCUCUGAGACAAUCUAUAUAAAGGAGGGCGGCGGCGCGCCCCUGGGGGCACGGCGUGGGGGACUUGAGAGAACAAGAGGUUGGGAGAGGAGAGAGCCGGUGGGUGGAGGGAGAGGAUAAGGUUCUGCAAUGGGCCCCUUUAGUUAGUGUAAUAGGGGCACAAAUGCCAUUUCAUGUGACGCCGAUUCCCCUUCCAUCCAUGUUCCGGUAAAAUCUAGCAGAUUCAUGUUCCGUUAAACUCUAGCAGAUUGGUAACGGAAAUGGCAUAAAGGGAUAAAUUAGAGUUUCUAUGGCACUGAUGGAAUCCGAAAAUUUUUCAUUUUCAUGACAUCGAGGGAAUUUAAUUCCCUCAAUUAACUAUCAGGCAAUGAGAUUAAGUGAGAAGAUCACCGGGCUGUACCAACCACGCACAAACCGCGGAACAGAUACGAAAUAAACGGGAGCAGUACAUUUGGAUUGCAAUUUCAACACUCUUUCUAAUGAGUAGGCAAUAAGAAAAUAGAGUUCAUUUGGAGAAAAUAUAAAACAAGAGUGCAUCGUCCAUUGGCAAGUACAGAAAUCGACUAGCAACACACAAAGUUGGGUCCUCUACACCUUACAUGGUUCAGUAGUUGACACUGAGCUUCAGAUGGCACUUGUUCGCACCUGCUACUCUACAGACACAUUCUCGAUGUCAUUGCAUAUGCAACUCCACUGCCAAGCUGAUGCUGCUUUGCCCUUUGUUCUAAAAGACACAUUCAUGACAAAGUACUGAGUAAAACCGGAAAUUGGGUGUUCAGGUGCUAUAACAACUCCAAUUCCAGCCUUAAAAGUCCAUUUGUAUGUAGACUCAUUCAUUUUCAAAACAACGUGCAAUUCCUCUUGCUUCUUCACAGCCACUAUAUGCUUGAACAUCGACCCACUUCCACAAAAUUUGCCAUCAUAUAGUGAAAUCUCCUCAUCAAACCCACUAGUUGAGGCACUAAUUCUCACGUCUGAUGGUUGUUCUGCUUCUGCCUUUACCUCUAUAACAGUCUCAAUGCUGUCACCUAGCAAAGCAAAUAUCAUGUCCACGCCAUAAACUUCGCCCUGAAACCGUCCUAUCAAGACGGAUCCAAAUCCAGCAAAAGAAGUGUCGAUUUCAACAUACCCACUAAACAACGGUGUGUCAGGAGAUCCUUCUUCCUCUUUUAUCCAAAGAUUAACAUCCAUUAAAAAAUAUGGACACACAUAUAUUCCACGACAUGGGCUACAAAGUGGCAGGAAAGAGCAACCCUGUAGGUAUACAAUGUUAGAACUUCUUAUAAUAUAAAAAGUAUAAGCGCUAUUAAAAAUAAGACCAGCAGAACAGUUCGGUAUAAUGCUGUACAACGCAUAAAAGCGAGUUCAACUGGUAGGUUAAUAGAAUGAAUCCGACAUCAUUUUUUUGUAAAGAAAUAUCACAAUUAAUGGUUUACUCAUGUUGGAAAGAACAUGACAUUUCUCCAACUAUGACCAUAGUUACAAGUGAAUUAGUCAAUAGUAAAGGAUCUGUUUUCCAAUGAGUAAGCUAACAGCGGCUUUUAAAUUUUAUAGUACACCCAUCAAUCCAAAUGGCAUUUAUCUACCAUGAUAAAAGAAUAGAAGUUUUACGGCAUAGUUUUUUAAAGGUCACACAUUCCUGAAAAGAGAGAACUGUGUGCUACAAAAAAUGAAUGGUGGUUUGAAGUAAAUUAAAGAUCCAUAUCACACGUGCAACCAGUAAGGUGAAAAACAGGAUCUAGAUGUAACCUCAAAAUUGGGUAGGAGCUUUUCCAUAAAUCUAUUAUUUCUCACACCCAUGAUAUUCAACCUCAUCCAAUGCAUUAUUUUCAUUUAAGUGACAAUAGAACACUGUUAGCUGCUCUGCUACAGGAUUGUGUUUGGUUCAACAAGCUACCAAAAUUACAGGAUUUGGGCAAUCAGGAACAAUACAAAUGAUUCUAUAAUUUGAAACAUAUUUAAUGUCACCAAAUAACCAAAUCCUAUUCCAGUAUGUAAUGGUACCAUACCCUAGAAGCCUAACUUCACAAAGUAAUAAAAUACAGUUCUGUGCAGAAGCAUACCCUUCCCCUUUCUUUUCAGACAACCCAAAAUAUAAAUUCAUAACUCUCAUAUUUGCGAGUAUAAAAAAUAAGAGUUGACACCGACUACACUUUACAUACGACCUGGCACCAGUACUUAUAUAGUUAUAUAUGCAUUGGCAUGGCAAGAAUUGGGACUAGCACGUCCAAGAUCAAGUCCAAACAAGUUGAAGCAUAAUAAAAAGCACUAAGCUCUAAGCAGACUGGUCAGAAAGGAGGCAAGCAAGAUUGGAGGUAGCACCUAGGAGCACCUAAGUGCCACAUAAUCAUCCCGCUUAAAAUAGUUGAAAACACAGGGUAAGGUAGCUAAUGAAAACUUGAAGGAAACAUGUGAUAAGGAUAACAGAGUUCACCAAUUAAAAAUGUAUUUUGUAAAAAUAAGACAUGCAGUAGACUUCUACCUACUGCUUUACACAGCAGAUUAGGAAAAACAAGUAGUGCCUUCAGACACUACAAUAGGUAGACAAACUUCCUGAACCUAACCCCCUCACACCAACAAGAGGGUGAUUUGACAUCCUUUUUCCUCUACAGUAAUAAGUUUUUUAAUGAGUAGUCAGCAAUUAGUUUUAUCGUAUCAAAUAACUUUCCAAAGCUAUCUUUCCAACUUGAUGAACUAAACAUCAUCACAAACCAAGGGAAUGAAAACAAGGAAUCAUUUUCCCUACGAACUUGCUAGUACCCGGACGUCCGAUGGGAGAUGUUCCCAUCGGAUGGCACCAAUCAUCAGCCACCGACAGAUUCUCACCAGGUGCUCUAACUGCCCAUCGCAACAUGAAACCACAACAUAUGCAACAUCACAGAUGAAUAUUUGCAACAUCAAAAUUAUUCUAGACUAGCUCAUUGCAUCCAACCAAUUUCAGACAAAAAUACCACCGAAACAUCGCAUGUUUCAUGCAACAUCGAUCAAAAUAAUUCUGAUUUAUUCAACAGAUCAUAAUAAGAGUGCUCCAACACUCAAAAUGUCGCAUCGCAACAUUCAUAAAUCAAAGUUGCAACACCUCCAAACAACAGUAGAGGAGAAGCCUCGUGGACGCGGUAGACGUGUGGUCCUCAUGACAGAGCUUCAAUUCAGGACAAGAACAAGCAUCACUUACCUGAGAAAUCAUGGCUGGAUCAUUUCUUGAGCGAUUAAAAAGAUAGUUGCGGAGUGGUUCCCAGGCAUCACGAACAGAAAAAUGCCCAUAAAUAUUAAUAGGACGAGCAAGAGGGCUUGAUAAUCCAAGGGAGAACACUUGCAUCAUCUCACAGGGUAUGAAAUACGGAUGAUCUAGUGCAGCUGCAAGUAUAAAAAAUGAGAAUUGGACUACACGAGAAAAAGAUAAAGUAGCAUGCCAUUGAUCAUUAGUUCACCUACUUUCAUCAGUAUCUCCGAUCCAAUACUGCACAUGGUAGCAGUCAUCUCCAGAAACACAGUUUUUGGUUACCCUUGGAAGAACACGUAGAGGCAACGCAGGCAAAGGAGUCGUGUUGUUGUUAAACAGGUCAGACCAUUCUGAGAGCAGGUCACCAUUCCUUUCCCAGGUAGAUUCAACUAUUUCUUUAGCUUCCUCCAGUGUAUACUUUUGUCCUGUAAAAACAACAGUUCCAUUCAACUGGUUAUUAUAAAACUCUUGUUUAAGGAAAAUCUUCGUUAAGGAACUGCAUGAAUUUUGUUGAUGCAAAACCAAUAUAAUUUUACAUCACGAUUUUGCAAGUUUCAUUCAUAACUAUUGUUUCUUCAGUUUUGGAAAAGGUCUUAGAUGUUACAGAUUACCGAGCGGCGUUCUCUUUGGUCUAAAAAAAUAUGUUACGCGUGUAGUUUCCAAAAAUACCAGCAGUUAGUUUCUCAUUACCUUCAGGGCAAAUAUGUAACGGAUACUCCCAGGGCCACUUGACUGGCAGAUACGGGUUGCCAUCCUCCUCGUCCCAACCCCUCAUGUCGUCUUCGCUGUCAACUUCGCUGUCGUCUUCGCUGUCCUCUUCGCUGUCCUCCUCAUCCACGGUGUCGCCUCGGCUGCCGUUCUUCUCCUCCUCGCCGCCACCGCCGCCGCAUUUCUUCUCCUCAUCCCCAUCUUCGACGGGGCGCUCAAUUAUCUUCAACUUUGGAUCAGGCUCACCCUGUUCUUCCUGCACAACACACCAGAUUGCCUCCAUGAAUCGCCGCGAGGGAAUCGAUGGACCGAGAGGGCGAAAAUCAGAUUAGGGUUUGGGUCGGAGGAUUUCGGUGGUGUGAUGGGGGUCGGCCGCCGGCUGGGGGUGAAUAUCGCUGGGGGUGGUCUCCGCUUUUAAUUGACGUCUCGUAAGGCCGGGCGGACUCGUGGCCCUUUACCACACAAACACAGCAGUAGCGCUUGUGGCCCAAUACGGCCCAACAGCGCGAAAGAACGGCGGAAAUCUUAUGGCAAUCGAGAAAACCUCCUCCCUCGAGCGUCUUGCUUCUUCAGCAAGUGGUCCAGCCAGCGGAUUUUCCUGACAACUAUUUCCUUACAAAAUAGAUUCACAGGAAAGCUAAAAUAAAUAGGACCUAUCGUAUCUUUAAGAAGGUGGGAAACACAUUGAAUGUUUAAUUGCAUGCAUCACAUGAUGCAUGUAUGGACGAUCCUGAAUGAUGGGGUUCAACCAAUUUUCUUGUACCAUAUAUUUCACUCCUACUAGUAGAAAAAUAAAUUAAGUUGGAUGGCUUCAUCAUGGAUGAGUUGGUACAAUUUACCCAAUCAAAUAAAAAAACUAUUAUUAUUUUGAACCAUUUUAUACAUGAAUCAAAUGAUACAAGUAACCAAACACACCCAUAGUGACGGGUCCAUAGACCCAAGGUUCCCAACGGGACAGACUUCCCGCAACACUUGGCCCCACAAAGGGCUCGACAAUAUUGCGCAUCUGGGCCGGCCCAGCUGCGCAAUGCCGGGCCAAAAACACGACCCGCCCACCGACCGACUCCUCUGACUGAGAGGCCCGGUCGGAGCCCCGACGCAAGGGGUCCAGCCAGGGGUGGGACCGUAGUCCGACCCCGACCAAGUUCUCCCGAUCGAGUACUCCCGACCGGGGAUAUACCGUACCUCCCGUACUGCUCCCCCGACAGGCACGAUCGGGGCCGACUGGGACUACCGACAGGGGGCACACGCUUGGUGUGGGUCUAGGGAGCAGGUGGGACGGAUAACGAGGCGGCGCCCGAGUCAGCCGAUCGUAUGCAGAACCGUACCAUGCCACGCCCUGCGCACGCCUACACAGUGCCGCCGUAAACCUACCCGUUGCGGCGUAGUGGCCUAACAAGGAGAACAGGGACCGAGGACGGAGGCCAUACCGUACCCGAUGACGUGGGCCGCAAGACUAGAUAGCACCCGUACACUCACUCUCUCUGUCUCUCCCGACUGUAAGGCCGUUCCCUUGAACUACAAAAGGGGACGGACCCCUGUUUCUACAACAUGUUCACAACAUUUGAUAGACGAUUUUUCACACACUCCCCCACACUCUAGUGCACGCCAGAGCUCCUACCACUCUCUUCCACUGAUAGGAGAACAAGGCCAGGACUCAGGCACCCCCUCUCAUACUCCUCUCGUUUGUACCCCCCACUACGAACUUUGAGCAUCUGAGCUCAGGAAUAAAGUUGACCGACCGACCCUGACUAGACGUAGAGCACGUUGCCUGAACCAAUAUACAUCCUGUAUCAUUACGUGCUAGGCCACAUCCGAUCUAACGCAAUAGCAAAACUACAAAUAUUUACUUGUCGGCCAGAUUUCACACCGACAGUUGGCGCCGUCCGUGGGGAAGACAUCGUUGCAUUCGUGUUUUAGGUCAUCGAAUGGCUAACCUUCCUGCCAUCUUCGGCAUGAUGAGCUCGAGCGACACGAUUCGCUUCGGUUUGCUGGACUUUCCCACCCCCGCACUCGGUGGAGCGUGGGUUCCUCCCGUCUUCACGCCACUCCAGGCCUUCCGUUUUGGGAGCCUGGACUUCAUCGCUGAUCAACUCGGCAUCCUCUGCCUUUGUGACGAGGUGGCUCCCCCGGCAUCCCCAGGAGGAAUGUCUCGCAUCAUCGUCUGCGAGCCGCUCGAUGACCUAGAUGUCAAGGCGCUCGCGCUUCGUAUCGAGUCCAUGCUGGGCACGAACCUCACGGUAAGUGACAUGGAUACUAUCAUGUAUUCACUUGUUAACACCUUCCGCUAGCUCUCCGGAGAAGCUCUGUUGUCACCACCACGCUCACCACACGGUUGGUUCCCUUACAGCCUCAUCUCCCCCGCGAACGCGUACGCUCGGGACUUUGGAGGGUGAUAGCGCUGCUCCCUCUCGCGCUCGAGUUUGUGGGAAUGGUGGACUACGCCCUCGCCUUCUUCCACGACCUUUGUGAUGAGGAGCUCGAGAGCGAUGGCUCCAGCAUCGGCGACGCGUUGUCGCUCGACCAUCCUCUGUCCCGGGAGUGCACCAUGGCAGAUGCCCCGGGACAGCUCCCGGAGGCAGUGGAGUCCGCUGAGACACACACCCCGCCGAACCACCGUGCGGAGGUCCAGACGCAGGUGCAAGUGCAUGGUGAUAAGCUGCCACAGUAGCAGCAGGACCAGCAGCCGCUAGCACCGGCACGCCCACCGCGUCACCCAGAGCCGCAUGCCUGCAACGCGGGAAGCGACACACGAAGCCGUGCCCACCAGGUUCGGUGCAACAUCAUGGCUGGGGAGGAUGACCUCCCAUAAUUCGCUCAGGCCGACCAGAACAUUGCCGCCAUGGUAAUGCUUUUGCGUAGCCUCCCUGAACCCGCUGAUCCCCUGGAGCAGGUAAUCCACCGGAACCUCCGGACACUGGUGGAAACCGUUGCGGCACAGCAGGCGGAGAGCUCCGCGUCGUGUCAGCGACACGCAACAUCUUGCCUAACUGGAGCAUUGGGCCCGCACCAGCCGAACCGCUACGUCCAUUCGCCUCAGCAUCCCUGUUGUGCAGGUCAGAGCGCCGCGGCCGCACCGCAGCUUGACCCAGCACCAGCUCCGCAUCCCCAGCACAUGCAUGAACGCAUAGGGCCGAACCAUGACGCGCGUAUUGUCAUCCACCCGCAACGUGUGGCGCGACACAAUGCCGACGUCGACCACAUGGCAGCGAGAGCGGAGGACAUGGGCCGCAACCAGCACGACGAGGAGCACGAGAAGGUGCACUCUAGGCGUGGCAGCCGACCCAACGACCGGAAUGGAGAUUGAAGACCUAGCCCGGAUGGACCGAGGCCCCGGACCUUCGGCUGCCGCAUCCAGAAAGCGUCGUUCCCUCGGUGCUUCCGACCGCCCACCAACAUCACCAAGUACACUGGGGAGAUGAACCCCGAUGUGUGGCUCGAGGACUUCUGGCUCGCCUGCUGAGUCUGUGGAGUAGAUGAUCAUAACUUCAUCAUCCAGUACCUCCCCAUCUACAUAGGGGAGUUUGUUCGAGCGUGGCUCAAGUUCCUCUUCCCAAUAGCAUCCGUGACUGGGCGGAACUCAAGAAGGUCUUCGUAGGGAACUUCCAAGGGACUUAUGUCCACCUUGGGAAUUCAUGGGACCUCAAGAGUUGUAAAUAGAAGCCCAAGUUCUCGAGGCAAUGCAACUCCCUCCUGGAUGUUGUCAACGCGGAUGUCUUCAGCGCAUUCCUCUCCGGGACGACCUGCGAGUCCUUGAUCCACAAGCUCUGCUGCCAGAAGCCCUGCACCACCCGCGAGCUACUCGACCUCGCCACGAACCACGCCUCAGGUGAGGAGGUGGUCAGGGUGGUCUUCAACACCGGUUGGGACAAGGGCAAGGCCAAGCGCAAAGACCGGGAUGAGGGCCCCUCCAUGAAGCAGGGCAAGAAGAACAAGAAGGAGCAGCACCGACCGACUCACCCGAUCAUAGUAGCGGCGGCCGGCCGAUUGGGCAAGCAACCCUAGCAUGGCCGAAACGACCACUUCAAGAAGCUCAUGGAGAGCCCCUGCACCAACCAUGCCUUCCCCGUCAAGCACCUCGACAAGGACUGCGAACUCCUCAAGCGCUUCCUGCGGCAAGCCGGCAAGCUGAAGGAGCGGACAAGCAAGGAAGACGCGGCCGACAAGGAGGACGCGGCAAGCAAAGAUGGAGACAGCUUCUCUGAGCCUGAAACUUGCCUCAUGAUCUUCGGGGAACCCGACGCUGACCACUCCAAGCGCCAGCGCAAGGUGCGCCACCGAGAGGUAUGCAUCGUUGAUUCAGCUAUCCCUACUUACCUAAGCUGGUCGAAUCAUCUGAUCACUUUCGACCAGAAGGACCAUCCCACCUGCGUGCCCCGACCGAGUUGGUACCAACUCGUCAUCGACCCCAUCGUCGACAAAAAGCACCUCAGUUGGGUACUACUGGAUGGGGGUAGUGGCCUCAACAUCCUCUAUGUUGAACCCUGGAUGCCAUGCGCAUCCCCCGGUCUAAGCUCUGACCGGUCAUCGCACCUUUCCACGGCGUGAUCCUGGGAAUGCAGGUGUAUCCGCUCGGGCAGAUCAACCUACCCAUCACAUUCAGCGACUGCGCUAACUUCCACAUGGAGGUCCUAACCUUCGAGGUGGUGGAAUUUCUCGGGUGCUACCAUGCUAUCCUAGGGCACCCAUGUUACGCCAAGUUCAUGGUGGCCCCCAACUACACUUACCUCAAGCUGAAGAUGCCGGGACCAAACAGCACCAACACACUGGGUAGUAACUUCUCGCACGCCUACACAUGCGACCACAAGAACUUCGAGCUCGCCACCGACCUUGCCCACUCCGCCGAACUCCAGAAGCUCGAAAAGGAGGCUGCUCCAGCCAUGCCCGACUACAAGGAGACGACCGUCGUGAGCGCCUUCAGUCCGACUGAGGAGACCAAGGCGGUGGAGAUCGACUCCAGCUACUCGACCAAGAUGGUGCAGAUCGGGACAAAGCUCCCAACUGAAUAGGAAAGCGAGCUCGCCGACUUCCUACGUGCCAACCGGGAUGUCUUCGCAUGGAAGCCUGCUAACAUGCGUGGCAUCCCGAGGGAGGUCGCCGAGCACGCAUUACGCAUCUCCCCGGGCUUGAAGCCCGUCAAGCAACGCCUGCGCCACUUCAACAACGAGAGCCGUAGGGCUAUAGGCGAGGAGAUCGCCAAACUCCUGGCGGCCAGUUUCAUCAAGGAAGUGUACCACUCCGACUAGCUCACCAACCCAGUUCUUGUAAAAAAGAAAAAAUGGGAAAUGGAGAAUGUGUGUUGACUAUAAUGGCCUCAACAAGGCGUGACCUAAGGAUCAUUUUCCUUUACCACGCAUAGACUGGAUAGUCGACUCCACCUCAGGAUGCGAAAUCCUCUCCUUUCUGGAUGCCUACUUGGGCUAUCACCAGAUCGCGAUGAAAGAAUCCAACCAGGUCGCGACCUCUUUCCUCAUCCCAUAUGGCUCAUACUACUAUGUGACCAUGUCGUUCGGUCUAAGGAACACCGGUGCCACCUACCAGUGGUGCAUGCAAUAGUGCUUCACCGACCAGAUUGACCCGCCCGACCAACCCGACCAAGUCGAGCUAUCAAAAGGCACUAUCGCCGUCUACGUGGACGACAUAGUGGUAAAGACGGUUCACGCGAGCGACCUGAUCGCAAACUUGGUCGCAACCUUCACGAACAUUUGAAGGUUCAGCAUCAAACUGAAUCCCGAGAAAUGCGUUUUGGAGUUCUGAAGGGGAAACUACUUGGAUACAUCGUGUCCGAGCGCGGCAUCCAAGCCAACCCCAAAAAGAUCAUGGCCAUUGCUACAUGGGCCCCAUACGCAAUGUCAAAGGCAUACAAUGGCUUACAGGCUGCUUGGCCGCUCUGAGCCGGUUCAUUUCCCGACUCGGCGAGAAGGGGAUGCUGCUCUACAAGCUCCUCAAGAAGACAGCCACGUUUGUCUAGACGGAAGAGGCACAGAAGGCUUUAGAGAGCCUCAAAUCAUUGCUGACUUUAGCCCCGGUCCUCAUCGCUCCCGAGGGAGAGGAACCCUUACUCCUCUACAUCACAGCAAGCAACCACAUGGUCAGCGCCAUUCUCGUCGUCGAGACGGAGGAGCCCAGGCACGUGCUGAAGAUUUAGCGACCGGCAUACUUCGUCAGUGAGGUGCUCACUGAUGCCAAGUUGUGCUACCCCUAGGUGCAGAAGCUUCUGUACGCCGUCCUGAUGGCGAACCGGAUAUUCCUACACUACUUCACCGAGCAUGAGGUUAUGGUCGUCACCUCGUCCUCUCAUGGUAGCAUAUUGCCAAGAGGUGCGCAAGCUCGAGGGAAAAUUCCGGGGGAUCGAACUGCAUCACGUCCUACGAAAGGACAACAACGCCGCUGACUCCCUAGCAAAAAUGGUAGCCAAACAGGAACCAACACCAGAUGGAGUCUUCGUGAAUGACCUCCGCGAGCCAUCCACCCGCGUCCGGGAUGACCCGACGUAGACGCCGCCUAGCCCUGACCAAGCGCUCGGGGGCUCUGCCGUGCCGACGCGGCCUGACGCCGACCAAUGGCUCAAGGGCUCUGAUUCGGAUAAUGUGGUGAUGAUGCUUCAUCCAGCUAACUGGAGGGCGCCACUACUCACUUACAUCCUCGAAGAAGUCCUCCCACUGGAGAGGAUGGAAGCACGAAAAAUCUCUCAUCAUGCCAAGACGUUCAUUGCCAUCGGCGACGAACUCGACAAACGAAGUCCGUCAGAGGUACUCAUGAAGUGCAUCCCGACUGACCAGGGGAAGUAGCUUCUCCUCAAAGUCCACGUCGGAAUUUGCGGACGUCACACGGCCCCACGUUCGCUGGUCGGGAAAGCUUUCUACCAAGGCUUCUACUGGCCACAGCACUGUGCGACGCAAAGGAGGUGGUCUGCAAGUGAGAGGGAUGCCAGUUCUACGCUCGGCAGACUCACCUGCCAACGUAGGAACUACAGACCAUUCCCAUCACCUGGCCAUUUGCGGUCUAGGGCCUCGACAUGGUCGGGCCCCUCAAGAAGGCCCCAGGUGGGCACACACACAUGCUCGUGGUGGUGGACAAGUUCACUAAGUGAAUCGAGGCGAAGCCCAUCACCAACAUCCGCUCCCAAGAGGCGGUCGGGUUCUUCCUCAACAUUAUCUACCGGUUCAGAAAUCCCAAUUGUAUCAUCAUAGAUAAGGGAACAAACUUCACUGGCAAGAAGUUCCUAGAUUUUUGUGAUGGCUACGGUAUCAAGGUUGGCCUCGGUCGGACACCCGCGGACCAACGGCCAGGUCGAGCGAGCCAACGACAUGGUCUUCCAAGGACUCAGCCAGGCAUCUUUGACCGGCUCAAGAAGCACACCGGCUGAUGGGUCACGAAGCUUCCAGUAGUCCUCUGGAGCGUGAGGACGACCCCAAACCGAUCGAUGGGGUUCACCCCCUUCUUCAUGGUAUACGGUGCUGAGGGGUGUUGCCAUCCGACCUUGACUACAACGUUCCAAGGGUAAAGGCGUUCGAUCCCGACCAAGCUGUGGAGGCUCAACAGGACACGGUCGACCUACAUGAGGAAGCACGCAAAAUGACGCUCAUCCGCUCUGCCCGCUGCCAACAAACCCUUCGCAGGUACCACGAGAGGAAGAUCCAGGGAAGAAUCCUUGAGGUUGGCAACCUCGUACUUUGGAGGACCCAAACAACCAAGGACAAGCACAAGCUCUCUCCACCAUGGGAAGGACCAUACACGGUGGCCGAGGUGAUCUGCCCGGGCACCUACUGACUGAAGGACGAUGACGGCAACAUCCUCGCCAACACUUGGAACAUUGAGUAGUUACGUCAUUUCUUUCCUUGACUCAGUUCAUUACCAGUCCUUCUCCAUUCAACACUUGCUCCUACAACACCCCAGCCUGAACACAUUCGGCCUAGGUCACUCAGGGGCUCCAUGGGGCUAUGGCACUGUGGCGGAACCGCCCAACUUAAACUGGUUUAACUGUGCCUAAUCGCUGUUAGAACAACAAUUAUCUGAAACGCACUUAAAACAGUAUAAGUCCGGUAGUCCGUCGAGUGUCCCUAGGACUCCUCGAACGAUCCACAUCAUGUCUCAUAGCCAUACACCAGGAUUACUUCCAUGAUGGGAAAGCAUCAACAAAUAUUACAUUUUUACAUACAUACAUGAGGUACGAGUUAUUACAGAACGUAGUUUGAAAUAAACUUAACAGUGCAGGUUAGAGAGAUUCUAGGAGUUUAAAACAUAAACUGGUCCAGGUGAGAGAUGAGCAUUUAAGUUUUCUUCUGAGGGUAUUGUGAGACUCGUAACAAUACCCUAGUUUUUCGGGGCCUCCUCCUCUGCGGACUCCUGCGGUGAUUCUGAAAACAGCCACAAGGGAUAACCCUGAGUACGGGGUACUCAGCAAGGAUUACCUGACUAACCAAUAUAAUAGUUUUUCUGGAACUAUAUGAUAGCUUUUUGGUGUACUGGCUGACACACUUUUUGCCAAAAGAGCUUACUAAAAGUGAGACCUUAGCUUUAUCUUUUAUUCCUAACCAUUCUAAAUGAUGACAAAAGAAUAUUUUGCAAGCAGCAAGAUAUUUAAGUCAUACACCAAGUUAUUAUUGGAAAGACAUUGCAUUUAUGAAAUUAUACUACGAUGCUCAACAAUGAUCAAGUGCAUUCAUAACCGAGAAUUGCGGCGAUCCAGAUAAAUUUACAUCCUGCAGGAGAGUACCUUGAUCACCAGCUAUGUACGACUGUCCAGGUCAUACAUAACGACCUUUCGAUUAGCAAACCCAAGGAUUGGGAAUAAGACUACCCGAACCCAGGGACGCACCCCCACAUGGGACCCCACGUCUGGUCUGAUCUCCAUGUGAGCUUCAGGCUACGCACCUGCCAAUGUCAAGCACGUCAAGCACGGGUACGAAGUAUUCCCAAUCAGAGAGUCUACUAACCUACCGGGCUUUACUGGUCCCAUACCCAGUAAGUAAUCAGGUGUCAUUCACUUGAUCAAAGGUUAAGACAACGAUCGGGCCUUAACCAGAUUAAACUAGCAGACAGAACUAUCAUCUCUAGCUUCUGCCUGCUUUCAACUCCCAAGCUACCUUUCCAUACUUAGCAUGUAUGACUCAACGUUUCACCUUAAGGUUUGGUAAACAAGUUACUUUAAGCAACUAAGCAUUUCUAAACUUGGGUUCCUUACUAAUUGUUUGAACAAGUGGCAAAGAUGUCCUUAAAACAAGGUAUGAUAAUGCACAAGAAUGGGUUUCAAUCAAUUCCUAGACUUAGUGCAUUCAUAUAAAAAUUAACCAAUAAUUGGACACAUGAAAUAAUAAUUCCAAAGUAGAUAAGUAUAAAUGCACUGGAGCUUGCCUUGUUCUAUAAAAAUAUUAGCACUGUCCGACGGAUUGGCUUCGCAGGGGAUCGAUUCAAUGAUCUCUUCAAACUCCGGAGAUCCUUCUGAUAAUUCCAAGAAAUCCUCUUCCGGUGCUUCGGUGUCUAUGAUAAAGCAUAUGCAUGGGUUAGUGAUGCAACUUUUUGAAUACAAGACUAUACAACUUUCCUUCAUGAUAAAGUUGGAAGCCAACAAGGGACUACACAAUUUAUCAUGAUGAAGUUGCAAGCCAACACACAAAAAAAACCCAAAAAGAUUAACCCACCAUUUUUAUUUUCUUUACUAACCUUACCUUAGGAUUUUUCUUUUGUUUUUAGAAAAUAUUAUAAUUAUUUUCUAGCCUCAAAAUCUAAGUUCCUAUAGGUUAAUAAUAAUUUGUGAUUAUGAAAACAUUAUUCCAUAUUUAUGUAUUAAUAAAGGUUAAGUAUUUAUUUAAAUACCUUAAUGAAAAGGCAUUAAACAAAUACGUAAAUUUUAUUAUUUUUCCUAGGGUAUAAAAUUUUUUAAUACAUAAAGGAAAAUAAAACAAUCCUAACAAAAUUGGUUUCACUAAUUUUGGACACCCCAAGAAAUUUCUAUGAUUUAAAUGGUGAUAUAUGAAUUUAAUCUAUUAAUCUUACAAAAGAAAAUCUAUAUUCUUUCCCAAAAACCCCCGGCCUACUUUUCUUACUCACCGCCUUCCUACCCCCUCUCUCUCACGCUGGGCCCGCGGCUCGGACCCACCUCCUUCCUUGUUCCUUCUACCCGCCGGCCCUUUUCUCCUCUGCCGGGCUCACUGGGCCGAUUCCCUUUCUCCUCGUCUUUCCUUAAUCUGGUACCGGCCCACGGCCUACUGCUCUUUCCCUCUCCUUCCUCUAAUGCCCGGCCUGCUAACCUGUUCGUCGGCCUGCUGGACCGCUGGCCCAACACACCCUCACGGCGCCCCGGAUCGGAGCUUGGGCUUAUAGGACUCCGGCCCACCAUGCUUUCGCUGCGCCCCGGCCGGUCUCUUCUAUGCUUCCCCCCCUUUUCUCCGACUGACACGUGGGCCCGCUAUCACCAGCGUCUUCUUCCUUCUCGCGCCAAAACCCGAGCGCGGCAGGGGGCGGCACGGCUCGCCAGCCGGCGCCCCACCGACGACGGGGCUAGGCUAGGAAAGCAUCCCCAUACCAAAGCGCACCCGUGCGCGGCGGCAGCUCCCCGGGAGGUGGCCGGAGCUCCCCUCUCCACGGCGGCGGGCGGUGGAGCUGACUGCUGGCCGUGACCAAGCACGACGACGGCGCAACCCACCCCUCCGACUACCCCUACAGCUUCCUAGAACCCUAGACACUUACCUACGGCUUACCGCAAAGAAGGACAGCGACGGCAAAGAGAUGCUCACCGUGAGCAGGGGGGUCUUGCGGCAGCGGACGAUUACAGCAGCGGUCACGGGUGCGCCGGCGGAGAAGCUGGACAACAAGCUGACCGGGUUGUUGGUAGGGUGUGAGUGGNNNNNNNNNNNNNNNNNNNNNNNNNNNNNNNNNNNNNNNNNNNNNNNNNNNNNNNNNNNNNNNNNNNNNNNNNNNNNNNNNNNNNNNNNNNNNNNNNNNNUGGUGGAAUUUUUUGGUCGGCGCUGGUGGUUUGACAGAGAGGGUCGGCGGCGGUAAAAAGACAGGUGGUAAGGAGCAGCGGCGGGAACGGUAGAUAUACGAAGUUUCACUGUGCGCAUGGACGACACUGUGGCCUAGCCAUAGACUUGCGUGGUGAAGCGGUGGCCGUCAGCGUCGAGCUGGACAGCGAGCAAGGGCACCGGCGGCGACACGUCUCGCCCUCUCUGAUUUCCUUUCCCCCUUUUCUUUCUUUCAUCAGAAUGUUCAGACUUUCCCCGUGGCCGAUUUUCAAUCCGAUGGUCCACAAACCUCUUAAGCAAAGUUGGAGAUAAUCUCAAGCUCUUCAAUUUUUAUUUUGGCUCUUGCUCGAGAUAAUCAUCUAACGUGGUCAAUUUUGAAUUUCUUUCUCAGUUCCACUGAAAUGCCGUGAAACUUGAAUUCAGUUCGACAGUCACCAUAUAUGGCCAUUUACCCUUCUGUUAAUUCACUUCCAGUGGCCCAAACUCAUUCUUUUUAGUCCAUCUACUAUCCAUUCGUGCUCUACAAUCAUCAGGGAUUCCAUUUUGCUCAUAAACUCCCAUACCUUUUGUACUACAUUUUUCUAAAUCUUGCUCCAAACUCAGGCAUUUGCUGCUGUUUCAGACUUAGACAAAAAUUCAGUUCAGCAGCUAAGUUGACCGUGGUAAAGUGCUGACUUUGAGCCUCAAUUUAAAAUUGGUCCCUCUACUAUUCUUGACCAACAACACCCUAAUAUACUUCUCCAAAGUUCAUACUUCAUUGCUGUAUAGUUGCUUUGGUCCACUUACUUGAAAAUUGUGGCAGAAAUUAAUUUCCAAAAUGGAUACUUAUACUAUUUUUGAGAAAUUCUAUUUUCGGACAAUGAACAGUACACUGUUGUUUUGAUUUUUCCAUUGUCUUUCUUGAGAUGUUUAGGGCUCGGUUUAGUCUUCAAUCUUGAUCCCCAAAGUUGUAAACACUCUCAAGCUUCCAUUCCAUAUUUUUGCCCAAUUUUUCUGAAUUUAGAAUUCAAAAUUCAAAUUUCGAUCAAAUUUGACUUGAAUUUGACUUUUAGUCAAUUUCUUCUCUUUUUCUCCAGAGUUCACCUUUAAUUUUUCUUAAUCACCUUUGAUGAUUGAAACACCAGGUGUUACAGGUCUCGAGAUUCCAUGGGUUACUCAGUUUUGAGAAUGGAAAGGAAACUGCGUCAGAUAAGACAUUUUUCUCUUUUCUGUAUUAAGAAGGUGGGGUGGUGGCUUUUGUUUAUCUGAUUUUGACAGUUUCAAAUAGCUCGGGAUAUUUGGACUCUAAGUCUUCAGCCUGUUCCCUAGUAGCUUCAUCUGGAGUAUGAUUCUUCCAUUGUACCUUGUAAAACUUAAUACUUCGAGUUCGGGUAUCUCUUGUCUUUUCAUCCAGAAUUUUAAUAUGCCUUUCCUCGUAGGUGAGGUCUAGCUCGAGCUCAAUUUCCUGAUCUUCUAGAAUUUCUUCUGGAACUCUUAAGCACUUCUUAAGCUAGGAUACAUGAAAUACAUCAUGUAUAGAAGCAAGUUGGGCUGGUAAUGAAAGCUUGUAUGCCACCGGACUCUUUCGUUCCAGAAUCUCAUAUGGACCAAUAUACCUUGGGGCUAGUUUACCUUUUACACCAAAACGUUGCACUCCUUUCAUCGGAGAUACCUUCAGAUAUACAAAGUCUCUGACAUGAAAUUCCAAAAACCGUCUUCUUUUAUCUGAAUAACUCUUUUGUCGAGACUGGGCUAUUUCUAAAUGUUUACGAAUCUUUCGGACCUUUUCUUCAGUUUCCAUAACCAAAUCUGAUCCAAAUUGUGUCCUCUCUCCUACUUCUGACCAAUUCAAGGGGGUUCGGCAUCUUCGACCAUACAAGGCUUCGAAAGGCGCUAUUUUAAUACUAGCUUGAUAGCUAUUAUUAUAGGAGAACUCAGCUAGGGGCAAACAUUCAUCCCAUAGCUUAGAGAAGGUAAGGACACAAGCUCGCAACAUGUCUUCCAAGAUUUGGUUGACUCUUUCUGUCUGUCCCCCGGUUUGAGGAUGAUAGGCAGAGCUUGUGAUUAGAGUAGUCCCCAUAUCUCUUUGCAGUUGUUCCCAAAACCUGGAAACAAAUUGGGAGCCUCGAUCAGAAAUAAUUGUCUUUGGUACCCCGUGCAGAGACACAAUUCGGGCCAUAUAGAUCUUUGCAUACGUCGAUACUGGAUAUGUAGUCUUGACGGGGACGAAAUGGGCUGACUUAGUAAGUCGGUCAACAAUAACCCAUAUGGAAUCAUACCCUUUUGAAGUAGUAGGCAACCCAACUAUGAAGUCCACGGAAAUAUCUUCCCACUUCCAGCCGAAAAUUUCUGAGGGCUCAAGUAAGCCCGCCGAGUUUUGUAGGAUUGGUUUAACUCUUCGGCAGGUGUCGCAUUUGGCUACAUACCUUGCAAUUUCUGGUUUCAUUCUGGCCCACUAGAAUCUCUGCUUCAAAUCUUGGUACAUUUUGUUGCUUCCGGGAUGAAUGGCGAACUUAGAUAGAUGUGCUUCGUCCAAGAUCAUCUUCCUUAGGUUUUCAUCCUUAGGAACUACUAUCCUUUUCUUGAAAUAUAGUCCCCCAUCAUUUUCUUGAGUGAGUUUAGGAAUCUUUCCUUCUACUUUCUGUUUAUAAAGUACCUUUAUCCAUGGAUCCUUCCUCUGGACUGUUAUAAUUCUUUCCUUUAGAGUGUCUUGCAUGAUAAUGUUCUAGAGGGUACCUUGCGUCACUAUUUCCAAACUCAAAUCUUCUAACUCUUCACACAGGGUCUUAAGCCCAGAUUGAACAGUGGUGCAGUGGCAUUGUGCUUUCCUGCUCAAUGCAUCAGCCACCACAUUAGCCUUACCAGGAUGGUAAUGGAUUUCUAACUUAUAAUCCUUAAUUAAUUCUAGCCACCGUCUCUGUCUCAUAUUCAAGUCCAUUUGAGUGAAAAUGUACUUUAAGCUCUUGUGGUCAGUAAAGAUACGACAUUCACUACCUAAAAGGUAGUGCCACCAUAUCUUUAAUGCAUGGACUACAGCAGCAAGUUCCAAAUCAUGGGUAGGGUAAUGCUCUUCAUGGUGCUUCAGUUGUCGAGAAGCAUAAGCAAUGACUCUACCUUCUUGCAUAAGAACACACCCUAUCCCUAUUCCGGAGGUGUCAUAGUACACAUCAAAGGGUUUUUCUAAAUCAGGUUGAGCUAGUACUGGCGCUGUAGUUAGUAGCUUCUUUAAUGUUUGAAAUGAUUCUUCACAUUCGGGGCUCCACUCAAAUUUCACUUCUUUCUUUAACAACUCCGUGAUUGGCUUGGAAAUUUUUGAGAAGUUAGGAAUGAACCUACGGUAAUACCCGGCCAUUCCUAGGAAACUUCUCACUUCAUGAACAGAGGUCGGUGGUUUCCAAUCCAAUAUGUCCUUGACCUUUCCGGGGUCUACUUCAAUUCCUUUUUCGGAUAGAACGUGCCCAAGGAAUGGAACUUUCUUUAACCAGAAUUCACAUUUACUGAGCUUGGCAUAUAACUGAUGUUCCCGGAGUCUAUUUAGAACAAUACGCAAAUGUUUCGCAUGUUCCUCUUCAUUUUUAGAAAAGACUAGGAUAACAUCUAUAAAGAUGACCACAAAUUUGUCUAAUUCAGGCAUGAAUACUGAAGUCAUGAGGUACAUAAAAUGCGCUGGGGCAUUUGUCAGUCCGAAGGACAUAACCAGAUAUUCAUAUAAUCCGUAUCAGGUUGAGAAGGCAAUUUUAGGUAUGUCUUCGGGCUUUAUCUUAAUCUGAUGAUAUCCUGACUGAAGGUCGAUUUUUGAAAAGACCUUGGCUCCAGCUAGUUGGUCGAAUAACAAGUCAAUCCGUGGCAAAGGAUACUUGUUCUUAAUGGUUAUCGCAUUUAAAGGGCGGUAAUCCACACACAACCUCAAUGUGCCAUCUUUCUUUUUAACAAACAGUGCAGGGAAGCCCCAUGGUGAAGUACUAGGUCAGAUAAAACCUUUAUCUAGCAAUUCUUGGAGUUGGACUUUAAAUUCUGCCAACUCCUUAGGUGGCAUUCGAUACGGCCUUCUGGAGAUAGGAGCAGUGCCAGAUUCUAACUCAAUAGUAAAUUCUACCGCUCUAUCAGGCGGUAGUCCAGGAAGAUCCUCCGAAAACACAUCUACAAACUCAUCAACCACAGGAAUAGACUCUAGAGUCACUACUCUAGUAUUUUUAACCAUCUGGUCCAGACAAGGAUGAGCAAGUAAUUGGAGCUUAAAAGGGUGGCCUUGUUUGUCCCUCGUACUAACGAUUCGGUUAUCCACAUCAAUUUGAACUUUAUGUUCCUUCAUCCAAUUCACCCCAAAAAUAAUAUCUAUUCCUUGAUCUUCCAAAAUUAAAGGAUAAACACCCACCUUAUUUCCUUCUAAAUUCAAAAUCACAUUGCGAGCUACCUGAUUUGUAUUUUGAGUAGCUCCAGUAGCUUGAAUAGCAUAUUUGAUAUUUAAGGUGUGCACUUCUAGUUGGUGUUGCUUAACAAAUGCUUUGCUUAUAAAGGUAUGUGAUGCACCCGAAUCAAAUAGAAUCAUGGCAGGGUAAUCAUUGACAAAGAACGUACCUGCCAGAAUAGGUUCACCUUCUAGGAUCUCUUCUACAUUCAUAUAGUGAGCCUGCCCCGUCUUGGUAUUCAGAAAUUUACGGCGAACCAACUUUUGUCCGACGCCCUGGCUAGAGGUUUGAGCCCUCAAAUUUGCGUUUCCCCCAACUUUGGGAAAACGGCAAUCCCGGGCAAAGUGUCCCGGCUUUCCACAAUUAAAACAAACCUAUGGGUUCCCUUGAGGAGUAGGGCUGCGAAACCCAAGAGGCGGCGCAUUCCCAGUGUGGCGGAACCACCCAACUUAAGCUGGUUUAAGUGCGCCUAAUCGCUGUCGGAACAGCAAUUAUCCGAAACGCACCUAAAACAGCAUAAGUCCGGUAGUCCGUCGAGUGUCCCUAGGACUCCUCGAAGGAUCCACGGCGUGUUUCAUAACCAUACAUCAGGAUAAUAUCCGCGAUGGGAUAAUAUCAACAAACAUUACAUUUUUACAUAUAUAUAUAAAAGGUACGAGUUAUUACAGGACAUAAGUUGAAACAAACUUAGUGAUGCAGUGUUAGACAAGCUCUAAGAUUUAAACAUAAAUAGUUCAGGAGAAGAUGUGCACGUAGAACUUUUUCUCUAGGGUAUUGUGAGACUCAGGUCAAUACCCUAGGGCUUCGGGGUCUCCUCCUCUGCAGCCUCUUGCGGAGCUUCUGAAAGAUAGCCACAAGGGGGAAAACCCUGAGUACGGGGUACUCAGCAAGUCUUACCCGACUAACCAAUAUAAUAGUUUUCUUUGGAAUGCAUGUCAGCCUUUGGGGUGUGCUUGGUUAACACAACUUUUGCCGAAAAGCUUACUACGAGUAAAGCCUUAGUUUUAUCUUUUAUUUGGGUUAAGUUAUUACCUAACCAUUCUAAAUGAUAACAGAAGUAAAAGCAACCAUAGCUGUUAAAUCAUACAUCAAUUGAUAACAGGAGAAUACAUAUUGCAUGAAUUGAUACUACGAUGCUCAACAGUGAUCAAGUGCAUUCAUAACCGAGAAUUUCGGCGAUCCGGAUCUAAUUACAUCCUGCAGGAGAGUACCCUGAUCACCAGCGUUAUACGACUAUCCAGGUCGUAUCUAACAACCUCUCGAUUAGCAAACUCAAUGGUUAGGAAUACGACUACCCGGACCCAGGGAUGCACCCCCACAUGGGACCCCACGUCUGGCCCGAUCACCAUGUGAGUUUCAGGCUACACCCCUGCCAAUCUCCAGCACGUCAAGCGCGGGUACGAAGUAUUCCUGAUCAUAGAGUUUACUAAUUUACUGGGCUUUACUGGUCCCAUACCCAGUAAGUGAUCAGAUGCUUAUCACUUGAUCAAAGGUUAAGACAACGAAUCGGGCCUUAACCAAAUUAAUCUAGCAGACAGAACUACAUCUCUAGCUUCUGUCCGUUUUCACUUUCCAAGUUAUCCUUCAUAAGCAACAUGUAUGACUUAAGAGUUUUCCUUAAGGUUGGUAAACCAAGCAUGUAAGCAAGUAAGCAAUUCUAGACUUGGGUAUCUUCUAAGGUUUGAACAAGUGGCAAAGAUGUCCUUAAAACAAGGCAUGAUCAUACACAAGAAUAGGUUUCAAGCAACUCCUAGACUUAGUGCAUACAUAAAGCAAAUAACCUAUAACUAGUCACAUGAAAUAACGACUCCAAAAUAGAUAGGUAUAAAUGCACCGGGGCUUGCCUUGUUCGCUAAAAAGAUUAGUAGACUCUGACGGGUUGGCUUCACAGGGAACUAACUCAAACACUUCUUCGGACUCCGAAGGUCCUUCUGAAAAUUCCCAAUAUACUCCUUCCGGUGCUUCGGGAUCUAUGGCAUAAUACAUGUAGGGGUUAGAAUGCAACAUUUUGAAUUAAAGACUAUACAAUUUUUCUUCAUGAUAAAGUUGCAAGCCAACAAGGACUAUACAACCUAUCAUGAUAAAGUUGUAAGCCAACACAUAAAAACCCAAAAGAUUAACCCACAAUUUUAUUUUUCUAAUUUAACCCUUCUUAUAGCUUUUUCUUUUAUCUUUAGAAAAAGUUAUAAUUAUUUUCUAACUUGAAAAUCUAAUUUCCUAUGGGUUAAGAAUAAUUUGUGAUUAAGAAAGUGUUAUUCAUAUUUUAUACAUUUUAUAAAUAUUAAGUAUUUAUUUAAUUACCUUAAAAGGAAGGCAUUAAAUAAAUACCCAAAUUUUUAUUAUUUUUCUAGGGUGUAAAAAUUUUAAUGCGUAAAGGAAAAUAAAAAAAGCCUAACAAAAUUGGUUUCACUAAUUUUGGACACUCCUAUAAAUUUCUGUGAUUUAAAUGGUGUAAAACGGAUUUAAACGAAUUAUUUCACUAAAGGAAAUCUAAUUUUUCCUGAAAUCGCCCGGAAAUACUUUUCUCACCCGGCCCUUCUCUACCCUCUCUCACGCGCACUGGGCCCCACGGCGCGGACCCCACCUCUCCUAUUCAUUUCUACCCGCUGGCCCUAUUUUCCCCCUAACGGGCCCCGUGGGCCGAUUCUCCUUUCCUCCUCCUUUCUUUGGCCCGACACCGGCCCACAGCCCUCCUUCUCUCUCUUACUGUACCUGUUCGUGAGCCUGUUAGCUGCUCUNNNNNNNNNNNNNNNNNNNNNNNNNNNNNNNNNNNNNNNNNNNNNNNNNNNNNNNNNNNNNNNNNNNNNNNNNNNNNNNNNNNNNNNNNNNNNNNNNNNNCCUUUUCCGGCCGACCCGCGCGUACUUCACUGGGCCUCCAGGCCACGGCCCAACAGAUGGCCGCGCCGCUUCCGGCCUCUCUCUCUCUCUCCCUCUCUUCCCACUGCCGCGCGGGCCCAACGCCCGGGUGCUUCUUCCUCCUCCCGCCAAAACGCGCCCGUGACAGGGGGCGGCGCAACCCGCCGGCCGGCGCCCCACCGGCGGUGAAGCUUGGCCAGGACAACACCCUUACACCUUCACGCACCCGUUCGCAGCGACAGCUCCCCGGGAGAUGGCCGGAGCCAUCCCAUCCACGGCGACGGGCGGCGACACCCUCGGCCGGUGGUGACUACUCACGACAAUGGCAUAACCUACUCAAACAUCUACCCCUACACCAUCCUAGGACCCUAAGGACUCGACUACGACUACUCAAGAAGGAAGAGAGGCAGCGCGAAGUAGAGCUCACCGUGAGCGGGCGGCGCGACGACGGCGGACAGAAGCGACGGCGAGCAUGGUUACUUUGGCAUGGAUGUUGGACAACAACUGGUCUGUGUUGGAGGUAUGCCCUAGAGGCAAUCAUAGAGAUGAUGAUAUUCCAUUUGUAUCCAUGAUUUGUAUAUUGUGUUCAUUGAAUAUCCAUUAAAGGCUACUUGAAUUGAUUUGCAAUUAUGUGAAUUGUAUGUGAAACUCUUUACUUGUAUGGUUAUUCUAAAGUUGUCCCUAGUCAGAGUUCAUGUGAGGACACACAUGAAUAUUAGACUAGCACAUGUAUUAGUUGAUGACUAUGUUUCACAAGUCAUGGACAUGGAGAUGUUGAACUAAUAAUGUGGACACAUGUGGAGACAUGUGUUAGGACUGACCCAACAUGAGAAGUAGUUCUCUCUUUAUACAACAUAUACGCUUUGUCCUUAGACCUGAAAUUGUCGCAUGUAUUCUAGAUGUGGAUCGACUUACUUAGGGGCUAUCAAACGCUACGCCGUAACAGGGUAGUUAUAAAGGUAGCUUUCGGGUUUGUCAAGAAGCAUGCUAUGAGACAUGGUCAAUCAAGAUGGGAUUUGCCCCUCUCUGAUUGAGAGUGAUAUCUCUGGGCCCCUCGAGUGAUCGGAUCCAAAAAUGCAUGGCCAUGCUACGUACGGUUAAGAGUUAACCUACAAAGGGAUUCCGAAUCACAGGAUCGAGAAAGAGCGGUCGGCUUGAAGCUAGACCAAAUAUCGUGAGGCAAAGGGAAUAACAUGUAUAUUAUGUUGUGAUGGUUCGUCUCAUAUGAUCUUCGUGUGCGUAUAGGAGUUGGCACGUCUUGCUAGAGCCUGCUACCGACUAUUGGGCCGAGUAGGAGUACUCGGGCCAUGUCUAUACGUAUCCGAACCCAUAGGGUCACACACUUAAGGGGCUGGAAGCCCAAUUCGGAUCUGAUCCGAGUUGGAUUAGGUUUAGGAGUACUAAUGGGCCUCGGAUCCAGAGGCCCAUCAGGAACCUCUAUAAAUAGAGGGGUGGGGGCACCCUAGGGUUUACACCUUUUUGGCGAAACACACUUGCCGCGCCUCCCACGCCCUCGCCUGUUGCAACUCGCGGAUCUAGCAAUCCGGCUUGCGACGCUUCCUCCCUGCACGUGUGGAUACCUUGGAGGUGUUGCGCCUGCAACACUUGGACGAGCCAUCGACGAGCCGCCGACGAGCCACGACGAGCCGACGACGAGCCGCGGCACCGGAGGCGAUCUUGCUGCACGUGGACGAGCUGCUGAGGAGCUGCUGGACGUGAUUGACUACGUACGACUACGUGAUCGUCUUCACUGCACCGAUGCAUAUCUACAUCUUCCGCACCAGUAGUGCGUCGAGUGGUAAUCCCGUGAUCCUUAUACGGCAGUUCUUCCUGGUUAUACGCGGUAGAAAUUUUGAUUUGCGCUAGUGUAGCCUACCUCGUAUCCCAACAGUGGCAUCAGAGCCGUAGCUGCUUAGUUUUGGAUUCGGGAUGUGUGCAUAUGGAGAUAUGCGAGUUCUCUGUUUGAUCUAUGUCCUGAUUUCGUGCCCUUGCUGCAAUGGUAGUGUAACGACAUACUCCUACCGGUCGGUUUCCGCCAUCGGAGUUAAGUGAUACACGUAAAUCCAGUUGCAGUGAGGGAAGAUCAAUAUGAUUGGUCGAAUCGAGAUCCAGGGUCAUACGCCAGGCGCAUUAGAUGUGCAAUAGUAGAUGGGAUCUACUGCCGGGGUCGGGAUUUUGCCGUAUGCGUAUGCUUCGGUAAAUCAGCCGUAACUUUUCGGUACGAUCUCGGAUCGGGGCGAUUUUUAUACGAAAAUUGAUCUACAAAAAAAGUUACACAUGAAAUUCAACCGCUUCGCCAUUUUCGGCGAAAUUUGAUUUCCCAAAUUCGGCUUGGAAGAUGGAGUUUCGGGCCUCUGAAGUUUGGAACGUUAGGACGCCUAACUCUGUUUUGCAGGAUGUAUGUAUGUAUCUUGUGAUCAGUAUGGCCCCCUUGUGUAUGUGAUGCAUGUGUGUAACUCAUUCGUGACCUGCGUGUCGCGCGUACGGCAACACGGCAGGAGCCAUAUGUGUUGUCACUUUAUUGUAUUUAAUGGUCUGCGUACCAAUCUGUGAUGAUCCAAGCAACUAUGUAAUCUUCAUUACUAGAUUCUUUACUAGCUAUUAGGCGUAAUAGCAUGCUCUAGUUCUUGGAGGACUCAUCACCAGGAGGAUGGCGCACAUGGAACAUGGAGAUGGAGAUCACCAUGGUGAACAGGUUCUAUGGAGAUGGAGAUCACCAUAUGAAAACGGGCCAUACUGUGUCACAACUAUGUGAAUGCUAUUCUGUUUAUGUUUUACUUUCUGCAUGCUGUGAUGUUAGAAGUAGAACGAUCCCUCACAAAGUUUAAGUUAGUAUGCCCUCCCAACUAAAACUUGCACCGUCCCAUGUCUUCUACAAUUAGUGGUGGGUCUAUGAAAUUAGGGUGCCACUAGUUUUCCUUGACUAGACGGGUUUGUGUCGGACACUUACACGCAUAAGGGUUGGUUUGCUUAACAAGGUUAUCUUAACGGUUAAGGACCUUGGGGCAUAGAGGUUGGGCGCCGAGACAUAGAGAUGUCACCCAACAACAGGAGUCAUAUGUGAUAUGAUUAGCAAAAGUUGCUUACUGAUCUACCUCGUUUGCUAGCGGUGAUGCUAAAGCUCACUAGUGGACUUGUUAGUUGUGGAUCCUGAAUCACUAAGUUUCAAUAGAGGGAUAUUGAUUUUAGUGGGAGUAGAUUCUGUUAAAAUAGUUUAAUGUAAUUUGCUCUAUCAUGGAUAUGUUUGUCUUAGUGUAUUUUGCAUUACUUUUGUUGUAGAUAAAAUGGCACCUAGCAACACCACCACAUCAUUUGCUUUGCGUUCGGUCCUUGAGAAGGACAAGUUGAAUGGAACAAACUACUCGGAUUGGAUCCGUAACCUGAGAAUUGUUCUCAGGGCUGAGAAAAAGGAAGAUGUUCUAGACAACCCACUACCAGAAGAAUCUGGUGAUGAUGCACCCGCUGCUGCUAAGAAUGCUUACAAGAAAGCAUGUGAUGCUAACCUCGAAGUAAGCUGCCUUAUGCUUGCUUGCAUGGAACCCGAGCUGCAGAUGCAGUUCGAAACAAACCAUGAGGCGCACGAUAUGAUCGUGGCGCUUAGAGACAUGUUCCAAACACAGGCCAAGACUGAAAGGUUCAAUGUGUCUAAGGCCUUUGUUUAGAGCAAGCUAGCAGAAGGCGCAGCAGUAGGACCACACGUAAUCAAGAUGGUUGUUUACACUCAACGGUUGGAGAAGCUAGGCUUCCCACUGGGCCAAGAGUUGGCCACUGAUUUCAUUCUUUCGUCUCUUCCGCCUAGCUAUGGGAAAUUCAUCUCGAACUACCAUAUGCAUGGGACGGAGAAGGGUCUGAAUGAGCUGUGUGGUAUGCUCAAGACAGCAGAGGCUGACAUCAAGAAAAGCGCUAGUACCAGCCAUGUGAUGGUGAUACAGAACAAGCCCAGCUUUAAGAAGAAGGGAAAUUCUUGGAAGAAGAAGGGCAAGGCUGGAACGUCCAAGCCAAACCCACUGCCCAAGGUUAAAGCUGGACCUGGACCUGCUCCAGACAAAGAGUGCUUUUACUGUCAUGAACUUGGUCACUGGAAGAGAAACUGCAAGCAGUACCUAGCUUCCUUGAAGAAUGGCGGAAGUAAGAGUACUUCUACCUCAGGUACGCUUGUUGUUAAUGUCAUAGACAACAUAUUUCUCACUGAUACAGUUAUUAAUUCUUGGGUAUUUGAUACCGGAUCGGUUGCUCAUAUUUGCAAUUCGAUGCAGGGAAUGAUAAGAAGUAGAAGCGUGGAAAGAGGAGAAGUUGAUUUCCGCGUGGGCAAUAAUGCAAGAGUUGCUGCUUUGACCGUCGGGACGAUGCAACUCCACCUCCCGUCAGGAUUUAUUAUGGAGUUGAAUAAUUGUUAUUUUGUUCCUAGUUUAAGUCGAAACAUUUUGUCUCCUUCAUGCUUGAUGAAGGAUGGUUAUUCAUUUGCGAGUGAAAACAAUGGUUGUGUGAUCUCUAAGAAUAAUAUGUUUAUGGCUUUUGCACCCAUUGUGAAUGGAUUGUUUGUUUUAAAUCUUGAUGGUUCACCUGUGUGUAAUGUAAGUGCUAAAAGGCCUCGGCCUAAUGAUUUGAGUCCUACCUACUUGUGGCAUUGUCGUUUGGGUCAUAUAAGUGAAAAGCGCAUGAAGAAGCUCCAUUCUGAUGGACUUCUAACUUCGUUUGAUUUUGAAUCAUACGAGACAUGCGAGGCUUGCUUGCUAGGCAAGAUGACCAAGACGCCUUUCACAGGAUUUCCUGAGAGAGCAGUAAACUUGUUGGAACUCGUACAUAGUGAUGUAUGCGGACCAAUGAGAACGACGACUAGAGGAGGAUUCCAAUACUUCAUAACUUUCACUGAUGAUUUUAGUAGAUAUGGCUAUGUCUACUUGAUGAGGCACAAGUCUGAAACCUUUGAAAAGUUCAAGGAAUUUCAGAAUGAAGUUGAAAAUCAGCGUGGCAAGAAAAUUAAGGCCUUACGAUCUGAUCGUGGAGGUGAGUAUUGAGCCACGAGUUUAGCAAUCAUCUAAAGAGUUGCGGAAUUGUUCCACAACUUACGCCGCCUGGAACACCUCAGAGAAACGGUGUGUCCGAGCGACGUAAUCGAACUUUGUUAGGCAUGGUUCGAUCAAUGAUGAGCCAGUCGGACCUACCGUUGUCAUUUUGGGGAUACGCUCUAGAAACAGCAGCUUUCACACUUAAUAGGGUACCAUCUAAAUCCGUAGUUAAGACACCAUAUGAGAUAUGGACUGGAAAGGUUCCUAGUUUGUCUUUUCUAAAGAUUUGGGGAUGUGAAGUGUUUGUCAAGCGACUUCAGUUGGACAAGAUCACACCCAAAUCGGAUAAGUGCAUUUUCGUGGGAUAUCCAAAGGAAACUUUGGGAUAUUAUUUCUACAACCGAUCAGAAGGCAAAGUGUUUGUCGCUCGGAACGGGGUUUUCCUAGAGAAAGAGUUUCUCAAAGGAGAAAAGAGUGGAAAGACAGUGCAUCUUGAAGAAGUUCAAGAUGAGCCGAUCGGGCAAGAAUCAAUGAAUGAUGCUAACGUAGCAGAACAAGUUGAGAUACCCAUGGCAAGAGAAGCACCGCCACAACCACGAAGGUCGGCAAGGCUCCGCGAAAUACGGGAAAUAUUAUUGUUGGACAAUGAUGAGCCUGCGACAUAUGCAGAAGCAAUGAUGAACCUAGACUCCGAAAAAUGGCAGAGUGCCAUGCAAUCCGAAAUAGAGUCCAUGGGAGACAAUCAAGUUUGGAACUUGGUUGACCCGCCUGAUGGUGUUAAAGCCAUAGAGUGCAAGUGGAUCUAUAAGAAGAAAAAGGACAUGGAUGAAAAUGUUCACAUCUAUAAAGCACGACUUGUCGCAAAAGGUUUUCGAAAAGUUCAAGGAGUUGACUACGACGAGACCUUCUCGCCCGUAGUGAUGCUUAAGUCCAUUCGGAUUAUUCUAGCUAUAGCUGCAUAUUUCGAUUAUGAGAUAUGGCAGAUGGAUGUCAAGACAACUUUCCUGAAUGGAAAUCUAGCUGAGGACGUGUAUAUGAUACAGCCCGAGGGUUUUGUCGAUCCGAAAAAUGCUGGAAAGGUAUGCAAGCUUCAGAGAUCCAUUUAUGGAUUGAAGCAAGCAUCUAGGAGUUGGAACAUUCGUUUUGAUGAAGUGGUCAAAGGGUUUGACUUCACCAAGAACGAAGAAGAGUCUUGUGUUUACAAGAAGGUUAGUGGGAGCUCUGUAGUAUUUCUAAUCUUAUAUGUGGAUGACAUAUUACUGAUUGGAAAUAACAUUCCUAUGCUUGAGUCCGUAAAGACUUCACUGAAAAAUAGUUUUUCGAUGAAGGACUUAGGGGAAGCGGCAUAUAUUCUGGGCAUUAAGAUCUAUAGAGAUAGAUCGAGAAGGCUUAUAGGUUUGAGCCAAGAUACUUAUAUUGACAAAGUGUUGAAGCGGUUCAGCAUGGAAGAGGCAAAGAAAGGGUUCUUGCCUAUGUCACAUGGCAUACAUCUCAGCAAGACUCAGUGUCCUUCGACUGCUGAUGAGCGGGAUCGCAUGAGUAGAGUGCCAUAUGCCUCGGCUACUGGAUCUAUCAUGUAUGCAAUGAUAAGUACUCGCCCAGAUGUUUCAUAUGAGCUAAGUAUGACAAGCAGACACCAAUCUGAGCCAGGUGAGAGUCACUGGACAGCGGUGAAAAACAUUCUUAAGUACUUGAGAAGGACUAAAGAUAUGUUCCUCGUCUAUGGAGGUCAGGAGGAGCUCGUUGUAACAGGUUACACCGAUGCUAGUUUCCAAACCGACAGAGAUGAUUCAAAGUCACAAUCAGGAUUUGUGUUCACGCUAAAUGGUGGUGCUGUUAGUUGGAAGAGUUCCAAGCAGGAGACGGUGGCCGAUUCUACGACAGAAGCCGAGUACAUCGCGGCUUCGGAAGCCGCGAAGGAAGGUGUUUGGAUAAGGAAUUUCCUCAUUGAGCUUGGUGUGUUCCCGAAUGCGUCCAGCCCAUUGAAUCUCUACUGUGAUAACAAUGGGGCAAUUGCGCAAGCAAAGGAGCCAAGGAACCACCAGAAGAACAAACACGUAAUGCGGCGAUUUGAUCUCAUUCGAGACUUCGUUAACCGGGGUGAGAUCAAGAUAUGCAAAAUACACACGGAUCUGAACAUUUCUGAUCCGUUGACAAAACCACUCCCGCAGGCUAAGCAUGAUGCGCAUGUAAGAGCUAUGGGUAUUAGGUACCUUCUAGAUUGACUCUAGUGCAAGUGGGAGACUGUUGGAGGUAUGCCCUAGAGGCAAUCAUAGAGAUGAUGAUAUUCCAUUUGUAUCCAUGAUUUGUAUAGUGUGUUCAUUGAAUAUCCAUUAAAGGCUACUUGAAUUGAUUUGCAAUUAUGUGAAUUGUAUGUGAAACUCUUUACUUGUAUGGUUAUUCUAAAGUUGUCCCUAGUCAGAGUUCAUGUGAGGAUACACAUGAAUAUUAGACUAGCACAUGUAUUAGUUGAUGACUAUGUUUCACAAGUCAUGGACAUGGAGAUGUUGAACUAAUAAUGUGGACACAUGUGGAGACAUGUGUUAGGACUGACCCAACAUGAGAAGUAGUUCUCUCUUUAUACAACAUAUACGCUUUGUCCUUAGACCUGAGAUUGUCGCAUGUAUUCUAGAUGUGGAUCGACUUACUUAGGGGCUAUCAAACGCUACGCCGUAACAGGGUAGUUAUAAAGGUAGCUUUCGGGUUUGUCAAGAAGCAUGCUAUGAGACAUGGUCAAUCAAGAUGGGAUUUGCCCCUCUCUGAUUGAGAGUGAUAUCUCUGGGCCCCUCGAGUGAUCGGAUCCAAAAAUGCAUGGCCAUGCUACGUACGGUUAAGAGUUAACCUACAAAGGGAUUCCGAAUCACAGGAUCGAGAAAGAGCGGUCGGCUUGAAGCUAGACCAAAUAUCAUGAGGCAAAGGGAAUAGCAUGUAUAUUAUGUUGUGAUGGUUCGUCUGAUAUGAUCUUCGUGUGCGUAUAGGAGUUGGCACGUCUUGCUAGAGGCCGCUACCGACUAUUGGGCCGAGUAGGAGUACUCGGGCCAUGUCUAUACGUAUCCGAACCCAUAGGGUCACACACUUAAGGGGCUGGAAGCCCAAUUCGGAUCUGAUCCGAGUUGGAUUAGGUUUAGGAGUACUAAUGGGCCUCGGAUCCAGAGGCCCAUCAGGAACCUCUAUAAAUAGAGGGGUGGGGGCGCCCUAGGGUUUACACCUUUUUGGCGAAACACACUUGCCGCGCCUCCCACGUCCUCGCCUGUUGCAACUCGCGGAUCUAGCAAUUCGGCUUGCGACGCUUCCUCCCUGCACGUGUGGAUACCUUGGAGGUGUUGCACCUGCAGCACUUGGACGAGCCGCCGACGAGCCACGACGAGCCGACGACGAGCCGCGGCACCGGAGGCGAUCUUGCUGCACGUGGACGAGCUGCUAAGGAGCUGCUGGACGUGAUCGACUACGUACGACUACGUGAUCGUCUUCACUGCAUCGACACAUAUCUACAUCUUCCGCACCAGUAGUGCGUCGAGUGGUAAUCCCGUGAUCCUUAUACGGCAGUUCUUCCUGGUUAUACGCGGUAGAAAUUUUGAUUUGCGCUAGUGUAGCCUACCUCGUAUCCCAACAGUCUGGGGUGUAGCUGGGGCGUCUGUGGGGGAGGGGACGAGAGGAAUCGACGGGAGGCGAGACGUGGCGGUGGAAUUUUGCUCGGCGGCGGUGCUUGACAGAGGAGAAGCUGGCGGCGGUAAAAAGGACGGCGGUGAAACGGCGGCGCGGGAGCGGUAAUUAUACGAACGGUUUACCGUGCGCAUGGCUGCCACCGUGGUCUACCCCUAGGCUUACAUGGUGAGGAGGUAGCCUAGUCGUCGCGAUGGCGAGCUACCGAGAGCGGCGGCGGCGACACGUCGAGCUCGGCUCUGCUGCUCUCCCCUUUUAUGAUUUCUGGCGCCCAAAAUUCACAGCUUCUCCACGAUGGAUUUCCAAUCCGACGGUGCACCGGUGUCUUAACCGAAGUUGCAGAUAAUCUUGAGUCCUCCAACUUUUAUUUUGGUUUGACCCCGAGAUAAACAUCCAACACAGUGCAAUUUGAAUUCUUUUACCAGCUCCAACUGAAUUUCUACUGAACUUCGAGUUGCAGUUCAUCAGUUCAUGACAGUGUCACUGAUCUUACUUUGUGCUCGAGUUUAGUAAUCCAAUUCUCUUCCUUUAAGUCCAACUUCUUCCUAAACAUGUUCUACAACAUCCCAAAGUUCCAUUUUGCUCAUGAACAAGUAUCCCUUUUGAUCUACAUUGCUCUGAAUUCAAGUCCAAAGUUGAUGUCAUAUUGCUGUUUCAGACUUAACCAAUUUCAGACUUGUCAGUUAACUGUGACAGUGUGCUGACUUUGGGCUACAAUUUGAAAUGGUUCCCUUCCAUGUUCCCGGCCAACAACACCCAAAUCUUGUAGUCCAAAGUUCAUACUUCAAUAUAGUGUAGUUGUUCUGGUGCAUUUAUUUGAAAAAUUCUGCAGAAUUCAAUUUUGAAAACAGACUCUGCUGCUGUUUUGCUGAACUCCUAUUUUCGGACGGUGAAUAGUAAACACCCUUUUCUUUUUCUUUUCUCUGAUUCCUUUGGGAUAAUUAGCACCAUUUUGUUCCAAAUUCUUGAUCCUUAAGUUCUAAACACUCUUACACUUGUAUUCCAUAUUUUUGACAAAUUUUUCUGAAUUUAAAAUUUGAAAUUCAAAUUUCGACCAAAUUUGACCCAAAUUUGAUUUUCGGCUAAUUUCUUUUCCUUUUCUUCUCAAUUUGCUUUUAAUUCUUCAAAGUUAUUUAGAUGACUAGAUUGUCAGCUAUUACAGCCUCUCCCCCUUAACAGAAUCUCGUCCCGAGAUUCUCGGGGUUAAAUCCUCGGUUUUGAGAAUAGAAAGGAAACUGCGUCAGGUCAACUAUUCUUUCUUUUUCUAUACAAGGAUAGUGGGGUGGUGGCUCUUGUUCCUCAGUUCUUGACGGUUUCAAAUAAUUCCGGAUACUUAGACUCUAGGUCUUCAGCUUGUUCCCAAGUAGCUUCAUCCGGAGUAUGGUUUUUCCAUUGCACCUUAUAAAACGUGAUACUCCGAGUUCGGGUAUCUCGUCUCUUUUGAUCCAGAAUUUUAAUGGGUCUUUCUUCAUAGGUUAGAUCGGGCUCGAGUUCAAUUUCUGGAUCUUCUAAAAUUUCUUCUGGAACUCUUAGGCACUUCUUAAGCUGAGAUACAUGAAAUACGUCAUGUAUAGAAGCAAGUUGGUCUGGCAAUGACAGCUUAUAUGCCACUGGACCCUUUCGUUCCAGAAUUUCAUAGGGGCCAAUAUACCUUGGGGCUAACUUACCCUUUACUCCAAAGCGAUGUACGCCUUUCAUUGGGGAUACCUUUAAGUAUACAAAAUCUCCGGCAUAAAAUUCCAAGGACCGUCUUCUUUUGUCCGAAUAACUCUUUUGUCGGGACUGGGCUAUUUCUAAAUUUUUGUGAAUCUUCUGGACUUUUUCCUCGGUUUCCAUAACCAAGUCCGAUCCCAAAUGUGUCCUUUCUCCUACUCCUGACCAAUUUAAAGGAGUUCGGCAUGUUCGACCAUACAAGGCUUCGAAAGGUGCCAUCUUAAUGCUAGCUUGAUAGCUAUUAUUAUAGGAGAACUCGGCUAGGGGCAAACAUUCAUCCCAUAGCUUAGAGAAGGUAAGGACACAUGCUCUCAACAUGUCUUCCAAAAUUUGAUUGACCCUUUCUGUCUGUCCUCCAGUUUGAGGAUGAUAGGCAGAACUUCUAAUUAGAGUAGUACCCAUGUCCUUUUGCAAUCGUUCCCAGAAUCUGGAAACAAACUGGGAACCUCGAUCGGAGAUAAUGGUCUUUGGUACUCCGUGCAAGGAUACGAUCCGGGCUAUAUAGAGCUUGGCAUAUGUCGACACCGGAUAAGUAGUCUUGACUGGAAGGAAGUGAGCCGACUUAGUAAGGCGAUCGACAAUAACCCAGAUGGAAUCAUACCCCUUUGAAGUGGUAGGCAAUCCAACUAUGAAAUCCAUAGAAAUAUCUUCCGAUUUCCAGACAGGGAUUUUUGAAGGUUGUAACAAACCUGCCGACUUUUGUAGUAUGGGUUUAACUCUUUGGCAAGUAUCACAUUCUGCUACAUAUCUUGCAAUUUCAGGUUUCAUCUUGGCCCACCAAAAUCUUUGCUUUAAAUCUUGGUACAUUUUAUUGGUUCCGGGAUAAAUGGAGAACUUGGACAAAUGUGCUUCUUCUAAGAUUAAUCUCCUCAGGUCCUCAUCUUCAGGAACCACUAUCCUGUUCUUGAAGUACAGUCCUCCAUCCUCUUCUUGAUUAAAUUCGGGAAUCUUCCCCUCGACUUUUUGCUGAUAAAGUAUCUUAAUCCAUGGAUCUUCUUUUUGGGCUGUUAUAAUUCUUUCUUUUAAGGUAUCUUGAACCAUAAUAUUCUGAAGUGUGCCUUGUUUAACUAUUUCCAAACUUAAUUCUUCCAUUUCUUCACACAAGGUCUUCAGGUUAGACUGGACGGUAGUGCAGUGGCAUUGGGCCUUUCUGCUCAAGGCGUCGGCCACCACAUUAGCCUUACCAGGAUGAUAAUGGAUUUCUAGUUUAUAAUCUUUAAUCAGUUCCAGCCACCGUCUUUGCCUCAUGUUCAAGUCCAUUUGAGUAAAGAUAUAUUUCAAACUUUUGUGGUUAGUAAAGAUACGACAUUCACUACCUAAAAGAUAGUGUCACCAUAUCUUUAAUGCAUGCACUACGGCAGCAAGUUCUAAAUCAUGGGUAGGGUAAUGCUCUUCAUGACGCUUCAAUUGACGAGAAGCAUAAGAAAUAACCUUGCCUUCUUGCAUCAGAACACACCCGAUGCCUGUUCCUGAGGCAUCACAGUAUACAUCAAAGGGUUUCUCUAUGUCAGGUUGAGCUAGCACUGGGGCUGUAGUCAGUAAUUUCUUCAAGACUUGGAAUGAUUCCUCACACUCAGGCUUCCAUUCAAAUUUUAUUUCUUUCUUUAAUAAUUCUGUGAUUGGUUUAGAAAUCUUUGAGAAAUUGGGGAUGAAUCUACGGUAAUAGCCAGCCAUUCCCAAGAAACUUCUUACUUCAUGAAUAGAGGUUGGCGAUUUCCAAUCCAGUAUAUCCUUGACCUUUCCGGGAUCUACUUCGAUUCCUUUUUCGGACAGUAUAUGCCCAAGGAAUGGAACUUUCUUUAACCAGAAUUCACACUUACUGAACUUGGCAUACAACUGGUGUUCCCGGAGUCUAUUUAGAACAAUGCGCAAGUGUUGCGCAUGUUCCUCCUCAUUUUUAGAAAAGACAAGGAUAUCGUCUAUAAAGACGACCACAAAUUUAUCUAGCUCCGGCAUGAAUACUGAGUUCAUGAGGUACAUAAAAUGCGCUGGGGCAUUUGUCAGUCCGAAAGACAUAACCAAAUACUCAUAUAGUCCAUAUCGCGUUGAAAAGGCUGUUUUUGGUAUGUCUUCGGGUUUUAUCUUAAUCUGAUGGUACCCUGACCGAAGGUCGAUUUUUGAAAAGACCUUAGCUCCGGACAACUGGUCGAACAACAAGUCAAUCCGUGGCAGCGGAUACUUGUUUUUAAUGGUUACCGCAUUUAAAGGGCGGUAAUCCACACAUAGCCUUAAUGUGCCAUCCUUCUUUUUAACAAAUAGAGCUGGGCAGCCCCAUGGUGAAGUGCUAGGUCGGACGAAACCUUUAUCCAACAGUUCUUGAAGUUGUGUUUUUAACUUUGCUAGCUCUUUAGGUGGCAUUCGAUAUGGUCUUCUAGAGAUAGGAGCGGUGCCUGGUUCUAACUCAAUAGUGAAUUCUACCGCUCUAUCAGGCGGUAGCCCAGGCAAAUCUUCUGGAAAUACAUCUAUAAACUCAUUAACCACAGGAAUAGAUUCUAGAGUCACUGCUCUAGUCUUUUUGACCAUCUGGUCCAAACAAGGAUGAGCGGGUAAUUGGAGCUCGAAAGAGUGGCCUUGAUCAUCUUUCAUGCUAACGACCCGAGUAACCAUAUUAAUUUGAACUUUAUGUUCUUUCAUCCAAUUUACUCCUAAAAUAAGAUCUAUUCCUUGAUCUUCCAGAAUUAAAGGGUAAGAUCCCACCUUAUUUCCUUCUAGGUUUACAAUCACAUUGCGAGCUACUUGAUUUGUAUUCUGUGUGGCCCCAGUAGCUUGAAUAGCAUACUUGACAUUUAAUGUAUGGACCUCUAGUUGAUGUUGUGUAACAAACCUUUUACUUAUAAAAGUAUGCGAUGCGCCUGAAUCAAAUAAGACCAUAGCAGGAUAAUUGUUAACAAGAUACAUACCUGCCAGGAUAGGCUCUCCUUCUGGAAUUUCUUCUACAUUCAUAUAGUGAGCUUGUCCCGUCUUGGUGUUGACGAACUUACGACGGACAAACUUUUGUCCAGUGCCUUGGCCCGAGGUCUGAGCCCUUAAGUUUGCGUUUCCCCCAACUUUGGGAAAACAGCAGUCUCGGGCGAAGUGUCCUGGCUUUCCACAGUUGAAACAAACCUGUGGAGUUCCUGAAGGAGUAGGGUUACGAAACCCGAGAGGUGGUGCAAUUCCAGGACGAGGGGCAGCACUGGGAGCUCUAGCAUUCCAAGACUGGAAAGGCCGUUGCUGAAAUGAAGGGCGAUACAUGGGUCGGGGAGGACCUCGAUAUACCACCUUCAUUCUCUGUGGAGCAUUCCCAAAGUUUCUAGAAGGAACAUUCUUCCUCUUCAAUGCUUCUUCUUUCUUCAAGGUUUCAUCCAAAAUUUUCAUCUUUUCUUCCGCAGUAAUGGCCGUACUUACCGCAGAGCUAUAAUCAGCGAAAGUGCAGGUGGACAACUUUUCCUGCAUUCUUGCAUUGAGCCCUCGAAGGUAGCAAUCCCUCUUUCUGGAUUCAGUGUUGACAUGCUCUGGUGCAUAUUGGGCUAGGUGGUCGAAUUCACUGGUAUAUUCCAGAAUACUGCGAUUUCCUUGUUGCAGUCCUAAGAACUGUUCCAGUUUCAUUCUCAUGAUACCUUCCGGCACGAACUGCGUCCGGAAGGCUUCCUUAAAAUCCUCCCACGUGACUUCCCUACCCACUGGCUGCCUGGCCAGAUGGCUGGUCCACCAAGUUGCUGCGAGGCCUUGAAGCUGAAGCCCUGCAAAUUCGGCCUUCUGAGUGGUAGUACAUUGGGGGAUUACUCGAAACUUUUGUUCCAUGGCUUGAAGCCACUCGUUAGCUUCCAGUGGAUGCUCGGCCUUCAAGAAUACUGGGGGACGGGUUUCCAGAAAUUGGGUGUAGGACACACCCUGCUCCGGAUCUCGCCUACGUCCACCAUUACCAGUGUUCUGUAUGAUCAUUUGGAGUAAUCGGGCUUGUUCUGCCCCGGAGUUCAUAAGACUGGCUAUGGCAUCAGCCAGCGUGGGUGCUCUGGGUAAAUUCUCUUCCUGACCUCCAGAACCUGAAGCUCGUGGUUCUCUGGGAUCCGUCAUGCUACCAAGAGUAAACAGGAUAUUAAUAUCUAAGGUGCAUUUUAUCAACAAUCUUCUGCACAUUAUUAGGUCACACAUCACAGUAUGCUCACAUACAAACCAUACUUAUACACAUACUUAUUUAUAAUACAUGCCCUGGAGUUACUUUUUACAAACACCCUCCGUACCACUUGUCCAACACGCAUAUCUUACAAAAAUAUAUUACAACAUUUUUCAGACAAAGUUCAUCUUUAACCAUCAUAAGGGAAAAUGCCUAGUUCUUCGGCAUUUAGGCCCAGUCGAGCCAUUGCUUCCUGCAGGAUGUCUUGGUCUACGGUCAUUAACGUUUGUCAUGGGGGAGCGACGGGUGGGGCUUGAUUGACGGAAUUUUCACUCCCGGACUCCAGCCCGAAGUCACUCCAAGUGCGGGAAGGAUCAGAGGCAGAGGUGCUAACUCCAGAGUUUCCUUCCAUUUCUUCAGGAUCCUCUUCUUCUUCUCCACCUUCUGGUUCUUCUUCUCCCCAUUGCUGCAGGGGUCCAUAGCCCUGAGGAUCUAGUCCAUCAGCAUUGGCAUUGGCCCAAGUGAACUGUUGAUUUCCCGCAGGGACUUCACCCUGGUCGUCCUCCAUGUCCACAUCAAACCCCUCAAGAUUCUCACGAGCAUAUAGAUCUAUCUCAGGAUCUGCUGGUGGCACCGGAUCUUCUUCCACUUCUAUCAUAGGUACUAGUUGAUCCGCUUCCUCCGGGUUCGGUGGCUGAGGCUCUUCUGGUGGUGGAGGUGGUGGGACAUUGACAAUAUUUUGUGCAGGUGCCUGAGCCUUCAUUUCUUCCAAGGCUAGAUGAAGUGACAGGAUCUCGUCUAGCUGUUGGAACCUUUCCGCCUCCAGCCUAUGGACAUUUGAUUCAGCUUCCUCCCUUGCUCUAUCCGCCAUGCUCCUGCUGGCUUCAAUGAACCCUUGCAUCACUCUGAGUUUUUCUUCGUAAUCCUCAAUUCUUCUGGAUUGCUCUCGCAUUGCUUUUCCAUAUCAUGCUCUCUUGCCAUCGCCGCCUUCUUGUACAUUUCCUGGUCAUAUCGGGCACCCAUCAAUUCCAUCUUAGCAUCUUCGUUCUUCUACCUCUGGUUAUAAUAUUCUCUGAUGCAGGCUUGAUGCAAGUUGUACAUUGCUGUCAUAUAAUCAGAAGCAGCAGCAACCAAAACAUCGUGCUCUACUCGAGAAGUGUUCUUCAAGGCUUUAAUCCUCCUCCUCCAUACCCCGUCAUCUUGAUGUUUGAUCGGAUAGAAUCGAGCGGAGCUCAACCCUACCUCCACCUUGUGGUUUCACAUAGUUCAGUAAGAGCAGUCAUGGCCGCCCUUUCUAUGGUGUCAUUAAAUUCAAAACCCGACUCCAUCACCUCCUCCAGACGCCAAUUAGGACGGGUGUCAUCAUCCGGAAUGUGUACAUACACCGUGCAAUAUUGCUAUUGGCCAGUAUCUUCUUUUUGCCAAUAGUACUCUAGGGGAUUGUGAAAGCCCAAUUCUUGUAACGUCUUCCAAAGCAACUGCAUGAAUCCCGGUUUAUCCAAGUAACAACCGUGGGUCCACCCAUCCUUAUCCGUGUAGCCUUCUUCAAACAUCCUAUAAAAGAAAUGGGGUCAGGUCUAACGGCACUCACCAAACCCAAAAGUUUUAAAAUAUGCAAUGCAAACAUGAUGCAACGAUUCCUACAUACUUUUAGACUCAUAUACACACUCGUAGGAAAAUUGGUGGCAUCGUAAUCUCUCCCUAAGUAAUAAACUACCGAAUACUAGCGACACGCAGCAAACAGUUAGCAUCUGCAAAACAAACAAACAGUUAACACUACUGCCACCUGUGAGUCUUGUUUUUAUUAUUUUAAAAUAGAGUCUUAGUUUUUAAAAGGUAAUAUCUGUUGAUUAUCCCAACCUACGGCUCUGAUACCACCUAUGGCGGAACCGCCCAACUUAAGCUGGUUUAAGUGCGCAUAAUCGCUGUCGGAACAGCAAUUAUCCGAAACGCACCUAAAACAGCAUAAGUCCGGUAGUCCGUCGAGUGUCCCUAGGACUCCUCGAAGGAUCCACGGCGUGUUUCAUAACCAUACAUCAGGAUAAUAUCCGCGAUGGGAUAAUAUCAACAAACAUUACAUUUUUACAUAUAUAUAUAAAAGGUACGAGUUAUUACAGGACAUAAGUUGAAACAAACUUAGUGAUGCAGUGUUAGACAAGCUCUAAGAUUUAAACAUAAAUAGUUCAGGAGAAGAUGCGCACGUAGAACUUUUUCUCUAGGGUAUUGUGAGACUCAGGCCAAUACCCUAGGGCUUCGGGGUCUCCUCCUCUGCAGCCUCUUGCGGAGCUUCUGAAAGAUAGCCACAAGGGGAAAAACCCUGAGUACGGGGUACUCAGCAAGUCUUACCCGACUAACCAAUAUAAUAGUUUUCUUUGGAAUGCAUGUCAGCCUUUGGGGUGUGCUUGGUUGACACAAUUUUUGCCGAAAAGCUUACUACGAGUAAAGCCUUAGUUUUAUCUUUUAUUUGGGUUAAGUUAUUACCUAACCAUUCUAAAUGAUAACAGAAGUAAAAGCAACCAUAGCUGUUAAAUCAUACAUCAAUUGAUAACAGGAGAAUACAUAUUGCAUGAAUUGAUACUACGAUGCUCAACAGUGAUCAAGUGCAUUCAUAACCGAGAAUUUCGGCGAUCCGGAUCUAAUUACAUCCUGCAGGAGAGUACCCUGAUCACCAGCGUUAUACGACUGUCCAGGUCGUAUCUAACAACCUCUCGAUUAGCAAACUCAAUGGUUAGGAAUACGACUACCCGGACCCAGGGAUGCACCCCCACAUGGGACCCCACGUCUGGCCCGAUCACCAUGUGAGUUUCAGGCUACACCCCUGCCAAUCUCCAACACGUCAAGCGCGGGUACGAAGUAAUCCUGAUCAUAGAGUUUACUAAUUUACUGGGCUUUACUGGUCCCAUACCCAGUAAGUGAUCAGAUGCUUAUCACUUGAUCAAAGGUUAAGACAACGAAUCGGGCCUUAACCAAAUUAAUCUAGCAGACAGAACUACAUCUCUAGCUUCUGUCCGUUUUCACUUUCCAAGUUAUCCUUCAUAAGCAACAUGUAUGACUUAAGAGUUUUCCUUAAGGUUGGUAAACCAAGCAUGUAAGCAAGUAAGCAAUUCUAGACUUGGGUAUCUUCUAAGGUUUGAACAAGUGGCAAAGAUGUCCUUAAAACAAGGCAUGAUCAUACACAAGAAUAGGUUUCAAGCAACUCCUAGACUUAGUGCAUACAUAAAGCAAAUAACCUAUAACUAGUCACAUGAAAUAACGACUCCAAAAUAGAUAGGUAUAAAUGCACCGGGGCUUGCCUUGUUCGCUAAAAAGAUUAGUAGACUCUGACGGGUUGGCUUCACAGGGAACUAACUCAAACACUUCUUCGGACUCCGAAGGUCCUUCUGAAAAUUCCCAAUAUACUCCUUCCGGUGCUUCGGGAUCUAUGGCAUAAUACAUGCAGGGGUUAGAAUGCAACAUUUUGAAUUAAAGACUAUACAAUUUUUCUUCAUGAUAAAGUUGCAAGCCAACAAGGACUAUACAACCUAUCAUGAUAAAGUUGUAAGCCAACACAUAAAAACCCAAAAGAUUAACCCACAAUUUUAUUUUUCUAAUUUAACCCUUCUUAUAGCUUUUUCUUUUAUCUUUAGAAAAAGUUAUAAUUAUUUUCUAACUUGAAAAUCUAAUUUCCUAUGGGUUAAGAAUAAUUUGUGAUUAAGAAAGUGUUAUUCAUAUUUUAUACAUUUUAUAAAUAUUAAGUAUUUAUUUAAUUACCUUAAAAGGAAGGCAUUAAAUAAAUACCCAAAUUUUUAUUAUUUUUCUAGGGUGUAAAAAUUUUAAUGCGUAAAGGAAAAUAAAAAAAGCCUAACAAAAUUGGUUUCACUAAUUUUGGACACUCCUAUAAAUUUAUGUGAUUUAAAUGGUGUAAAACGGAUUUAAACGAAUUAUUUCACUAAAGGAAAUCUAAUUUUUCCCGAAAUCGCCCGGAAAUACUUUUCUCACCCGGCCCUUCUCUACCCUCUCUCACGCGCACUGGGCCCCACGGCGCGGACCCCACCUCUCCUAUUCAUUUCUACCCGCCGGCCCUAUUUUCCCCCUAACGGGCCCCGUGGGCCGAUUCUCCUUUCCUCCUCCUUUCUUUGGCCCAACACCGGCCCACGGCCCUCCUUCUUUUUCCUUUUUCUUUCGCGACAUCAGCCUGUUAGCUGCUCUGGGCCCUCGGCCUCUUUCCUUUUCCGGCCGACCCGCGCGUACUUCACUGGGCCUCCAGGCCACGGCCCAACAGAUGGCCGCGCCGCUUCCGGCCUCUCUCUCUCUCCCUCUCUUCCCACUGCCGCGCGGGCCCAACGCCUGGGUGCUUCUUCCUCCUCCCGCCAAAACGCGCCCGUGACAGGGGGCGGCGCAACCCGCCGGCCGGCGCCCCACCGGCGGCGAAGCUCGGCCAGGACAUCGUAGGACCCUAAGGACUCGACUACGACUACUCAAGAAGGAAGAGAGGCAGCGCGAAGUAGAGCGACGGGCGGCGACACCCUCGGCCGGUGGUGACUACUCACGACAACGGCAUAACCUACUCAAACAUCUACCCCUACACCAUCGUAGGACCCUAAGGAGUCGACUACGACUACUCAAGAAGGAAGAGAGGCAGCGCGAAGUAGAGCUCACCGUGAGCGGGCGGCGCGACGACGGCGGACAGAAGCGACGGCGAGCACGGUUACUUUGGCAUGGAUGUUGGACAACAACUGGUCUGGGGUGUAGCUGGGGCGUCUGUGGGGGAGUGGACGAGAGGAAUCGACGGGAGGCGAGACGUGGCGGUGGAAUUUUGCUCGGCGGCGGCGCUUGACAGAGGAGAAGCUGGCGGUGGUAAAAAGGACGGCGGUGAAACGGCGGUGCAGGAGCGGUAAUUAUAUGAACGGUUUACCAUGCGCAUGGCUGCCACCAUGGUCUACCCCUAGGCUUACGUGGUGAGGAGGUGGCCUAGUCGUCGCGCUGGCGAGCUACCAAGAGCGGCGGCGGCGACACGUCGAGCUCGGCUCUGCUGCUCUCCCCUUUUCUGAUUUCUGGCGCCCAAAAUUCAGAGCUUCUCCACGGUGGAUUUCCAAUCUGACGGUGCACCGGUGUCUUAACCGAAGUUGCAGAUAAUCUUGAGUCCUCCAACUUUUAUUUUGGUUUGACCCCGAGAUAAACAUCCAACACAGUGCAAUUUGAAUUCUUUUACCAGCUCCAACUGAAUUUCUACUGAACUUCGAGUUUCAGUUCAUCAGUUCAUGACAGUGUCACUGAUCUUACUUUGUGCUCGAGUUUAGUAAUCCAAUUCUCUUCCUUUAAGUCCAACUUCUUCCCAAACUUGUUCUACAACAUCCCAAAGUUCCAUUUUGCUCAUGAACAAGUACCCCUUUUGAUCUACAUUGCUCUGAAUUCAAGUCCAAAGUUGAUGUCAUAUUGCUGUUUCAGACUUAACCAAUUUCAGACUUGUCAGUUAACUGUGACAGUGUGCUGACUUUGGGCUACAAUUUGAAAUGGUUCCCUUCCAUGUUCCCGGCCAACAACACCCAAAUCUUGUAGUCCAAAGUUCAUACUUCAAUAUAGUGUAGUUGUCCUGGUGCAUUUAUUUGAAAUAUUCUGCAGAAUUCAAUUUUGAAAACAGACUCUGCUGCUGUUUUGCUGAACUCCUAUUUUCGGAUGGUGAACAGUAAACACCCUUUUCCUUUUCUUUUCUCUGAUUCCUUUGGGAUAAUUAGCACCAUUUUGUUCCAAAUUCUUGAUCCUUAAGUUCUAAACACUCUUACACUUGUAUUCCAUAUUUUUGAUAAAUUUUUCUGAAUUUCAAAUUUGAAAUUCAAAUUUCGACCAAAUUUGACCUGAAUUUGAUUUUCGGCCAAUUUCUUUUCCUUUUCUUCUCAAUUUGCUUUUAAUUCUUCAAAGUUAUUUAGAUGACUAGAUUGGCAGCUUUUACACCCAGGAUGAGGAAUAUUGGUAUGAUUUCUGAUAUUCCAGGGCUGAAAUGGCCUCUGCUCAAAGGAAGGCCGAUAAGCGGGUCGAGGAGGACCUCGGUAUACUACCUUCAUCCUCUGCAGGGUAUUCCCGAAAGUUCCAAAAGAAAUAUUCUUUCUCUUCAAAGAUUCUUCUUUCUUCAAAGUUUCAUCUAAAAUUCUCAUUUUCUCUUCUACAGUAAUAGCUGUGCUUACCGCAGAACUAUAAUCAGCAAAGGUGCAGGUAAACAACAUCUCCUGCAUUCGUGCAUUGAGCCCGCGAAGAUAACAGUCCCUCUUUCUGGACUCCGUGUUAACAUGUUCUGGGGCAUACUAGGCCAAGUGAUCAAAUUCAUUUGUGUAGUCCAGAAUACUACGAUUCCCUUGCUGUAGCCCUAGAAAUUGCUCCAGCUUCAUUCGCAUAAUCCCUUCCGAUACAAACUGCGUUCAGAAAGCUUCCUUGAAAUUUUCCCAAGUAACCUCCCUUUCGACAGGUUGCCUUGCCAAAUAACUUGUCCACCAGGUCCCAGCAGGACCCUAGAGUUGGAGCCCGGCAAACUCCACCUUCUGGGUGGGGGUGCAUUGUGGAAUUACUCAAAAUUUCUGCUCCAUUGUCUGAAGCCAUUCAUUGACCUCUAGUGGGUGCUCGGCCUUUAGAAAUAUUGGAGGACGAGUUUCCAGAAAUUGGGUGUAAGAUACACCACGUUUUGGGUCCCCUCUGUUCCCACCAUUUCCAGUGUUUUGCACAAUCAUCUGAAGAAGUCGGGCUUGUUCAGCUCCUGAAUUCAUGAGGCUGGCUAUGGCAUUAGCCAGCGUUGGGGCUCUGGGUAAGUUUUCCUCGUGGCCCCCUGACCCCGAAGCCCGAGGACCUCUCGGAUCCGUCAUUCUGCUGAAAUCAAACAGAGUAUUAAUGUCUAAGCCAUAGUUUGUCAGUAGUUCCAUGAGCAUGCUCGUUUUUCACACAUAACAUCACAAUUAUUGUAGUUACACACAAACCACACUUAUAUACAUCAUUAUUUAUAUUACAAGAACUGGAGUUUAAUUUCUACAAAGCAACCCCACUACUCCGUCUCUCUGCUUCUAUCUUACAUAAAUACACUACAGUAUUCCUUGAUCAUGAUCUUCUCUCAACCAUCAUAGGGAUAAAUGCCCAAUUCUUCAGCAUUUAUUCCUAGUCGGGCCAUCGUAGCCUGCAGAACAUCCUGAUCCACUGUCAUCAGUGUUUGUCCUGGAGGAGCGACAAGUGGAGGCUGAUUCACUGAAUUCUCGCUUUCUGACUCUGGUCCGGGGUCACUUGAGGUGUAGGAGGUGUAUGAUGCGGAGGUGCUGACACCAUAAUUUCCUUCCAUUUCUUCUGGAUCUUCUUCUUCUUCCUCGCCUUCCUGCUCGGCUUCACCCCACUGUUGUAUAGGUCCAUAGCCUUGUGGAUCUAACCCAUCUGCAUUUGCAUCGGCCCAGGCAAAGUGAUGGUUUUCCAUUGGAGCUUCACCCAGAUUAUCUUCCAUGUCGAUAUCGAAACCUUCUAAAUUCUCAUGGGCUCGAUCUCAGGAGCUGCAGGUGGAGCCACAUUACCCUCAACACCUACAAUAUCCACCAAUUGAUCUGCUUCUUCGGGGACCAGUGGCUGUGGUUCUUCUGGUGGUGGAGGCGGUGGAACGUUUACUAUGUUCUGAGCAGGUACCUGAGCCUGCAUUUCUUCUAAGGCCAGACAAAGAGAUAAUAUUUCGUCCAGCUGCUGAAAUCUCUCCACCUCGAGCCUAUUAACAUUGGAUUCAGCCUCUUCCUUUGCCCUUUCUGCCGUGUUUCUACUGGCAUCCAUGAAUUCCUUCAUUGUCCUGAGCUUUUCUUCAUAUUCAUCUAUCCUCCUGGACUGCUCUCUCAUAAUCUUUUCCAUGUCAUGUUCCCUAGCCAGUGCUGCUUUCUUGUACAAUUCCUUAUCAUGUCUGGCACCCAUUACCUCCAUCUUGACAUUCUCAUUUCUCUUUCUAUGAUUGUAAUAUUCCCUCAUGCAGGAUUGGUGCAGGUUAUACAUAGCAGUCAUAUAGUCGGAGGCAGCAGCAACCAGAAUGUCAUGCUCCACGCGAGAGGAAUUCUUCAAUGCUUUGAUCCUCCUUUUCCAAAUACCAUCAUCUUGAUGCUUUAUGGGAUAGAAUCGAGCAGAGCUCGACCCUAUUUCCACUUUAUGUUUCUCGCAUAGGUCCGUGAGGGCGGUCAUAGCUGCCCUUUCAAUUGUAUCAUUGAACUCGAAACCCUGCUCCAUAAUUUCAUCAAGACGCCAAUUAGGGUUUGUGUCUUCAUCUGGGAUAUGGACAUAAACAGUAUAACACUACUUAUGACAGGUGUCCUCCUUCCUCCAAUAAUACUCCGGAGGGUUAUGAAAGCCUAGCUCCUGCAGCAUCUUCCAUAACAACUGUACAAACCCUGGCUUGUCCAGGUAAUGUCCCCAGGUCCAUCCGUCCUGAUCUGUAUAUCCUUCUUAGAACAUCCUAUAAAAGAAAUGGGGUUAGGUCUAACGACACUCACAAAACCCAAAAGUUUUUAGAACAUGCUUAUGCAACAUGAUGCAACGAUUCCUACGUAUUCACAGACUCAUAUACACACUCGUAGAAAAAUUGGUGGCAUCGUAAUCUCUCCCUAAUAAUAUACUAUCGAAUACUAGUGACAAUGCAGCAAACAGUUAGCAUCUGCAAAACAAACAACCAGUUAACACUACUGCCACCUAUGACUCACAUUUUCUUUGUUUCAAAGUAGAGUCUCAGUUUUUAAACAGUAAUAUCUGUUGAUUAUCCCAACCUAUUACUUUGAUAUCAGUUGUGGCGGAACCGCCCAACUUAAAAUUGUUUAACUGUGCCUAAUCGCUAUUAGAACAGCAUUUAUCCAAAACGCACUUAAAACAGUAUAAGUCCGGUAGUCCGUCGAGUGUCCCUAGGACUCCUCGAACGAUCCACAUCACGUCUCAUAGCCAUACACCAGGAUUACUUCCACGAUGGGAAAGCAUCAACAAAUAUUACAUUUUUACAUACAUACAUGAGGUACGAGUUAUUACAGAACGUAGUUUGAAAUAAACUUAACAGUGCAGGUCAGAGAGAUUCUAGGAGUUUAAAACAUAAACUGGUCCAGGUGAGAGAUGAGCAUUUAAGUUUUCUUCUGAGGGUAUUGCGAGACUCGUAACAAUACCCUAGUUUUUCGGGGCCUCCUCCUCUGCGGACUCCUGUGGUGCUUCUGAAAAUAGCCACAAGGGAUAACCCUGAGUACGGGGUACUUGUUGGGAUACGAGGUAGGCUACACUAGCGCAAAUCAAAAAUUUCUACCGCGUAAAACCAGGAAGAACUGCCGUAUAAGGAUCAUGGGAUUACCACUCGACACACUACUGGUGCGGAAGAUGUAGAUUUGCGUCGAUGCAGUGAAGACGAUCAACGUAGUCGUACGUAGUCGAUCAACGUAGUCGUACGUAGUCGAUCACGUCAACGUCCAGCAGCUCCUCAGCAGCUCGUCCACGUGCAGCAAGAUCACCCUCGUGCCGCGACUCGUCGUGGCUCGUCGGCGGCUUGUCCAAGUGCUGCAGGCGCAACACCUCCAAGGUAUCCACACGUGCAGGGAGGAAGCGUCACAAGCCGGAUUGCUAGAUCCGCGAGUUGCAACAGGUGAGGGUGUGGGAGGCGCGGCAGAUAUGUUUCACCAAAAAGUUGUGAACCCUAGGGCGCCCCCACCCCUUUAUUUAUAGAGGUUCCUAACGGGCCUCUGGGUCCGAGGCCCAUUAGUACUUCUAAACCUAAUCUAACUCGGAUCAGAUCCGAAUUGGGCUUCCAGCCCCUUAAGUGUGUGACCCUAUAGGUUCGGAUACGUAUAGACAUGGCCCGAGUACUCCUACUCGGCCCAAUAGUCGGUAGCGGCCUCUAGCAAGACGUGCCAACUCCUAUACGCACACGAAGACCAUAUCAGACGAACCAUCACAACAUAAUAUAGAUGCUAUUCCCUUUGCCUCACGAUAUUUGGUCUAGCUUCAAGCCGACCGCUCUUUCUCGAUCCUGUGAUUCGGAAUCCCUUUGUAGGUUAACUCUUAACCUUACGUAGCAUGGCCAUGCAUUUUUGGAUCCGAUCACUCGAGGGGCCCAGAGAUAUCACUCUCAAUCAGAGAGGGGCAAAUCCCAUCUUGAUUGACCAUGUCUCAUAGCAUGCUUCUUGACAAACCCGAAAGCUACCUUUAUAACUACCCUGUUACGGCAUAGCAUUUGAUAGCCCCUAAGUAGGUCGAUCCACAUCUUGAAUACAUGCGACAAUCUCAGGUCUAAGGACAAAGCAUAUAUGUUGUUUAAAAAGAGAACUACUUCUCGUGUUGGGUCAGUCCUAACACAUGUCUACACAUGUGUCCACAUUAUUAGUUCAACAUCUCCAUGUCCAUGACUUGUGAAACAUAGUCAUCAACUAAUACAUGUGCUAGUCUAAUAUUCAUGUGUGUCCUCACAUGAACUCCGACUAGGGACAACUUUAGAAUAACCACACAAGUAAAGAGUUUCACAUACAAUUCACAUAAUUGCAAAUCAAUUCAAGUAGCCUUUAAGGGAUAUUCAAUGAACACAAUAUACAAAUCAUGGAUACAAAUGGAAUAUCAUCAUCUCUAUGAUUGCCUCUAGGGAAUACCUCCAACAGUCUCCCACUUGCACUAGAGUCGAUCUAGAAGGUACCUAAUACCCAUAGCUCUUACAUGCGCAUCAUGCUUAGCCUGCGGGAGUGGUUUUGUCAACAGAUCAGAAAUGUUCAAAUCCGUGUGUAUUUUGCAUAUCUUGAUCUCACCCCGGUUAACGAAGUCUCGAAUGAGAUGAAAUCGCUGCAUUACGUGAUUGUUCUUCUGGUGGUUCCUUGGCUCCUUUGCUUGCGCAAUUUCCCCAUUGUUAUCACAGUAGAGAUUCAAUGGGCUGGACGCAUUCGGGAACACACCGAGCUCAAUGAGGAAAUUCCUUAUCCAAACACCCUCCUUCGCGGCUUCCGAAGCCGCGAUGUACUCGGCUUCUAUCGUAGAAUCGGCCACCGUCUCCUACUUGGAACUCUUCCAACUAACAGCACCACCAUUUAGCGUGAACACAAAUCCUGAUUGUGACUUUGAAUCAUCUCUGUCAAUUUGGAAACUAGCAUCGGUGUAACCUGUUACAACGAGCUCCUCCUCACCUCCAUAGAUGAGGAACAUAUCUUUAGUCCUUCUCAAGUACUUAAGAAUGUUUUUCACCGCUGUCCAGUGACUCUCACCUGGAUCAGCCUGGUGUCUGCUUGUCAUACUUAGCGCAUAUGAAACAUCUGGGCGAGUACUUAUCAUUGCAUACAUGAUAGAUCCAAUAGCCGAGGCAUAUGGCACUCUACUCAUGCGAUCCCGCUUAUCAGCAGUCGAAGGACACUGAGUCUUGCUGAGAUGUAUGCCAUGUGACAUAGGCAAGAACCCUUUCUUUGCCUCUUUCAUGCUGAACCGCUUCAACACUUUGUCAAUGUAAGUAUCUUAGCUUAAACCUAUAAGCCUUCUCGAUCUAUCUCUAUAGAUCUUAAUGCCCAGAAUGUAUGCUGCUUCCCCUAAGUCUUUCAUCAAAAAACUAUUUUUCAGUGAAGUCUUUACGGACUCAAGCAUAGGAAUGUUAUUUCCAAUCAGUAAUAUGUCAUCCAUAUAUAAGAUUAGAAAUACUACAGAGCUCCCACUAACCUUCUUGUAAACACAAGACUCUUCUUCAUUCUUGGUGAAGUCAAACCCUUUGACCACUUCAUCAAAACAAAUGUUCCAACUCCUAGAUGCUUGCUUCAAUCCAUAAAUCGAUCUCUGAAGCUUGCAUACCUUUCCAGCAUUUUUCGGAUCAACAAAACCCUUGGGCUGUAUCAUAUACACGUCCUCAGCUAGGUUUCCAUUCAGGAAAGCUGUCUUGACAUCCAUCUGCCAUAUCUCAUAAUCGAAAUAUGUAGCUAUAGCUAGAAUAAUCCGAAUGGACUAGCAUCACUACGGGCGAGAAGGUAUCGUCGUAGUCAACUCCUUGAACUUGUCGAAAACCUUUUGCGACAAGUCGUGCUUUAUAGAUGUGAACAUUUCCAUCCAUGUCCUUUUUCUUCUUAUAGAUCCACUUGCACUCUAUGGCUUUAACACCAUCAGGCGGGUCAACCAAGUUCCAAACUUGAUUGUCUCCCAUGGACUCUAUUUCGGAUUGCAUGGCACUCUGCCAUUUUUCGGAGUCUGGGUCCAUCAUUGCUUCUGCAUAUGUCGCAGGCUCAUCAUUGUCCAACAAUAAUAUUUCCCGCAUUUCGCGGAGCCUUGCCGACCUUCGUGGUUGUGGCGGUGCUUCUCUUGCCAUGGGUAUCUCAACUUGUUCUGCUACGUUAGCAUCACUCAUUGAUUCUUGCCCGAUCGGCUCAUCUUGAACUUCUUCAAGAUGCACUGUCUUUCCACUCUUUUCUCCUUUGAGAAACUCUUUCUCUAGGAAAACCCCGUUCCGAGCGACAAACACUUUGCCUUCUGAUCGGUUGUAGAAAUAAUAUCCCAAAGUUUCCUUUGGAUAUCCCACGAAAAUGCACUUAUCCGACUUGGGUGUGAUCUUGUCCGACUGAAGUCGCUUGACAAGCACUUCACAUCCCCAAUUCUUUAGAAAAGACAAACUAGGAACCUUUCCAGUCCAUAUCUCAUAUGGUGUCUUAACUACGGAUUUAGAUGGUACCCUAUUAAGUGUGAAAGCUGCUGUUUCUAGAGUGUAUCCCCAAAAUAACAACGGUAGGACCGACGGGCUCAUCAUUGAUCGAACCAUGUCUAACAAAGUUCGAUUACGUCGCUCGGAUACACCGUUUCUCUAAGGUGUUCCAGGCGGCGUAAGUUGUGGAACAAUUCCGCAACUCUUUAGAUGAUUGCUAAACUCGUGGCUUAAAUACUCGCCUCCACGAUCAGAUCGUAAGGCCUUAAUUUUCUUGCCGCGCUGAUUUUCAACUUCAUUCUGAAAUUCCUUGAACUUUUCAAAGGUUUCAGACUUGUGCCUCAUCAAGUAGACAUAGCCAUAUCUAUUAAAAUCAUCAGUGAAAGUUAUGAAGUAUUGGAAUCCUCCUCUAGCCGUCGUGCUCAUUGGUCCGCAUACAUCACUAUGUACGAGUUCCAACAAGUCUACUGCUCUCUCAGGAAAUCCUGUGAAAGGCGUCUUAGUCAUCUUGCCUAGCAAGCAAGCCUCACAUGUCUCGUAUCAUUCAAAAUCAAACGAAAUUAGAAGUCCAUCAGAAUGGAGCUUCUUCAUGCGCUUUUCACUUAUAUGAUCCAAAUGACAAUACCACAAGUAGGUAUGACUCAAAUCAUUAGGCCGAGGCCUUUUAGCAUUUACGUUACAAACAGGUGAACCAUCAAGAUUUAAAACAAAUAAUCCAUUCACAAUGGGUGCAAAAGCCAUAAACAUAUUAUUCUUAGAGAUCACACAACCAUUGUUUUCACUCGCAAAUGAAUAGCCAUCCUUCAUCAAGCAUGAAGGAGACAAAAUGUUUCGACUUAAACUAGGAACGAAAUAACAAUUAUUCAACUCCAUAAUAAAUCCUGACGGGAGGUGGAGUUGCAUCGUCCCGACGGUCAACGCAGCAACUCUUGCAUUAUUGCCCACGCGGAAAUCAACUUCUCCUCUUUCCACGCUUCUACUUCUUAUCAUUCCCUGCAUCGAAUUGCAAAUAUGAGCAACCGAUCCGGUAUCAAAUACCCAAGAAUUAAUAAUUGUAUCAGCGAGAAAAAUAUUGUCUAUAACAUUAACAACAAGCGUACCUGAGGUAGAAGUACUCUUACUUCCGCCAUUCUUCAACGAAGCUAGGUACUGCUUGCAGUUUCUCUUCCAGUGACCAAGUUCAUGACAGUAAAAUCACUCUUUGUCUGGAGCAGGUCCAGGUCCAGCUUUAACCUUGGGCAUUGGGUUUGGCUUGGAUGUUCCAGCCUUGCCCUUCUUCUUCCAAGAAUUGCCCUUCUUCUUAAAGCUAGGCUUGUUCUGUAUAGCCAUCACAUGGCUGGUACUAGUGCUUUUCUUAAUAUCUACCUCUGCUGUCUUGAGCAUACCACACAGUUCAUUCAGACCCUUCUCCGUCCCAUGCAUAUGGUAGUUCGAGAUGAAGUUCCCAUAGCUAGGUGGAAGAGAUGAAAGAAUGAAGUCAGUGGCCAACUCUUUGCCCAUUGGGAAGCCCAGCUUCUCCAAUCGUUGAGUGUAACCAACCAUCUUGAUUACAUGUGGUCCUACUGCUGCGCCUUCUGCUAGCUUGCACUCCAGAAAGGCUUUGGACACAUUGAACCUUUCAGUCCUAGCCUAUGUCUGGAACAUGUCUUUGAGUGCCACGAUCAUAUCGUGUGCCUCAUGAUUUGUUUCGAACUGCAUCUGCAGCUCGGGUUCCAUGCAAGCAAGCAUAAGGCAGCUUACCUCAAGAUUAGCAUCAAAUGCCUUCUUGUAAGCAGCCUUAACGGCAGCAGAUGCAUCAUCAGCAGGUACUGGUGGUAGUGGGGUGUCUAGAACUUCUUCCUUUUUAUCGGCCCUGAGAACAAUUCUCAGGUUACGGAUCCAAUCCGAGUAGUUUGUUCCAUUCAACUUGUCCUUCUCAAGGACCGAACGCAAAGCAAACGAUGUGGUGGUGUUGCUAGGUGCCAUUUAAUCUACAACAAAAGUAAUGCAAAAUACACUAAGACAAACGUAUCCAUGAUAGAGCAAAUCACAUUAAACUAUUUUAACAGAAUCUACUCCCACUAAAAUCAAUAUCCCUCUAUUGAAACUUAGUGAUUCAGGAUUCACAACUAUCAAGUCUACUAGUGAGCUUUAGCAUCACCGCUAGCAAAUAAGGUAGAUCGGUAAGCAACUUUUGCUAAUCAUAUCACAUAUGACUCCUGUUGUUGGGUGACAUCUCCAUGUCUCGGCGCCCAACCUUUAUGCCCCAAUGUCCUUAACCAUUAAGAUAACCUUGUUAAGCAAACCAACCCUUAUGCAUGUAAGUGUCCGACACAAACCCGUCUAGUCAAGGAAAACUAGUGGUACCCUAAUUUCAUAGACCCACCACUAAUUGUACAAGACAUGGGACGGUGCAAGUUUUAGUUGGGAGGGCAUACUAACUUAAACUUUGUGAGGGAUCAUUCUACUUCUAACAUCACAGCAUGCAAAAAGUAAAACAUAAACAGAAUAGCAUUCACACAGUUGUGACACAGUAUGGCCCGUUUUCAUAUGGUGAUCUCCAUCUCCAUAGAACCUGUUCACCAUGGUGAUCUCCAUCUCCAUGUUCCAUGUGCGCCAUCCUCCUGGUGAUGAGUCCUUCAAGAACUAGAACAUGCUAUUACGCCUAAUAGCUAGUAAAGAAGCUAGUAAUGAAGUUUACAUAGUUGCUUGGAUCAUCACAGAUUGGUACGCAGACCAUUAAAUACAUUAAGGUGACAACACAUAUGGCUCCUGCCAUGUUGCCGUACGCGCGACACACAGGUCACGAAUGAGUUACACACAUGCAUCACAUACACAAAGGUACAUACAUACAUCCUGCAAAACAGAGUUAAGCGUCCUAACGUUCCAAACUUCGGAGGCCUGAAACUCCAUCUUCCAAGCCAAAUUUGGGAAAUCUAAUUUCGCCAAAAAUGGCAAAGCGGUUGAAUUUCAUGUGUAACUUUUUCUGUAGAUCAAUUUUCAUAUAAAAUUUGCCCCGAUCCGAGAUCGUACCGAAAAGUUACGGCUGAUUUACCGAAGCAUACGCAUACGGCAAAAAUCCCAACCCCGGUAGUAGAUCCCAUCUACUUUUGCACAUCUAAUGCGCCUAGCGUAUGACCCUGGAUUUCGAUUCAACCAAUCAUAUUGAUCUUCGCUCACUGCAACUGGAUUUACGUGUAUCACUUAACUCCGAUGGCGGAAACCGACCAGUAGGAGUAUGUCGUUACACUACCAUUGCAGCAAGAGCACGAAACCAGGACAUAGAUCAAACUGAAAACUCACAUAUCUCCAUAUGCACACUUCCCGAAUCAAAAACUAAACAGCUACGGCUCUUAUACCACUGUUGGGAUACGAGGUAGGCUACACUAGCGCAAAUCAAAAAUUUCUACCGCGUAAAACUAGGAAGAACUGCCGUAUAAGGAUCACGGGAUUACCACUCAACACACUACUGGUGCGGAAGAUGUAGAUUUGCGUCGAUGCAGUGAAGACGAUCAACGUAGUCGUACGUAGUCGAUCAACAUAGUCGUACGUAGUCGAUCACGUCAACGUCCAGCAGCUCCUCAGCAGCUCGUCCACGUGCAGCAAGAUCGCCCUCGUGCCGCGGCUCGUCGUCGGCUCGUCGUGGCUCGUCGGUGGCUCGUCGUGGCUCGUCGGUGGCUCGUCGUGGCUCAUCGGCGGCUCGUCCAAGUGCUGCAGGCGCAACACCUCCAAGGUAUCCACACGUGCAGGGAGGAAGCCGGAUUGCUAGAUCCGCGAGUUGCAACAGGCGAGAGCGUGGGAGGCGUGGCACAUGUGUUUCGCCAACAAGGUUUGAACCCUAGGGCGCCCUCACCCCUCUAUUUAUAGAGGUUCCUAAUGGGCCUCUGGGUCCGAGGCCCAUUAGUACUUCUAAACCUAAUCCAACUCGGAUCAGAUCCGAAUUGGGCUUCCAGCCCCUUAAGUGUGUGACCCUAUGGGUUCGGAUACGUAUAGACAUGGCCCGAGUACUCCUACUUGGCCCAAUAGUCGGUAGUGGCCUCUAGCAAGACUUGUCAACUCCUAUACGCACACGAAGAUCAUAUCAGACGAACCAUCACAACAUAAUAUGCAUGCUAUUCCUUUUGCCUCACGAUAUUUGGUCUAGCUUCAAGCCGACCGCUCUUUCUCGAUCCUGUGAUUCGGAAUCCCUUUGUAGGUUAACUCUUAACCGUACGUAGCAUGGCCAUGCAUUUUCGGAUCCGAUCACUCGAGGGGCCCAGAGAUAUCACUCUCAAUCAGAGAGGGGCAAAUCCCAUCUUGAUUGACCAUGUCUCAUUGCAUGCUUCUUGACAAACCCGAAAGCUAACUUUAUAACUACCCUGUUACGGCGUAGCGUUUGAUAGCCCGUAAGUAGGUCGAUCCACAUCUUGAAUACAUGCGACAAUCUCAGGUCUAAGGACAAAGCAUAUAUGUUGUUUAAAAAGAGAACUACUUCUCAUGCUGGGUCAGUCCUAACACAUGUCUCCACAUGUGUCCACAUUGUUAGUUCAACAUCUCCAUGUCCAUGACUUGUGAAACAUAGUCAUCAACUAAUACAUGUGCUAGUCUAAUAUUCAUGUGUGUCCUCACAUGAACUCCGACUAGGGACAACUUUAGAAUAACCACACAAGUAAAGAGUUUCACAUACAAUUCACCUAAUUGCAAAUCAAUUCAAGUAGCCUUUAAGGGAUAUUCAAUGAACACAAUAUACAAAUUAUGGAUACAAAUGGAAUAUCAUCUCUAUGAUUUCCUCUAGGGCAUACCUCCAACAGUACUCAGUAAGGCUUACCCGACUAACCAAUAUAAUAGUUUUUCUAGAACUAUAUGAUAGCUUUUUGGUGUACUCGCUGACACACUUUUUGCCAAAAGAGUUUACUAAAAGUGAGACCUUAGCUUUAUCUUUUAUUCCAAUUAAGUCAUUACCUAACCAUUCUAAAUGAUGACAAAAGAAUAAUUUGCAAGCAGCAAGAUAUUUAAGUCAUACACCAAGUUAUUAUUGGAAAGACAUUGCAUUUAUGAAAUUAUACUAUGAUGCUCAACAGUGAUCAAGUGCAUUCAUAACCGAGUAUUGCGACGAUCCGGAUCAAUUUACAUCCUGCAGGAGAGUACCUUGAUCACCAGCUAUGUACGACUGUCCAGGUCGUAAGUAACGAACUUUCGAUUAGCAAACCCAAGGAUUGGGAAUAAGACUACCCGGACCCAGGGACGCACCCCCACAUGGGACCCCACGUUUGGCCUGAUCUCCAUGUGAGUUUCAGGCUACGCCCCUACCAAUCUCCAGCACGUCAAGCACGGGUACAAAGUAUUCCCAAUCAGAGAGUCUACUAACCUACCGGGCUUUACUGGUCCCAUACCCAGUAAGUAAUCAGGUGUCAUUCACUUGAUCAAAGGUUAAGACAACGAUCAGGCCUUAACCAGAUUAAACUAGAAGACAGAACUAUCAUCUCUAGCUUCUGCCUGCUUUCAACUCCCAAGCUACCUUUCCAUACUUAGCAUGUAUGACUCAACGUUUCACCUUAAGGUUUGGUAAACAAGUUACAUUAAGCAACUAAGCAUUUCUAAACUUGAGUUACUUACUAAUUGUUUGAACAAGUAGCAAAGAUGUCCUUAAAACAAGGUAUGAUAAUGCACAAGAAUGGGUUUCAAUCAAUUCCUAGACUUAGUGCAUUAAUAUAGAAAUUAACCAAUAAUUGGACACAUGAGAUAAUAAUUCCAAAGUAGAUAGGUAUAAAUGCACCGGGGCUUGCCUUGUUCUAUAAAAAUAUUAGCACUGUCCGACGGAUUGGCUUUGUAGGGGAUCGAUUCAAUGAUCUCUUCAAACUCCGGAGAUCCUUCUGAUAAUUCCAAGAAAUCCUCUUCCGGUGCUUCGGUGUCUAUGAUAAAGCAUAUGCAUGGGUUAGUGAUGCAACUUUUUGAAUACAAGACUAUACAACUUUCCUUCAUGAUAAAGUUGGAAGCCAACAAGGGACUACACAAUUUAUCAUGAUGAAGUUGCAAGCCAACACACAAAAAAACCCCAAAAAGAUUAACCCACCAUUUUUAUUUUCUUUACCUUACCUUAGGCUUUUUCUUUUGUUUUUAGAAAAUAUUAUAAUUAUUUUCUAGCCUCAAAAUCUAAGUUCCUAUGGGUUAAUAAUAAUUUCUGAUUAUGAAAACAUUAUUCCAUAUUUAUGUAUUAAUAAAGGUUAAGUAUUUAUUUAAAUACCUUAAUGAAAAGGCAUUAAACAAAUACCUAAAUUUUAUUAUUUUUCCUAGGGUAUAAAAUUUUUUAAUGCAUAAAGGAAAAUAAAACAAUCCUAACAAAAUUGGUGUUACUAAUUUUGGACACCCCUAGAAAUUUCUGUGAUUUAAAUGGUGAUAUAUGAAUUUAAUCUAUUAAUCUUACAAAAGAAAAUCUAUAUUCUUUCCCAAAAACCCCCGGCCUACUUUUCUUACUCACCGCCUUCCUACCCCCUGUCUCUUACACUGGGCCCGUGGCUCGAACCCACCUCCUUCCCUGUUCCUUCUACCCGCCGGCCCUUUUCUCCUCUGCCGGGCUCACUGGGCCGAUUCCCUUUCUCCUCCUCUUUCCUUAAUCUGGUACCGGCCCAACGGCCCACUGCUCUUUCCCUCUCCUUCCUCUAGCGCCCGGCCUGCUAACCCAUCCGUUGGCCUGCUGGACCCCCGGCCCAACACACCCUCACGGCACCCCGGAUCGGAGCUUGGGCCUCUAGGACUACGGCCCACCAUGCUUUCAUUGCGCCCCGGCGGGCCUCUUCUAAGCUUCCCGCCCCCUUUUCUCCGACUGACACGCGGGCCCGCUGUCGCCAGCGUCUUCUUCCUUCUCGCGCCAAAACCCGAGCGCGGUAGGGGGCGGUGCGGCUCGCCGGCCGGCGCCCCACCGGCGACGGGGCUAGGCCAGGAAAGCAUCCCCAUACCAAAGUGCACCCGUGCGCGGCGGCAGCUUCCCGCGAGGUGGCCGGAGCUCCCCUCUCCACGGCGGCGGGCGACGGAGCUGACUGCCGACCGUGACCAAGCAUGACGACGGCGCAACCCACACCUCCGACUACCCCUACAGCUUCCUAGAACCCCAGACACUUACCUACGGCUUACCGCAAAGAAGGACUGCGACGGAAAAGAGAUGCUCACCGUGAGCAGGGGGGUCUUGCGGCGGCGGACGAAAACGCCGGCGGUCACGGGCGCACUGGCGGAGAAGCUGGACAACAAGCUGACCGGGUUGUUGCUAGGGUGUGAGUGGAGGUGUGGACGGAAGGAAUCGACAGGAGAUGCAUUGUGGUGGUGGAAUUUUUUGGUCGGCGGUGGUGGUUUGACAGAGAGGGAUGGUGGCGGUAGAAAGACAGGCGGUAAGGAGCGGUGGCGGGAACGGUAGAUAUACGAAGUUUCACUGUGCGCAUGGACGACACCGUGGCCUAUCCAUAGACUUGCGUGGUGAAGUCGUGGCCCUAAGCGUCGAGCUGGACAGCGAGCAAGGGCGCCGGCGGCGACACGUCUCACCCUCUCUGAUUUCCUUUCCCCCUUUUCUUUCUUUCAUCAGAAUGUUCAGACUUUUCCCGUGGCCGAUUUUCAAUCCGACGGUCCACAAACCUCUGAAGCAAAGUUAGAGAUAAUCUCAAGCUCUUCAAUUUUUAUUUUGGCUCUUGCUCGAGAUAAUCGUCCAAACGUGGUCAAUUUUGAAUUUCUUUCUCAGUUCCACUGAAAUGCCCUGAAACUUGAAUUCAGUUCGACAGUCACCAUAUAUGGCCAUUUACCCUUCUGUUAAUUCACUUCCAGUGGCCCAAACUCAUUCUUUUUAGUCCAUCUACUAUCCAUUCGUGCUCUACAAUCAUCAGGGAUUCCAUUUUGCUCAUAAACUCCCAUACCUUUUGCACUAUAUUUUGCUAAAUCUUGCUCCAAACUCAGGCAUUUGCUGCUGUUUCAGACUUAGACAAAAAUUCAGUUCAGCAGCUAAGUUGACCGUGGUAAAGUGCUGACUUUGAGCCUCAAUUUGAAAUUAGUCCCUCUACUGUUCUUGACCAACAACACCCUAAUAUACUUGUCCAAAGUUCAUACUUCAUUGCUGUGUAGUUUCUUUGGUCCACUUAUUUGAAAAAUGUGGCAGAAAUUAAUUUCCAAAAUGGAUACUUAUACUGUUUUUCAGAAAUUCUAUUUUCGGACAAUGAACACUACACUGUUGUUUUGAUUUUUCCAUUGUCUUUCUUGAGAUGUUUAGGGCUCGGUUUAGUCUCCAAUCUUGAUCCCCAAAGUUCUAAACACUCUUAAGCUUCCAUUCCAUAUUUUUGCCCAAUUUUUCUGAAUUUAGAAUUCAAAAUUCAAAUUUCGGUCAAAUUUGACUUGAAUGUGACUUUUAGUCAAUUUCUUCUCUUUUUCUCCAUAGUUCACCUUUAAUUUUUCUUAAUCACCUUUUAUGAUUGAAACACCAGGUGUUACAGCCACCCACCCCCCUUUAAAUUUUUUCCGUAUCACGCACUUCGCCCAAACAAAAGGGCUCGCCCGAAUGAAAGGGCAUCCCGUCCUCUAACUCACCCUGAAAAUAACUUACGUUCUAGCUUGUGGACCGAUCAGACCCCGCCACAACUAUGGUUUCGAGCAGCUAAGCGUCGCGGGCCACGCCCGGGUUCUUAAGGUUGCAGCCUACGUCAACGGGCAGGUCAGAAAGGGAAAGGGCGAAAAGCAGAAUUUGCUUAAGGGUGAAAACAAGAAUGGGCAGGACUAGUUCCUAUCAUAAUCACAACCAAACUAAAAAUUGUUCACACGGGGGCUCACGGCCCCCCACAAUUUUAUUUCAUACAUAAAGAAACUAACUACUCCUAUUCUGUUGCUCCCCAUCGGCCGGGUCAGUCGGCGGCGUAGGUGGCUAGGCCAAGGGCUCCCUGGUCGCAGUCGAGUUGGUGCUCGAGUCAGUCGCAGUUGGGACUGCGCCCAACUCCACCACGGUGUGCACCACUGCAUCAGGAUCGAUGACGCCCUCCUGGCUCACACGUGCGGCUAUCAACGAGCGGCGAGCGUCCAUGACCCACAUUGCGGUGACAUGCUCGGCAAUCUUCUACGCGCCCGGGGCCAAGCUCUGGCCCAGUGCUCGAAUCUCCUCGAAGCUCAAGCCAUCAGUGUACCCACUACAAAUCACCUUGAAGUCCAGCUCGGGGUAGUGGGUCACCACCAACGUCAGCACCGUGAUGCCCCGUGGAACACUCCAUCGGUGAUGAGCGUUUGGACCAUGUCCGAGACCAUCGCAAAUUGGAUGGUGGGUACACUGGUACUCAGGCCUGACCCCAGUACCUCAGUGACCACCACCUGCACCACGUUGCGGAGUUGGUUGAGCUCAUCCGCAACGGUGGACUGCUCCCUUAGGGACUGGGCUAACACCUCUGCAUUACGACUGACUGUCGCCUCCAGGACUGCAUAAGAGACCAAGUCAGCAGAAGGCAAAAAAAUGGCACGACCCCAGCCUAAACUCCCGAGAUGACGAGACUUACUCUCAUUCAUAGUGACGGCCGCGAUGCGGUCAUCCUUCGACCGCUGCAGCUCCUGAUGUAGAAGGGUAUUCAUCUCACCCAGCUCUUGGCCGGCGCUUACAAGGAUAGCUUGACCCUCUUCCAGCUAGUUCACCCUCUCCUAUAGCCGAGAGGAUUCCUGCUCCGAUGACAAAGCCAUCUGCUCGGCAUGCACUUGGGCCCUCUGCGUAUCCAAUCCAUGUGCGUGGGAGGCGGCGCGAUGGUCAUCAGAGCUCACGAUAGUUUGCUACAAAAGGAAGGUAAGGCAAAAGAUUAGCCACGCUAAAGGACUCGAUCGCAUGAGCAAGGGAAGCUAUGAUUAUGUACGUGAUCAGGGGAACCAUGAAGACCACCGGGCCAGAGCUGCCCGGGGCCUGCCACCCACACUCCUUCAGGAUGACCGAAGGUGGGGGCACCCCGACCGAGCCACGGUCGACCUGUAGACAGCUGCGGCCACCAGUUCACAGCAGAUCCACCAUAGCGGCUGAUGAAGCAUCCCUCCGGCAAGUACAAGGCAUCUCCACUGACUCCCCAGUCGCGGGCGUAUGACCGCGUCCCUCCAACUGGCCGCCGCACACCAUAACGAUCCGAGCUGGGGGCUGUGACACCAACAAUACCUUCGGACGGUGCGGCAAUGAUCGUGCCCACUUCUCCUCCCGCUCGCGGGCGAUGUCCCUACUCGCAACACACUUCCUCAACUCAGGGGCACUGGAAGGUUCCCCCACACCAUGCACUCCACCAGAGGGCGCGACCACGGGCUCGCGGCGCCAAGUCGCAAUUGUGACAGCAUUCCCGCAAGUCUCGCUCCCUGUAGAGUCUGAUUCAUCUCCCAACCCCGACCCCAAGGGGUCCAAAGGCCUAAGCUCCGCCUCCACCGUCGUCGGGCUGUCACCGCGACGAACCCGCCGGCUGAUUUCUCAUGCCUCUAGGCCUUCUCAGCCCUCUUCUUCUGCUCGUCCGCCACCUUCUUCUCGACAGCCUAUCGAGCCGCACCCUCUGGUCCCUACGGGAGGCUCGGUCAGGACUUGUAUCGCUCAAGUCCCUGCAAGACAAAUUGACUCAAUGUCAGCUGGAAAAUUUGGAUAAAGAAGAAAGAGGACACAAGGGGAGAAACAUACCAAGUCGGGCCGCCUCCUAGCUUGGAAAGGCUCGGGUGUCCCCUGAGGGUCUCAUCGCUCUACAAUUGCAGCACUUGACCGAGGCACCCCCAAAUCUCGCUCUCAGGCAACUCCGUUGAUGAUGCGCGUUCUGGAUCCGAUGGGCCAGAAUACUACCACAUCGUCCGAGUCCUCAGCCCUAGCUAAGUGAGCCGCCAGUGGACAAAAGUGUCGAAGACCCGCAGUCCAUUGAGGCCCUCAUACACACACUAUUGCAGUGCUGGUUCGAGGACCUCCAUGUGACUCUCAUGCUUCCAAGUAGGUCCCCAUGCCCAGCUCUCCAGCCUCGUCAACCUCCCUCCGGUGAACUUCAGCAACGGCGCCUCCACCAGGUUCCAGAUAUAGAACCAAUCACCAUGCCAUCCCCGAUUGGAAUCACUAGGGGAGUACAGCGGGUAAACGACCUUAGGCUUCCGCUGCAGCGCGAAUCCACUGAUCGGGGCUAGAAGGCCCGCUUUCCCCUUUUUCUCCGACCAGGGAUGCCCGGCGAAGAACUUCGCGAAGAAGUCCACAUGCGGCUCCAUCCCAAGGAAGGCCUCACAGAUGUGCAGCACUCCAUUGGGGUUGAGAUGCUACAACUCCAGUCCCCAGCGGUGAAGAAGCCCACACAAGAACCAGUGCGUGGGGUAUCUGAGCCCGCGCUCGUGGAAGGCAAGGAGACGACCUCAUCAGGGUGAGGUUCUGGGACGACAGUCUCUGGCUUCGGUGCUCUCCAACCUGCGACCACCUUCGACGGCAGCAAGCCCCUCCGCGCAAAAUCCUCCAACAAAUCCUCCCGCACGGUGGACUCCCUCUAGAGCGACAUCAUGCAGCGAAUGGUGGCGAACGGUUCUGUAAGGCUCCCUUCUUCUUCUUCUCUCUCUCUCUCUCUUUGCCCUCUUCUUUCCCGGAACUCACUGCAGCGCGCGAGAAGAUUUAGGCAAAAAGGCGGACGGGAAAGCAACAACGAAUAGAGGGCGACGAAAGGACCAGCCUGAAGACCUCCGCCCCUCCUCUAUUAAAUAGGUAAGGGGGCAUGGAGCCUAGGCGUACAAGAUGCAAGCGGAGGGACGUGCCCCCACGCGAUGGGACGUGACCCAUGUGGGGCCCACCAACUGCCAUGGCAGAGUCACAAACAGUGGGGCACAACCGCACGCAAGCGCCCCUUCGCCUUUCGAGGCAAGGGAGUGAAGGGUCCCAUCGUGAGAACCUCCACUGAACCGAGGCCGGUAGGCACUCAGGCUGGUCAGAUAAGCGAAGGGACCCAACACUAGAGCCUUUCCCGAACCAAGGCUAAUAGGCCACAUAGGUUGGCCAGACAAAUCGGGCAUCCGACGGGAGUCGGUUAGAAAACAGUGGAAUACUAACAUGCAAAUCAUGUCGACCCCAUCAUGAACGAUGGAUACGGAUUCCACUCGGGCGUACUCGCUAAGGGUGCCCUGAGCUGGCCACUCAAACCGUCGAGAUAAGCAACGCUCGCUUAGCCUCCUCCGGUCAUGGAAACUGCGGGGUGGGGUGAUGCCUGAAAGUCCGACCAAGGUAAUAUUACCGACCCCCCAUUUACUUUACCUGCGAACAAGCACUCAUCCAUGUCAUGCAUGCAUGCAUUCAUGCAUCAUACAUUCAUCUCAUAUGUGCUAUCAUUGCAUCUCAAUUGCUUUGCGUCACGUCACAAAGCAAUAGUCGGCUCAUCCAGAAUGACCGGCGAUCGACCAAGGUUCGAAGGCCGGCCCGCGAAGGGCUAGAGGCCGCCUCGUGUCAAACAGAGCCAGGGGAGAAAACGUAUAUGGAGCCCCAAUGGCCUUCGCCCGACCCACUCAGAAGCAGUCCGGACCAUCUCAACCUUCUCGUUCGAUCCUAACCUCGAGACAUGCCCACAGAAUCUCCAUUGAGGGGAGACCAGCGGGCCACCUGAGUCAGUCUCCGAAAUGACUCGGGCAUCUGCCGAGAGGCGGGUUAAGGAGCAGUGGAAGGCCCCAAGUGGGCUAUGCCGACCCCGUUACGAACGACAGACCCGGAUUCCACUCGAACAUGCCCGUUAGCAAGCUCACCGAGCGCGUCACUCGAGCCAUCGAGGCAAGUGGCGUUAGCUCAGCCCCUCCGAUCAUGGAGACCGAGGACAGGGUAACAGACGAAACUCGACUGAUGGUUACCAAGUCCAACGGGGCUUGGGGACUCGGGCCGCCGUGUCCCAACUCAGGGAUACGACCGAUGACUUAAGUCAUGGUCAAAACAAACACGGGCAAGCACCCCAAUCUUAAGAACCACAUCCUCCUGAGGGAUGGGAACACUGAGGUUCACGGCCCUAGAAAUGAAUACCUAAGUGUUCAGCCUCUGACCAACUCUCCGGUCAGCCGCAAGCUUGGGGCUACACCCACCGGGUGCGCUCGUGCGCACCCGGCGGAAGCUAGACCAACAGUGGAUCCCCUCCCUUGGAGGAAAGUGUCAGCAUCCACUCGACCCACCUCUGGUCAAAAAAACACCCAAGUGUUCAGCCUCCGACCGACUCCUUAGUCAGCCGCAGGCUCGGGGGCUAGACCCACAAGGUCCGCUCGCACGAACCCGGUGGAAUACAGACUAUGAGCAAGUCCUUCCCUCGGAAGCUGGCCACCCUCUACAACUCGGCGUGUCCCUACUGCCUUUUCUAGUCAUCUCAUCGAGAGCUGGGUGCCAGUAUUUACUCGGGGGCUAGAGUGCCCGAACCUACUCGGCUACCAUAUGCAACACGGCAAACAAAGGGAAACAACACUGGAAAUCUCAACGACAAUCCGCCUCAAUGGUGCGAUGGGCAUAGAACUCACAUGCCAAAGAUAAGCUUUUCAUUGAGAUGAAAACACAAGCCAAAGGCUUUACAAUAUCACUCAAAGCGUGUGAACACGGGAGCCCUAAGGCUUUACAAUAUCACGCAAAGCGUGUGAAUUCAACCUAGGGGCUACCCUACAAGUCGGGAACGAAACAAACAAGAAGAGCGCAAUAAAUAGGAAGCUGCACUCAAAACCUUGCUCACUAUCCCAUCCUCGCCAAUCCUUCCUCCUCCGAGCACGAGGCACCAGAGGCUGAAGAAGAUAAACGAACUCAGGGAGCACAGGAGUGCUACCCCCAAUGUUCUCUGUUCCCUCUGAGACAAUCUAUAUAAAGAAGGAGAGGCGUGGAGGGAGUACGAGAACCGCAUCCCAAACACCUGGGUAAACUGGCUCUCACUGGCUCCCAGCAAGCCGCCAUCGAUGCCUACAUCUCGUGCCUCCUCGGCAUGCACCUUCACUACCGCACCACUGAGUGCAGCAGGCUGGAAGGAUGAGAUGGAGGCCAAAUGACCUCCGACGAUCAGUGGCCCAAGGUACGAGCGCGACAUGGAGGAUAAGGAGGCCAAGUCUCCCCUUCCUCUCGAGGCAGCACCCUCGUCCUAUCAUCCAGCCUCUAAUUGCACGUCGGAGCCAUGUUACGAGAGUUCUUCUCACAUCACGGCUCCCAAACAUGCCGCAGGGGACUGCGAUAAGGAGGUUGAAUACCAUUUACGAGAGAUCUUCUGGCAUCAUGAGGAGCGGCCAAAGCCACCCUUGGCGAAGAGCAAGAGCCUCAAACCUACCAGAUCUAUGACCCUAGCCGUGUCUACAAACCAUGCCAUGGGGACUCCAGAUGCAGAAGCCCCUCUAUUUAUAUCCAGGCGGACCGCCAUGAUCCGGGAAUAGUUACGAUACGCGUCCGUGGGUGCGCGAUAAAACCGCCUGGCAUCGAGGCAGCGGUUCAGCAGCCACACACUAAUGGCGCCUAGCAUUGAGGUGACGGUUCGACUACCGCGCUACAAAAGGCACAAAAGACUAAGGUGAAGGUACCAGGCCACGAGGUAUCUAUACGAUUCCUACGUGGGAUCAUCCUUAUCAUCUCGGAUACACGGCCAGACCCUGCGAUGCGGCCCAUCUGCUCCACAAACAAGACAAAAAUGAAUAACACCCCCAUGUGUGUUCCCCCCAAUGGAACAUUCCAACUGAAAGCCCCUUCACGACUUCAACAAAGUCCCAAAGGGGCUCGGAGGCUCCUGACAGGUCCAUAGACCCGGGGUUCCCAACAGGACUAACUCGUCGCAACACUUGGCCCCAAAAAGGUCUCGACAGUAGCGCGCAUCUGGGCUAGCCUAGCUGCGCAAUGCCAAGCCAAAAACAUGACCCGGCCACCAAUCGGCUCUCCGACUGAGAGGCCCGGUCGAAGCCCCGACCCAAAGGGUCCAGCUAGAAGUGGGACCACAAUCCGACCCCGACUGAGUUCUCCCGACUGAGUUCUCCCGACCGGAUAUUCAGAAACAGGAUAACUUUCCAAAAUGAACUUGAUCUACCCUAGAGUGACCCCUCCUUUUCUUUUUAGAAGAUUAAGAGAAAUAAACUUUAUAUAUGUACACAAUCACCAUCAAUCUAGCCCAAGGAUUUAAAUCAUGAAUGCACCUUACUUCACCUAAGAUGAACCCACCUUUCUUUUAGAGUUCAAGUGAAUGAAAUAAUAAUAUAUGUGUACACAAUCACCAUUAAAUCAAACCCAGGGUUUAAAACAUGAAAUCACUUUAUCUCACGAAGAACUCAAGUUUGAAUCUUGACUAGGGAUACGUGUUCGUUGUAAGCUUUACACUUCUGCAAAAAUAUCUACAUUCAUCUUGCAUAUGAAAUCAUGAAACUUGAAUCAUUGCAUUGCAUCUCGUGUAGAAGCGAAUCUCGCCGACGGAACGUACGAACUGCUCCCGACGACCGAGGAGGUACCUGCUGAACUGCAUCAAGUCGAGGCUGAGCAAGAGCCCAGUCAAGCUUCAAACAAGCUCCCUACUAACUAAGAACAGGAAGGCAAGCCCCAAAGCAUAACCCAAAUUUCUAAAUUUAUGCACUACUGAUGUUGAUUAUGUUUGUGCAUUUAAGUUCAUAGGAGUUGAUUGCAAACUUAGUUGCAUGAUCUUAGGUACCUAUGGGUGGACACUAGUAUGAUAGGUCUAGUAGUUGCAAUGCUAAAUAGGGACUCAGUAAAAGUCGAGUGAUUUCCUGUCACUCGCGAGUUAUAGGAGUUGCUUGCUUAUUUGUACUGCAACCAUAAGGAUGACGGAUGGGGUCGGGCUUUGAUUCUGACUCGGUGGAAUUGCCCCGUCUAUCUAGGAAAAGAUACUAAGGUCAAAAUAUGUUUAGAUCUAUGGUCAAGUGUUUGAACGUACUAAUCUCACUAGUAUGGGAUUGGGAAGCCUAGUACUUGAUUGAACUGGGACGUGAGUAGACCGCCCCACUAUCUCUGGAACGGAGUUUUUCAUGGUGCAUCAUGUGGGUACAAAUAUAGCCACGGUACGGCGACGUCCGGAACCGUGGGGUAUUGUAUCCAAGGGAUGUGGGCCUGACAUGUGCCUGAGGAUUGAUGGGGACGGCUGACAUGUGUGGUGGACCCAUCAUGGCACGCAAUGUCGUGGGGUUAGGCUCACCUUGCAAGGUUUAAAAACUCGAUUUGAAUCGUCUGCCACUCAUAGUUUGAGACUGCUUGAUCUAUUCUUGGCUAUCUAUACCUAAUAGAAUUAGUUGUUCUUGACUUAUUUCUCUACAUUAUAACGUUCUUGAUAAUGUUUUGAAUCUGCACUAUUGCUAAUAGGAUGACAGUAUUCAGAUUAAUUAGCAUAGUUUGGUAUAAUCACAUUUUUCAAGAAUCUAACACAACAUAGCCAACAUUGAAGUGGGGGAUAAUACCUUCAAGAAUCUAACACAACAUAGCCAACUAUGCCUAUAAAUUGAAGCCUUCUUAGUAACAUUUAAAUUUUAUCAUUUGCUAAUAGGAUAAUACCAUUCAGGUUAUAUAUGAAACACCUGUGUGAUUAUAUUUCCGUGUAUGGUUUUACCUUUAUAUGCAAAACCCAUAGUCAGUGGGAUUCUGGAAUGCCUUCUUAAAAGGAUAUGUUGCAGCAAUUACUGCUCUCCCUUAUGCCAGUGAUGUCCCACCACCUAAGAAACAAUGUUUCCUUGGAAUUUGAAGUUUAUGGGCCGCUCAUUUGAUGCCACAAAUUAUAUGUAAUGUUCAAGUUUAUUUCGAGUUGUAGAAAUUGAUGACUACAUCUUACUACAGGGUACCCCUGCAAAAAAAAAAUAGCUCUAACAUUUUCUCUUGGAGCUGGAGAAAAGAGUUCAUAAGCUUCUAACACCGUAACCAAAGUUCAAACAAAUAAAAAUUAUGAAAGAACAUGAGCCGGUAUGUGAUUUUCACUUUUUCAGACAAUCUAUUCUACUCCUAGCCUUAUAAUUAUAAGCAAAUUUUGAUGCCAAUUUUAAUGGUGACUGGCACCAUACUUAUAAGGAAAUUCUAAUUGUUUGAGCAAUAUUUUUGCUUCUAUUUAAAUUAAUAUGUAUAUUUUGUAUCAUCCACAUAUAAAUGCAGGCAAUAUUUUUUGAAGAAAGCACUGAAAUUUGCUUCCAGUUCCGAUGGGAAAGAACAGAAUCAGCCAUGUUUCCUGAUGACGAGAAGAAAAAUGCAUCUCCUGAUCCAAGGGGUUGCAGAAGGACGUAUGGCUUAUGUCGCGGAGGAGGGCGGCGGCGCGCCUCUGGGGGCACGGCGUGGGGGACUUGAGAGAACAAGAGGUUGGGAGAGGAGAGAGCCGGUGGGUGGAGGGAGAGGAUAAGGUUCUGCAGUGGGCCCCUUUAGUUAGUGUAAUAGGGGCACAGAUACCAUUUUAUGUGACGCCGAUUCCCCUUCCAUCCACGUUAAAAUCUAGCAGAUUCAUGUUCCGUUAAAAUCUAGCAAAUUCGUAACGGAAAUGGCAUAAAGGGUUCCAUCCAUGUUCCGUUAAAAUCUAGCAAAUUUAUGUUCCGUUAAAAUCUAGCAGAUUCAUAACGGAAAUGGCAUAAAGGGAUAAAUUAGAGUUUCUAUGGCACUGAUGCAAUCCGAAAAAUUUUCAUUUUCAUGACAUCGAGGGAAUUUGCUCAAUUAACUAUCAGGCAAUGAGAUUAAGUGAGAAGAUCACCGGGCUGUACCAACCACGCACAAACCGCGGAACAGAUACGAAAUAAACGGGAGCAGUACAUUUGGAUUACAAUUUCAACACUCUUUCUAAUGAGUAGGCAAUAAGAAAAUAGAGUUCAUUUGGAGAAAAUAUAAAACAAG